This 90420-nucleotide long non-coding RNA is filed under the name Oryza sativa (Asian cultivated rice). RNAcentral describes it as "long non-coding RNA (OSAT_LNC000630)". The stretch from base 69202 to 69507 matches the Rfam family "Plant signal recognition particle RNA". Lineage: Eukaryota; Viridiplantae; Streptophyta; Magnoliopsida; Poales; Poaceae. The record is from RNAcentral.
CCUUCCAACCUCGUCUGCUUAAGCCUGCAGGAAGCAGCGUUUCUGAGAGUGAGAGUGAGAGAAAGAGAGAGAGAGAGAGAUGGCAGGGAGGAGGCAGCUUCUGCUUCUUCUUCUUCUCUGGGGAUUCUUGCAGCUCAUUCGUCUUCCUUAUUCAGGUAAGGCUAUAUCUUUCUCGCACACAAUUUGUCUCUUUUCUUGUGUUUGGUUCUGAUAAUCAGUCUUGGACUCUGAAUCAUGCUCUUGUUGCUGGAGCAGUUUCAAUUUUGAGUUGGUUUUGGUUGAUAGGUCAAACAAAUUAUAGCUCCAGCAUGCAUAAUCUACCUCAUUUUUCUGACUUUUUGUCCAAAUUUUUCCCUAGUUCGAGAGUUACAUCUUCCCUACAAUUCGGCAAGUGCUCUUGUGCUAUGGAAACGGUUUUCCUCUUCGUUUUUCUCUUGUUUCUUUAUACUGUUGGAUGGAAUCUGCUGGACACAAUGGACACAAGGGAUAUGGUUGUAGACAUUUCGGCUCUCAUCUUUUCUCGACUACACGAAGACGAUCAGUCGUUAUUUGGAUGUCGUGUCAUCAUGUGAUGGUGACUCAGGCGUUGUGCAGUGAUAAGAUGACACCUAACCUACUGAUAUACAGUAUACAGAUUACCCAGUGCUGUGGCCAUUUUAUUGCGGAACAAAAGCUUCUGUCUCGUUCAACACUUUUUAACUUUGUUUUUAUAGAAAUAAAUUGUUUCUCAUUCAUGUGAGGUUUGAAAUGUGGUAUUUUACAGUGAAAUCCAUGCAAGAUCAUGUGAGGUUUCUGCUUUCAAAAUAGGGCAGUAGUAGUAUGGUCGUCCAUCUUUUCGCUAUUAGAGCAGCAGUAGUAGUAUGUGCUUAGAGCAGGUACAAUAACAUGCUAUUAGUUAGCUAUAAACAUAUUUUAAUAAAAUAAAAGAUGAGAGAGAAAAGCAGCGGGCUACAAAUUUAUAGCCAGCUGUAUAGCACGUACUUCAAAACGUAGUGUGUGUAUGACAGGUGGGACCAUAUAUUAAUAGUAUAGUAAGCACUAUUGUAUGAACUGGCUAUUAGAUUGGCUAUAUAUGAAUUGGAGCUAUUAGUGGGCUAUACUAUUGAACUUGCUUUUAUACUUAUCAGCUAAAAUUUAAAUUAUUUUGGGUUUUUUCAUCGAAGAUUAUUUUUCAGUCUUUACUUUUAAACCACUAAAAACAUAGAUAUAUAAAAGUUUUAUUUCUAAAUUAUUAUUUGUUUGCAAAUACGCGGCAAAAUGUUUUCACUGAUCACGCGGGAACCGAUUUAUUCACUGCAGCGUCGCAGUCCUUCAUCGGCAUCAACUACGGCGACGUCGCCGACAACCUCCCGCCGCCGGCGUCCACCGCGCGCCUCCUCCAGUCGACGACCAUCACCAAGGUGCGCCUCUACGGCACCGACCCGGCCGUCAUCUCCGCCUUCGCCGGCACGGGCAUCUCCCUCCUCCUCGGCGCCGCCAACGGCGACAUCCCCAACUUCGCGUCCUCGCCGGCCGCGGCCGCCGCGUGGGUCGCCGCGCAUCUCCCGUCCACCUCGUCGCCGGCGAUCUCCGCCGUCUCCUUGGGCAACGAGGUCCUCUUCGCCGACACGUCGCUGGCGUCGCAGCUCGUCCCGGCGCUGCAGAACAUCCACGCCGCGCUGCCGCCCAACUCCAGCGUGAAGGUGUCCACCGUGCACGCCAUGGACGUGCUGGCGAGCUCCGACCCGCCCUCCUCGGGGGCGUUCAAGCCGGAGCUCGCCGCCGCGCUCGACCCGCUCCUGGCCUUCCUGAGCAAGACCGGCUCGCCGUUCCUCAUCAACCCGUACCCCUACUUCGCGUACCUGAGCGACCCGCGGCCGGAGACGCUGGCGUUCUGCCUGUUCCAGCCCAACGCCGGGCGGCCCGACGCCGGCUCGGGGCUCACCUACACCAACAUGUUCGACGCGCAGGUGGACGCCGUCCGCGCCGCGCUGGACGCCAAGGGGUACAAGGACGUGGAGAUCGUCGUCGCCGAGACCGGGUGGCCGCACAGCGGCGGGGCCGACGAGGCCGGCGCCACCGUGGGGAACGCGCGCGCGUUCGUCUCGGGGCUCGUGUCGCACCUCCGGUCCAUGGCCGGCACGCCGCGCGCGCCGGGGAAGCCCGUGGACACGUACCUGUUCGCCGUGUACGACGAGGACCUCAAGCCCGGGAAGCCGUCGGAGAAGUCGUUCGGGCUGUUCCAGACCACCACCCUCGCCGAGACGUACCCGACGGGGCUGAUGAGGAACGGCACCGCCGCCGGUCUGGCACCAGCCAUGGCGCCGGCGGCGGCGGCGCCGACCCUUCCGGUCAAGCCAUCACCUGCUCCGGCGAGACUGCCGGGGCAACAACCACAGGUGACUCCAUUGCAGCCGGGCUCGGCGGCGGCGGCCGGGCCUUCAGCCCUGUGCGCGCCGGGGACGGCGACGACGACGGCGAGGGGAGCAGCAGCUGCUGCUUGUAGUAGUCCUAGUGCAGCGGAAUCGCCACGGACAAUGUCAGUGAUCAGCAUAAUUGCAGGCGUGUUGUUAAUGUACCUGUUAAUCUGAGAGGCAGAUGCAUGGAUGCAUUCUCUUGUACUCACAUUUUGUUAAUCAAAUCCUGUUGAUCUUGUCCAAGUAUUGCAUGAAACAUGGCAACUCACAUUCAAAUAACGUACAAUGUUUGUGUACGAACAAUUCUGGAGACAGAAUUGCACGCUGGGCUCAACGUGAGCAGCAUGUUGGGAACAGAAGGUAUAGUGACAGUCAUGCAGAAAGAAUGAUCAUCAAUCAGCUCAAACAUACAACAGUAGUUUGUUGGCAUGCAAAUACACCAACCAACACAGUGAGUAGGGCAGAAGAAACAGCAAUCGUAGGCACCAUCCAACACUCCAAACAGCAUCUCCAACAAACAUCAAAUACUGUUACAACUCUCAACACACAACCAAUGCACAGACAAACCCAGAAAGGCCGGUAUGAUUGUAGCUAUGCUCCGGAAUGAGACACCGGUGAGGUGAUGAAUUGCCCGUCUUUGAAGCUGUGGAUGUACUGUUGGGGCAAAGCAUGUUCCACCUGCAAUAUAAGAACAAUAUCUUAAGCGCCAGACUGUAUAUAGAUUGUCUCUAGAAGCAAGAGGAUAUCGACUGUAAGCCCCUAAUGGUACUGUUUGUACUCAAAAGAGAUGUCUGCAUCAUCAAAGGUGUUUGAUUAUAUUGCCCAGUUAAUGUGCACACCAACAAGGCAACAACUAACAUCACCCACAACAGAUUUAAAGAAUUCCCAAUUGGGUCAUGGUAAACACAUAGACAGAAGAUCAGAUCUUACCCAAUCACCAUCAGUAGCACCACUUGGAACCAUCACAUUGAUUUCACUAGAUUUAGCUGAAGUGAUGGAGGCUCCAAGUGAAUCAUUGCUUAAGUACAAUUGACAUCCAGAUGUGUUGUCGAUUGAUAUUGUUGGUGCUGUACCCUGCAAGUUAAAGAACUUCAGUCUCUGACAGCAACACAGACAAGGGUGUGUUUAGUUCAUGCUAAAAUUGGAAGUUUGGUUGAAAUUGGAACGAUGUGACGGAAAAGUUGGAAGUUUAUGUGUGUAGGAAAGUUUUGAUGUGAUGGAAAAGUUGGAAGUUUGAAAAAAAAGUUUGCAACUAAACACGGUGAUGGUAAAGCUUACGUACCGAAUGGCAAUGAAAACUCACACUCAGGGGUCAGGACAACAGAACACAAAUAAAAAUAGCUUCUAGACAGAAUAAUUUGUUGAAAUUUAUAAGUACUAAAUUCAAAAGGAAAGGCGAUAAAACAUUAAGUUCAAAAACAAGCAAUUAUCUAGUCCCUCGCAUUCUUUUGUGCCAGACUUUGCGCCUCAUCUGCUGGCAGCAUGAUGAGGGUGAAUGUCCAACAUUUCAGUCUUUCGACCUGACCAUCCAAUAGUGAUUUUAUGACAUCGUAUAAUAAUAACUGACCAAGCAAAGGAGAUUAGGAGAUCGGCAGAUUGCUUAAACCUAGAUGAUUCUGGGCAUGCCCAAGCUUGAUAUUUCUAAAAUUAGAUAAAGGUCAAAUCCUAAAAGUAUGACAAGCAAUCCAGAACACACACAAAAGCGACAUCCUUUUAGAGAGGGAAGAGCAGUAAUGUAACCAGAUAGAAUACUCCUUAACACUGUUCACACAUUUACAGUUAUGAGUAUAGCAUUCCAAAACUGAAUACCUGGCAUUGCACCUCAACACCAUUGCAAUUGACAACUUCAAAAGCUGCUACAACAUGCUGAAACAUUCGGUAAACAGAAUUUAGUUUUGCCACAGUAAUAGAAUAAAAUUUAGCUCAGGGUUAAAUUUGGUCUCAACAGUUUAAACUAACCCACUAACCUUGAAAACGAUUCCAACUUUGGUGCAUUUGUCAACAGUGAUAUUGUUCACUUUACCUGCAAAAUGUUUUAUAAUUGUUAUGACACCAAAUAAUAUGGGAGAACGUGAUAUGUAAUACGUUACAUAUCCCAAAUAAAGGUGUAUAUUACCAUUUACUUGAAGGACAGAAUCCUUGCAUCCAUACACAUAUACAGAUUGUCUAGCAUCACAAUCAUCGAUUGCAAGGUUCUUUUUACCAACUUGAUUUUCGACCACCCAUCUGCCAUUUUUUUUAUAUCUCAGGGAAAUAUGAACAGAAUAAUCAACAAUAUAUAAUAUAAGCACAUUUUAUCAGAACAAGAAAAUUAUAUGGCGUCCUUCUGACUAUAUGUCUAAAUGAGUAAAUGAUGCAAGGUCCUUCAGACUGCCACGGUGCCACCAUAAUAAAAUAAAUGGUUAUUGUGUCUUGGGAAGCUUCAAUCAUGUGGAAUUAUAUGAAUUUGUGGCAUAUAACAUACUACUCAAAUUUGAAAUUAACUAGAUGUAUGUAAUUAAUUCUAUUUGCAAUACUUAUCUUGUACAUAUAAUUUAACUAUAUAGAAAUGUAUGGUUUCAAGCUAUUUGUCUACCAAAGCCCCCAUUCUUGCAACUUCUGUACCAACUCACUAAUGCAACCUAGCUAACCAGAAACGAGGCUUCCCAGAUAAUCCUCAUUGUUGGACCUGGUUGGUGUUCAUGCAGCCAUGCAGGCCAUCAAUCAAACCCAUACUGUACCAAUUGACAGUAUAUACUAGAGUCUUAGAUAGUAAUCUAUUUGGUGUUUUGUUUAAUAAUCAGGGUGAAGCUCACUUGCGCCCCAUCUGAAGCUCCAAUUUUGGAGGCCCAGACUUGAAGGAGAAAGACCCUGCACGAGAGGUCUUCUCAGGAGCAGCAGCCGGAGCAGCAGUGCUGCUGCUAACAACACCACUUCUAUCAGACCGGUUUUUAGUCUUCAUGUCAUCAGUAACCUUUCGCAAUCCUGCAAAACAGUAAUAGGGCUGUCACAGGUCUGUUUUUCAGUAUUGAUAACAAAAACAAAAGGGAAAAAAAUGUCACAAAAUAGAUGAAUCACGUGUUUUCAUCUACCUGUGGUCACAGCUUUGCCUGAACUAAUCUCCUGAAAGACAGCUGACAUUCCUUCUUUAGGCUGUGCAGAUUUAGGAGAUUUCUCUGUGGUAAAAAGGGGUGCCGAAGGUAGAGCAGGUGGAGGGGGAGCCUUAGCCCCUGGUGCUUUAGGAGCUGGAGCAGUAGCCUUUGGUUGGGAUACAGGUGCACCUCCAACUGGACCCCAGGAAGGACCAAGAGGGUAAUGUUUCUUAACAAAAUCCCGUAAACCAGGCAUGUAUAGCUCCUUCAAAGCUUUAGCCCACUCAACAUGGUCAGCAUCUUUGUUCCUGUACUCCACAAGAACCUAAGAGGAAGAUUAAUGAGCAUUCUUCAAAACAGUAUAAUUAUGUGUAUGGUUCUGCAAUUGAAUGAGAUAACUCAGGUCAAUGAUUAAUAUCAUCAUCGCGUACUCAGCUAUAAGGAAUACUGGAAAAACAGGUAAAAAAAACUACUACUAUGUUUUUCAUAGGAGUAGUUGGUUUCUUACUUGUCAGGCUAAUGGUGAAAGAAAUUGUUGGAUGUCGCGCACAUUUUAUUAUGUGAAACACUUUAUGAUAUGCAUAUAACAAAAUGCAUUAUUUCCCAGAAACUUGAGAGAUACACAGACUGAAGGAAUAAUGAAAGGUGACAAAACAGCCCUACUUCUCACCAUACGAAAGCCAUUCUCAUCGCGAGAAUGAUUGUCUAGCAUCCCUUUCUAAAAGGAGAAAACUUUGAGCAUUCUGACCAGGCUUCACAAUUGACGCAUUUUGUGACUUUACAUACUGUAGGUAUAAAAUAUGGAGAUAUUUAACUAUUUGCCACUCUUACAUGUGGCGUUUAACAAUUUGCCAGCUGGACCCACAUGUCUAUGGGUGGCAAAUUGUUAAAUGCUAAAUCUAAAAGUGGCAAAUUGUUAGUAAAGCAAAUAUAGAAAAUGGUCGAAUAAAAAAAGUGUACCUUGUUAUUGUAGAACUCAGCCAUCUGCCAACUUUCUUCAACAUGUGCUGUAGGGAAACUCAUGCCUUGCAGAGAAGAAGAAUGGGAGAAAUAUUACAGAAUGAUAUAUAUGGUAGUCGGCAAGACACCAAUGCUAAAAUCCAAACAUAACAAAUUUACUAACCACAAUCCUUUCCUAGGAAGCCAACCCACGCCAAAGCAGUGAGACUGUCGGCAACACUCUUGAUAUGGUUGAAAUAGUCAGGCCUCCUUCCUUCAGUCAUCGCAAUUGCUUUCGCAAUAACAUCAUUCAGCGGCUUAAAGAAGUCUUGUGCAUCAGCCAUUGAUGCAGGUUUCUGCGCAACAUUAGGAAAAAAAAGCUGAUUACUGAUGCAAGAAUGGGCACCUCUUCACCCCCCCUCGCCCUUAGUAACUGAAUGACUAUGUGUAAUGUUCCCAACUUAGAACCAAUCAAAGUUCAGGCUAGCAAUAAGAAUGGACAUCGCAUUUUUCAGAUCUCACAAUGGCUGAAGUAAUUUUGUACAUAAAUGUUAUCAAUAAUUUUGUACAUAAAUGUUAUCAAUAAACAUGUAAGCACGUCAUCGCACAAUGAACCUCCAGCAGAAUGGCCCUGGCCAUCUCGAUAAACAAAAUACCAAAAUCCUGAAUUCGCCUCCAAAUCUCGGGUUGAUCAGUCAUUCCCGCGAGAUUCCUCCCCGGGACGCACAUCAGAUUGGCCCAAACAGUACGGAACGCCGGGAGAUCUACGCGCCGAGCACACCCAAAAUCUAAGAGAUCAAGGCAGGAACACAUGAGAGAAGCCGCGCCCCGUACCUGGAGCUGCUUGGCCUGGACGAGGCGGUCCUUGGAGACGGCGAAGGCCUCGGCGAGGACCUUGGUGGCGUCGAGCACCUUCCCUCCGAUCUUCUCGGCCGCGGCGGUGAGGCGGCCGACGGCCCCGGCGACGAACUCGUCGUAGGCCACGAUCGCCGGAUCCGACGCCGCCGCCGCCGCGUCCAGCCCGUCCCCGAGGUCCCGCGGCGCCGCCGACAGCGAGGCCCCGGAGGCCACGGCGGCCUCGAGGCGCGCCACCGCCGCCUCCAGCCGCUCCACGAGCGCCUUCUCCAUGGCGGCGGAAUCAACAAGCUAGGUUACUCUUCCUCUCUGCCACUUCUGCUAGUGCUCCGUGCGUGCGCGUCUCUGUGGCGUGGCGCCGCGCCGCUUCCAGCCUUGGCGGAUUUAUGGCUAUGCGCCUUCAGUUUGAGCUUGCUUGCCAGCGCCGCGUUUAUUUUUUUUUCCCUUCGUUUUUUUCCCUGAUUCCUUAUGAGGCGACAAAAUAAUAAUAAUAAAUUAUAUAAUAGAUAAAUACAUGAAUUUAAGCGUGUUAUAAUAAUAAUAAUAAUAAUAAUAAUAAUAAUAAUAAUAAUAAUAAGUUUAAAUAGGUUUUUCAGAUUUGAGAAACGCUUUGAUACUAUUUCGAUCUAUUUGUAAGGACGUGGAAAGGCCAACAUGACAGGAUCAUGGUUGCACAUGAUCUUUGAUUUCUUUUCAAAGCUUUUGGAAUUGAUGAGCUGGGCUAAUUGCCGAAAGUUGAAGGCAAACACCGAAGGAUAGAGGGGUUUCACAACAACAACAGAUCUCUCCCGUCCUUCAGCAUAACAGAGAAAUGUCGGUAAGGCUUUCAGCCCAACGGUCCCAAAUGGCAGACAACAUGCUAGCUCAAAUGGCAAAUUCUUUCUAUACGGGCCAAAAUGCCAAACCAGAAUCAAAAUAGGAACAAGUUCACUUAACGUGCCUAAAUUUUGCAUCGAGUCUAUCGGAGAUCCCCAAUCCGCAAUACCAAAAAUCUCGACCCCUCAACUAUCACAAACAGUGCAGAAAAGGUCAUGAGGUAGUAUUUGUCGGCGAAAUGGGAUCUAGGGCCCCCCAUUUACCGGGAAUAUUGUAGCUCUACAUUUUUGUCAUCAUAACUGGACCCAUGGUCAAGGUUAAUUCCUAGAGAAGCUCGGGGCUCCUGUCUGCCAGGAGCCUAGGCCCGCCCGCGUUUUAAUAUACUAUAUUUAUUCUUCUCCAAGAAGAAUGUCGAUAUGUACAAAACAAAUACACAUAUAAAUAUUCAUAACCACAAGGUAACGAGAAUCCGAGUCCCAGCCUGCCCGGGGACCUGAGCCUCCUCCUGCCCUUGUGGAGAAAGGCGUGGAGACUUACAAAAUCUAUAUCUAAAAGAUAUAAGGUGAGUGGAAGCGAGGAGCUCGGGUUCGCUUGGGCGCCGGACAUGCCAUCAAAACCUAUAAGAUUUACAUCUUAUAACAGCAAAGCCUGGGUCUGGACUGCCCCGGUGCCCUAUAGGCUCCGCAACCCUCUCCCAAAGAGAAGCGUGGAGACGUACAAAACUUACAUCUUGUGUAAGUUUUCGUAAAUGACAUAUUUGAGAAACUAUCAUAAAUAUGGUAAAAACAUAAACAAAGAGAUGCGGGGACGUGGCUCGGGACUGGAUGUUAGAACACAUCCCACAACCAGUUGUAAGCAACCGCUACUACCAUAAACAGGAUAAGUUCGUGGAGAACUCCCACUAACUGGUAUUGAAAAGACCUGGGUGGGUCUAGUGUACGAACGUUUGCAUCUCGCGAAGGGUGGGAACUGGGAAGGACGCGACAGGUGCGUAUGGUUCUUCCGUUCCUAAUUUCCCGUUUUCCUUUUUUACGUGAUUCGUUUCAAUUUUCUGUUAUCCUCUUUCUUACGUUAUUCUUCCAUAACGGUAUCAAAGUUUGUGUUUUUCUUUUUUUUAGCUAUAGUUAUUUUUAUAGCUUUUUUAAUGGAAAUUUUUUAUAUAUGAACUUUUUUUUGGAAACUCACAUAUAAACUUUCUAUAUAUAGAUUUUAUGUGCAUAAACUUUCUAUAUAUAGAUUUUAUGUGUAUAGACUUUUUAUUUAUAAGAGAUGAAUUAUAUUUACAAUUAGAAAGUUUAAUUAGUGUAUAAACUUCUGCACAAUCAAAAAAUCUAAUUAUCAUCGGAUAUUUUUUUAAGAAAUAAAAUCCAAUCUAAACAACUUAAUCUAAUAGGAAACAAUGAUUUGUUUGUCUUCUACCCGAAACACCCUAAUCCUACGUAAGAGCUUCAACACGUCAUUAGGAUUAACGAUAAAACGAGCUGUUCGCGAGAUGCGAACGUUCGUACACUACACCCACCCGAUGGAAAUAGCACAGGAGGAAUAAACGAACAGCGGCACGCCUCCAUCCUGGAGGUUAUCUGUAUCGUCGCCGCGAAUGGCCGAGAUGAAUGAAGUAUCUCGAUCCGUAGGUGCUUCGAUAUAAUUUUCAUCAUAAAAAUCUCAUCUACAUCAACCUCAAUAUCAUUGUCAUGCUAACAGUAACUAGUAGUAAGAACUAACAAGUGUAGUAUCAUUAUGAUUUUGAGACGUUGGAUUUGAUAAAUGAAGUACGAAGGAUGUAUGACUGUGCUGGUGAACUAUAGGGUAGAUUAUAGUAGGGGUAUAAAUUUGCAAUACUCGAAAACAAAAAUGUACUACUUUUAUAAAUCUCACUAUUAUAAAAGUUGAAUAUGUUUUUGUCGAUUGUUUGGUACGUCAUCCGAUUCGAGUACGAAUAAGAUAGUCCGACUUCAAAUCCGUAUCCUAUUCAAUCGCCAUAAAAAAAAGUCUCAAAUACAUCUACAUGUAUGUCUCGAAUUUGUUGCUCGCAUGUAUUGAAGAAGAGAACAGGUCAUCAGAUCGAUUCGUGCUAGAAUAUACCGCGCAUAUGUAAAUUUCUCUUUAUUAGUUUAGAAAGAAGCGCAGCUAGCAUCGGCUGCAUGCUCUUCCUGAUCCGAUUGUGAUAUGGAUAAGAUGAUACAGCUUGGCUAUUUUUCAAAGGUUGUUGCAUAAACACCCAUGUAGACAUAUCUUCAUGUUAUUUCUAUCAUUUAUGAAUUUGGAAUAUUACUAUUAUGUUUUUAUGAGAUUUUGCGAUCGCAAUGCAAUAACCAGCCACGUGAGACAAUUUCGCAAGUCAUAAUGCUCAAAUACUGUUUAAAAAUAUGUCACGAUUUAGUUUUUUCGUUGCAACGCACGAGCACUUUUCUAGUAUAUUAAAAGAGAAACAAAAGAAAAAAAAAUCAGCACAGCACAGGUGUUGGGCUAAGUUAUAGGCCUAUAAUGGGCCGGCAGGCUGUGUGGAGGAAGAACCGAGGAGAGAGAGACCAAGAAACGAACGGAGCCGUAGGAUGGAAAGGAACGGUGGAUAUGAGAGAAGUGCACGGCCGCCGCCUCGCCCUCCUCCCCUAGCUAUCACGACUUCUUCCUCUUCCCCAAUCCACGCCGCCGCCGCCUCCGCUCCUCCCCUCGAGAGUCGCAACCUGCCCUUUCCCAAUCUCGCCGCCAAAUUCUCCGGCGAGACGGCCAUGGAGGUCCCACCUUUUGCUCGCCCCAAUCGAGCCUCGCCGUUGGCUUGGGAAGCGGAUUUCCUCGAGAGGACAAAUCUCACCAUGUCGACGGUGGAGUACGCGCUUCCUACCGCAAUCAUGACGUCGCCAUCCUUCGUCGCGGAAGGCGCUGGAGGAAGCCAGAUUUGCGCCAUGUAUUCCUUUCAAGCCUUCAGUGAAAUGAUAAACGAGAGGAACGCUGAGCCCGGGAUGAUCGACGUCUUCCUACUCCCCCAUCUUCCCCUCAAUGACGUCUCCGAUGUGUACGACCAGAUCGGCAGCGGCGACGCCCCCUACCGCAUCUCAAAUGGCCCCAUGCUUCUCAACAAGGUCAAUGCUUAUCGCGAGCUGAUUCGCGUGGGUAAAGAGCUGGCGCCUCUGGAGGGUCUCAUGAAAAGCCUUGAGGACGAGCUGCUUGUCCGUCUUAAUAGCAUUGUCUCUAUACUCAAAUCAGAUGGUGAAGACAUCCCGUUGCCACUUGACAUGUCUGCAGCAACUCAGCUUCUAUUCAAGUGGGAAUCUGAUUUUGUCGAGGCCUGUGAGAUGGCAACGAAGGCCAGACGCCGCCUCAUGCUGGCAACUCUUCUGGCAAUGUUCUGGUCCUCCAGUGACGACUUUGUGGAGAAUGAAUUCUCAGUCAGGGAGGGUGAUGCAAUCUCCAUGAGUCAUGUACAAGAGACUCUCCAAAGGUUGGCUCCAGAUCUUUACCAGAAUGUGUUUGGCGCCCUCAAUGAGGUACACUAUACAGAGGAUGGAAGGCCACCGAAGAGUGUAGUUGUUUCGCUCAAGAGGCUAAUUACAGAGAUCACAUCCGAGAUGACACCUACUGAGUUCGUAGCAUUCUCACUGGAGACGAGUCGCAGGGACUUGAUUCACCAGCUAAGUGAUGUGUCCCACCAGGAAUUUCGCUUGAAGGUCUUGAGGUCUCUUCAGUCUGUGGCAUCUGCUUUAAUCCACCUCCACAUGCUGGAUAAAGAGAUGUUGGAGCCCCACCUCUCACGGCCAACACUCUUGGGGUGCAAAGGUAAAAUUUAGCAUUAGCAUUGUUGAUGCUAUGACGUGUACGGCCCUGGAUCGUUUGUAACUAUCUUAUAUUGUGUGUUCUAGAUUAUUCACCGCUAAACCAGGAUCCAUAUUGGCCCCAUUUUCAAGUUUUAUCAGAUGAGGAAUUAAGUGUUGAAGUCCGUCGAGGCUCCCUGCCAAUGUUCUGAGGUAACACUUUGAUUGUUACUUUUGUUCCACAAAAAUAUGCUAUAUUGCAGAAAUGGACUGGUUUCAAAAGUAUUUGUAUAAAUAUACUAUUUUUAUACUGGGCUUGAAAGACCGGUAUAAAAAGAGAAGGGGUAGCGAGCAGCCGUAAAGAGUAGAAUGGUAGCGGUUUAUGAGAUAACAAAAAGUAUAAAAGAAAAUUGUAAAGAGUAUUCUCCUCGCAUCAGGAAUUCGAGUCAUUGUAUGAUCCAUUUUGCUGAGUAUAUUCCUUCACAAGUGUGGUUUGUGCUUUUAUAGUCUCACGUCUCAGCAGUCAGCACUAAAGUACAAAUGUGAUAGUAUAAUUGAAGAUUUUCUUAUCAUGCAUUCGUUCCUAUAUGCAUCUUAACCUUUCUGUCAAAUAAUUGUUUGUCUCACUUUUGAGUCAUUUUCCUGACUGUUUAUUGUCAACUUCGUUCAUUUGUAUAUGCAUUGAGCAGAGCAGAUAGUCUUCUUCUCUUCAAGACAAGACAUUUGUCAGGAUCUCUCUAGGUCAUUGAGGGCUAGCAUAUUGGUCAAAACAAUGUAAAAGAACCUCUUAAACUGCAUAACAGAAAUUUCAACUCUAAUCCCAUCAACUAACCCUGUUUAUGUAUAUAGUUAUUCCAUUAGUUUGUUGCUACUCUUAAGACAUGGCUUUAUUUUUUUCUCAUUGGCUUGCCUUUAUGAAGUGGCGUAAAAGUUGAAUACCCUAUGUAUUGUAGCGGUUAUGCAUAUUGUUUUGAUAUGCGAUGCCUGCUAACGUGUCUUUUGAAUAUAGCAGAAAUCUAUGCUGUGCAUCUACUGAUUUAUUCGGUGUUUACUGAGAUGCUAUGUUUACUUUUUUGUCUACCUUACGCCUGUCGUGCAGGUUUGAUUUUUGUGCAAAAGGAGGUGAAGAACUAGAGGAAAGUGAAGAGGAGAGAAAAGUCGAUGUUGUUUGAAAGCUUCAUGCCAUAUUGCGCCCCUUCCUUCUAAGGCGGAUGAAGGUGGAUGUAGAGCAAAUGCUUCCAUGAAAGAAAGAGAUAAUCAUUUAUGCUAACAUGACUGACAAUCAGAAACAAAUCCAAAAUCACUUGGUUGAACAAACAUUUGAUGAAUACCUGCAUGAAAAAUCAGAAAUUGGUACGGAUGCUUAUGCACAUAGUCUCCUACACACAUUCCUGUUGGCUUAAAAAGUUAAUCCAACAAGUGCUGAGUAUUGCAGUUCUGUGUGUUGUAACACGAGGCCAACACCAUUCCUCCCAUUCGGUCAAAACACUAACAACAAAGGAGGUCGUGAAGACUCCCAAGUGUUCAAGGCAGAAAGUACCUUUUCGCAUGGUAAAAUACUCUCGAAUGGGAAAGUAUCUUCGAUUCUUCGUGCCUGCCGUAUCUGAAAAUUAAGGUAGAGCUGGGCUUAAAUUUUCCAUCAAUGUUCAAACUGCCAACGGUUCUGCGUAUCUCGGCGUACGGCCGACUUCUAUGUUCUAUCCACCUGACCUCGGUGCACAGCUGCGCCUGCAUGCGUCAGGCCCGCAACGCACAUGACGUUGCGUUUUGCACGAUUUGGUCCACUACUGUUUCUUUUGCGUGGAGGAUAGCCUCAUCAAUCAUCCAAGUGCUUUGCGCCGCGGCACGGAAGUCGAAGUCAUCAUGUGUACAGGUUGUACUCGUAGGAGUAUCUUGCAACUGCAGCUCGUUCAUUAGAUCGAUCGUGUGUCGCCGAUGAUUUUUGCCGUGUACACAGAAUUUUGUAGCGGAACAGGUUGGCUCGCUCUGCUGAAUUUCGUCCCGUCCAUCGCCUAACCAGGCCAGACAUUCGUGACGCAGGUCUGCAGCUGCGUCAUGAAGAGAGAUGCAUGCAUUUCCAUUCAAUGCUGACGGCUCCGCCGUGCUGGACUCGUUCGUGCUCGCCGGCCGCCGAUCGAGUCCGCUCCGGUGAUGCGAAAUAGAAUACCGAGUAGCAAGAUACUCCGUAUACAGCAGUUGUUUCCCUCCAUCCAAAUACUACUAUCCACAUUACCUAAUAAGCCAAAACGCUUUAUUACAAAAUACAAAUUAAUUUAUAAGUAAAAAUUUUCUAUAUGUGUUGUUAGCGAUUUAAAAGUCAAAACUAUACUUAAAAAUAUCUUAAAAUUAAAUUCAAAAUUAAGUUUAAAAAUUUAAAUUUUAGCUUUGAAUUUGGUUUAUUAUUAGAAGCCCUAAGGCUGACGCCUAGUUCAAUAGAGCAACUUUACUCCUUUUCAUUACCAAGUUUCCCAUACUGCUAAACAUUAUGUUUUAUGUAACAAACAUUUAUAUAGAAUUUUUUUUAAAAAAAUCAAAUUAAUUUAUUUUUAAAAUUUAAAUUAAUUAAUCCUAUGCUAACGAUCUGUCCUAUUUUCCAAAUCGCCAUCAACUCUAGCUGUUCGUUUUGGGUGUUGCGUAUGGAAACUUCGUGUCACAUAAAACAAGAUGAAUCGUUAGAACAUGAUUAAUUAAAUAUUAUUAUUAUAAAUUUGAAUUGAGUUUUUUUAAAUAAACUCAUAUGUAAAAUAUUAAAUGUUGCGUAUCGUUUAUCAGAAAUAGUAGCAGCGGUCCAAGUCAUUUCCAGUGUGCCCUCGCUAGUCGGUCUCCCCUGGCGAUGGCUCCGCACAACGGGCGAAGGCCGGAGGCGGGGGCUUCACGCGAUGGCAGCCGGCGGCAGGGGCUUUGCGUGACGGCGGCCGACAGCAACGAUACCGAUGGUGGUGGCUUUAGCUUCAUGCAGCGCUAGCUGAGCAUGGGACUUCACAAGAGAUUAGGCUGGUAAUCCUCCAGCGAUACUACACCUCGAGCUCAGGCGACCAAAAUCGGUCACCUGACUCAGGCCAGUGACAUGCCAGGUUUCAUCAGGCCAGGCGAGUGGAAAGGGGGUUUAGGGUGGCAACCAAACAGAGAGUAAAAUAACUUAGGCUUUUGUCUCAGGCCAGGCAAAUUUUUCUCAGGAUAGCAAUCAAACAAACCCUUAUUCAUUUGAGAGUCUAAACCAGAAUAAACACUUGUGUUCGUAUGCUUAUACGAUCUUGCGUAGGCCAAUGUACCGCGCGAGGCCGCCGACGCCGACGACGACGACGCAGUCCAAGUCCAACGACACUCGUGUAGUCGUGUGCCACUGGAUUCCCUAUUGUUCGUACGCGCGCGCAGUAAUUGGUAGGGUUCAGCCAUUUAGCAAAGGUUUCUCGACCUAUGAUGGACCGAUGGUUGGUCGCUGGGGCGUUCCACCAGCCAAUUUGGCGAGGAACAAAGUGACAAACUUGGAUUGGAUUUGAAUUAGUAGGUUCAACUAUAUGAACAACUUGGAAUGCUCGUGAAAAGAACGUACGGGCCACUAAAGCCAUCAUCACAAAUGAUAAUUACAUAAUUUUUUUAAUAAGAAAAAUGAUCAGACGUAUCUCAGAAAAUCAAAUCAUAUAUUAAAAAAAUGUUUGGGUAGAGGACAAUAUACGCGUAGAAAUGAUCACGUGAAAUAACUCCUAUUGUAUAUAUAUAGUGGUAGUAGUCUCUCCGGGUUCAUAAUUCUGAUCAUUUUGGACAUGAGCAUCAAUCUAAAAAAACUUUGACCAUUAUUUUCCAUUAUAAUAGAUAUAAAAAUAUUAACAAAUAUACGGUUUUAUUAAAGUACUUUUUAAGACUAAUCUAUACAUAGUCACCUUAUUUGAAAGACAAAUAUUUUUAAAAUGAUUCAUAAUCAAAUAUUUUAAAAUUUGCCCUCACCCUUGUCUAAAACAAGUAUUUUAAAGAAAACACUGUUGUGCUGAUAGUAGCUUGAUUCGUUCAUGGAAUUAAUAUAUGCUUAGGCUAUUUAAGACUUUUACAGCCGCAGUACCCCUCAAUUCCCCCAAAUUGUCGUGUCGUGGAACGUUUGUGCUUGCACGAGUGCACGGUACAGGUACAGUGCAGGACCAUGCUGCACAGAGAGGACAUCACGCGUGCUAAUCCAUUGCAAAUUAUUGGAUUUCAUCAAUUUAUUGUAAUAAAUUAUUAGUCAAAGGCAAAGACUGCAUCUUGGAGUGAGCUGACGUCAAAAACCAUAUUUCAUGCGGCUUUAUCUCACAAAACAGUGAGGACACCCUGAAACUCCUGCCUCUUAAGAAGCUCUUUGGCAAUCCUGCGGCCUCUUUCCUCCAACCAAUCAACCGUCGGGAGACCCUUAAUUCUAACCAUCGGAUCCAUGAUCAUACAGUCAAGUCUACUAGCACAACGACGAAUGUGGUGUGCUAGCUCGAUCAGCCCCUGCCAAUGACAGGCUCCAGACAUGACCACCCUCUUGAGCUUGUCAUGCCGAUACGGUAGCAUAUCCACUCUGAUCGCCUGUCUGAUGACGAAAUCAGAGAAGCGAAACUGCACGCAACAAAUCAGCGCACUUGUGAGUUCCAUCGCAUAAUGUUUCCGUCAGUAAUUCAUCCAAUGUUUGGAAUGCAUGAAUUUAUGGAAGAAGAAAAACUAAUUGGAAGGAAAAAAAAAGCAAACACAAAAGUCAAAACCAGAGUGUUUGGAAUCGGGUCGGUGCUGUUUUAUGAGCAGCAGCAACAACAACACCAACAACAAUAAUUAUAAAUUAAUAAUAAUAAUAAUGUACUAAUAUGUUGUCCUCAGAACAGAUGCUAUCCUAACGAAUCUACCCUCAUAAAUCUAAUAGCUUUUAUAUAACAUAUUGUUUUAAUCUAUUUUUAAAAUUUUUCUUAUAAGCAUAGAUUUCAAGAUGAAAACUGGAAGACAUCAAAUCACUCUAACCCUACGGUUUCCCAUUUCAAACUAAAGGAGCACACCUGCAGCUUAAGAAUAGGAUCAUCACAAUUGCCAAUAAUUUUUAUAAGGUGCCAACACAUUUCAAAAUUUAAAGAGUAAAUUUCAUAAAACCCCACCUAUUAUGGUCUAAGUUGCACAGAACCACAUGGAUUUUAACAUGUCACACAUAACCUCAAAUAUUAUAGUCCUAAAGUUUCACAAAACCACGCCGUUAACCAAAUUGACAUACUCCUAUAUCAAAAUUUUAAAAAGAUUUACUUACAUGGAUCUAACAUUUAUAUGAUGGAUAAAUCUCUACUAUUAUAAAAAUUGAAGAUGUUUUUGCCGAUACUUUUGGUACGUCAUUCGUAUAUGAAUCGGUUUUCAAGUUCGUUCGCUUUUGGAAAUACAGAAGGAGUCGUAUAAAAAAUCUCUUUAAAAAUUUCGCAUGCUAACUUGAGAUGAUUGGACUCCUAAUUGCAGCUCAUGAUUUUCUAGAAAAAAAUAUAUAUCCACGAGAAUUCUCAGAGUGAUUUUCAUCUUAACUAAACUAGAGUAUAUAAUAAUAAUAAAAUUAAAAUAGCCUUCAUCCGUUGCAACGCACGGGCAUUUUUUCUAGUAAAUUAUAAAUUUGAGAUGUGAUUGUAGAACUAACAAAUGUGGUAAAUCAAUGUUGAAAUGAUCAAAAUCGUGGUUUUGUGAAACUUUAUGGCCAUAAUACCUAAGGUUAUGUGCCACAUGCCAAAACCUUUGGGUUUUGUGCAACUUAGACCAUAAUACCUAGGGUUAUGUGAAAUUUACUCAAAUUUGAAACAAUCCAAUAUUAUAUAUAGACUCUGUGACAUAAAUGGGAUGAUACCAUUAAAUAUGCAUAUGAAAUUAUUCCCAUAUUAUCAUGACUUUGUAAUUACAAAACAACAGUACAAUGCAAAAGAAAGUAACACUCAAAGGUCAAAUUGUAAUUGUGGCUUCAAAAUAUUAAAAGAAGGAAUGGUUCUAGAACAUUAUGCCAAUAAAGAAUCCAACAGGCUUCGAAAUAUAAACAAAAUUGUAUUGUAUCACAAAAUAAUAAGGUAAUAAAGCAUGGUAGUCUCUAAUUUCCAAUAGAUAGAAACUUUGUUACCCUUUUGUAUUUUUCAACUAUAAGAUCAAAAUCGACCAACUCCAAAUUUAAGCAAUGUAGUUGUAGCUUUAGAUGAAUGAAAAUAACAAACAUACAGGAAAUUGAAAAAUAAAAAGAUUUGUUUUAGAUGAAUGAAAGAAAAGUAGGUAAUAGAAAAUAACAAGGAUGACGCUGUGCCACCACAAAAAUGUCUACACAUAAUGCAUGUUUAAGAAAUUGUGAACAGAUUUUGAAGUUGUCAAAGCCACUCACGUGCAGUUCCAGUUCCUCUAGAACUGGAGCGAGCUCCAAGAGGUAGGCCAAACGAAGAAUCCCACCAACUGACCUGCCGUCCCCAUAAAGAGGCAAAUACAAGCUCAGAUGCCUCAAAUUGAUGAAUCUCACUGAGGUUUUGGCAAAACUUUGCAACUGAAACACAACCAUGAUAGUCAAGGUAUGGAUGAGAUGACAAACAGAUGUCUAACUGAUUAAUGAAUUUAGUUGCUUUCAGAAAGAGAUAAAACCUCAUCGUAGAUGCAGAGUGUCGAGGUAAUGGAGAGUUUCUGCACAUGCGGAAGAGCGGCAGGAAGCUCGGUGCAGAUGUAGUCCAGAUUAUCACCAUAAAGCACGCUCUUAUGUAGCAGUUUAAUGUUUGCCUCCAUCACCUUCAGAGAUUCACUUAGUGCCAACGGAAUUGGCCGAUUGGUCAAAUCGACCGAUGUGAGGUUUGGAGCUUCCAGCUCAACCUUUUCCAUGUAGCAGUAGUGCAAAGAAAGAUAACGCAGACGGCGCAGUGGCUUGCACAAGGUUAGCUCAGUGAAGGAAGAGCAGCUGAUGCUCAGCCACUCAAGAGCAGUGCACUCCGACAGCAUCAGAUGUUGGAAGUCAUUUAAAAAGGAAACUUUGUGCAGGGUGAGCUUCUUGAGGUUUGCAAAGCCAGUGAAACCAGUGGUUGCUGUGUUCAACCAGACGUAGCUCAGAUGAAGGGAUUUGAUAUGAGCAGGGGAGCGGUCAGGGACACUGAAAACAUGCAGGUGGAAGAUGUACUUUUCAUCAGCUAAGCCCCUGAAAAUACCCUUCACUCCAGGAGUGAAAUCAAAAGUGAUGUGCCUUGCUCUCAACUUGGAGCAGAAGCCAACCCAUCUGUUGACAUGGCAGGUAUGUUUCCUGCGCAGCCCAAACUUAACAACAAACUUAUUCAGGGUAGGAGGUGCACAUAGCUGCCGCAAAAGACUGUUGACUCUCCUGGCAAAGUUGGUCCUUGUACGUCUUAUGGUUUUAUUCCCAGGCUUGAACAUGGUGGCCCUGGUGAAGAUCAAUUUCGGGCAGCAGCUUCUCCACAGUUUCUGCCACUUGCGAGAAAGAAGGCCCAUCCGUGAGGACUCUCUGAAUGUUAAUCGAGACAGUAUGCGGUGCAGGACAUCCUGCACAUUCGUAGGUAGCAUGUUACGGAUUAAUUACCGAGUAAACUGAUUCAUUACUAAGUAAAGAGUUCGCUCAUUCUCUGGAAUCAUUUAGCAGAUGUGUAAGUGUGAAAGGCACAUUGAAUUAAUUGCUUACAUCGGGCAGAUGGUGAAGUUGCAGGGCUUCUGGCUUGGUCAUGGGAACAGAUUUAUCUGGUAUGAACAUGCCAGAUCAUGAGAAUACAAAGAUGUAACUCCCAAAAUAAGCAUUGGGUAAUGCCUUGCUUGGAUGCCUCCCCCCUCCCCCAAAAAAAAAAAAAAGUACAGUUGAACCCAAAAAGCUUUUUUGGGAACAAACUGUAAUUAGUACUGAGGUUAAGGCAAAGAGAAAAGCUUCUCAGAUCUAGAACAGAACAUAAGGUAAGACAGAAAAGGAGGAUGUGCGUACAGGUGCUCACCGGCGACGAGAGGAUGCAGCUGAAGGAAGCAGCACUGCUCGCGGGAUGGAGAUUGGUGCAGGUGGCUGGCGAAGUCGUCACGAGACAGGAGAGAGUCGAGGCAGAAGAUGCAUCAAUACACCACCCAGAAGCCGUUUCGGUAUUGGAUAUCAGAAAAGAUACAGAUCAAAAUAAUUUUCGAUACGGCUUUGAUACGGAAUCGAUCCUUCCCUCCGGAAAAAAUCUCGAUUUCGAACCCCAAAAUUCUUCUCUUCACCAAAAAGAAGAAACAGAAAAACUCCUGACACACUAAAAAAAAUCAAAGCUGCGACAAACUUUCCUGGUCGCGUCGGGGAGGAGCGGCGUCUAUAUUCUGAGAGCGUAAGGCUGCCGGUGAAGAGCCAAUCCCAGUCUCCUGUCCUCUUCUCACUGCUCCACUUCCCUCCCGAGAGCUUCUUCCCCUCCCGGCUACCCUCAGUAGUCCUUCUCGAUCUGGCCUGAAGGUCACCGGUGGCAAUCCCCAGCCGCCAGAUGCCACUCCUCCCCGACGCGACCAGGAAAGUUUGUCGCAGCUUUUUUUUUAGUGCGUCAGGAGUUUCUCUGUUUCUUCUUUUUGGUGAAGAGAAGAAAGAGAAGAACUUUGGGGUUCGAAAUCGAGAUUUUUUUUUCCAGAGGGAAAGAUCGAUUCCGUAUCAAAGUCGUAUCGAAAAUUAUUUUGAUUUGUAUCUUUUCUGAUAUCCAAUACCGAAACGGCCGCUGGGUGGUGUACGGUGCAUCUUCUGCCUCGACUCCUGUCUCGUGGCGACUUCGCCAGCCACCUGCACCGAUCUCCAUCCCACGAGCAGCGCUGCUUCCUUCAGCCGCAUCCUCUCAACGCCAGUGAGCAACAGGCAAAUCAACAAAAUUAUGGGGAAUGUCAAAAAAAUUCAAAUUCAAGAGGAACAGGCAGUGGACAGAUAAAGCAAGAAAGAAAUUUACGAGAGAAGAUCAGAGAGUAUACCAGCACUUUCUUUGCGCUGCUGGGGAUGCUUGACUGCUUGAGACGAUGUCAGUUGUGGACGGCGGCACCCUCGGCCUCCACUGCCCCUGCCCGAAUCUCAAAGCUUGGGAGGUGAGGCUGGGCAAGACCUGGUUACCACUGCCCGAGACUUCUAACUGCCUAAAUAAUUAGGAAUUUCGGAAUGUAGUCUCUAACAACAAAUUGCCCUUAGUGGCAACACAAAAAAGGAGCUUAUUGACCAAACAAAAGGAGUACCGAACAAAAGGACAAAAUUAGGUACCUGAAAUAAGGUGUACCAUCAGAACAGUAAGAAAAAAUUUGCAUGGAUUCAAAACCUCAAGCUUCUUUUCAUCAUCUAGCAAAAUAAUUGGAAUAUUCAUAAAUGAACAGUAAUAAACUGAAUUUCAUGAUCUUAGAGGACACAAUUAAUGCAGGUGUAAAGCAUUCAGUUAAAAAUAUAAUAUGCUAAAAGGUUAAAGAUUUUUUUUCCAGAGCAUCUCACAGCAACACAUUCUUAUAAGACAUGGCAACUCAGAGAAAAUGGCUUCAUAUUAGCUUAUCUGGUUUAAACUGUAAUGGUGGCCUUAAAUAAAGAGAGAAUUCAUUGACUUCAUUCUAUACCCCCUAAGUUUACUCUAGUUCAAUGAUUUGUCAUCAACUUUGUCUCUCUCUGCAAUAUGCCACUGACUUUGACAAUUUUUUCUACAAUAUGCCAUUGGGGUGGAUACUUUUCAAAAAAUGCCUAAAAUAACCUUCAAGCUAUACAAGGGUUGCCAAUCAAUUGACUCAUUAUAAGUUUUGAAAAAAAAAUUGAAAGUUUUAGUGUAGCCUUCUUAUAUACGAUACAAAGUUUGUAUGUAUAUUUUAAGAUUUUCUUCAAUGUUUUUUUUUUUGAAAAAAUAUUCUUAUGUGGCAUAUGAAAGAUGAAUCAUACAUAAAAUAUAGCGAGAUUAGAAAAAUAAUUUUGUGUAGCAUAUGAAAGAUGAUUUACAUAAAAGAACUCAACGUUACAGUAUUCCAUUAGCAUAUGAAACAUAAAUUAUAUUUCCAAAAAAAUUAAUCCAAGCAAGAAUAAUUGAAGCAUGAGUACCAAAUGAAAAUGAUAAGCACCAAAUCUGGAUCAGCAUGAGUACCAAAUGGAAAUUGAUAAUCAGUAGUUGAUAAUCAGACAGUUCCCUAGCCAGAGCACAUUCUGUCAACUACUACCAAACAAAUAAUGUGCAUGUAAAGUCCUACAAAUACCAGGUUAUUGUGUAUGCUUGACCAAUGAGAAGUUAUUUAAAUGAGAGGCACCUUAGCACUUAGCAGCUAGACAGCUGAACACAUUUGGAACAAAGGCAGAAAGUGAGACACCUGAACAGAACAAAUUGUUAAGCUAUUUCUAAAAUCUAGACCUCAUAUUUAUCCAUCCAAAUGUUGUGCCUAUUUACAUUCUGAACUUUAAACUUAUUAUAUACAUAUUCUGAAAUAUAUACCAUAUGCUGAAUCAGAAUAACAUAAUGAUCGCGCAGAGUGGGUAGCAAGCACAGUAAGAAAUAGUGCAGAAGUUCAGAAGAGGACAACUGGCAUUACCUUAAUUGCAUAGGAUGUUGAGCAGCAGUGACCUGGAGCAGAUGCUACGAGAAAAUGUAAGCUGUUAAAACAAUGACAUUCAAUUAGAAACCAAACUAUCUGUUUUCCAAUGGCUGAGAUUAUAAAGUGUACUGCAUUUUUUAUACAGAAAUAUUGUAGUCCUUAUAUCCAAAAGUUGGAGCUGCAAUAGUUUAACCACAAAUAAGUGUGUGACCUUAGGAAUUAAUGUACAAUCAGUAUAGUGCUGGCUAGUUUUAGCUAAAUAAAAUAAUUUAGCUAUGGAAUAUGCCAUUUUUCACUACAGUUCCAUUGGAGGUUGUUUAACAGAGUAAAAACAAUCGAUGCGAGAUACUACACUAAACCGACCCCUGCAGCCGGCAGCUGUACACCGAGCCAACCAAAUGAAAUCAGAUCAGAACCUCUGUCACUAUUCAUAUUGGAAAUUUCAGUUAGCCUUAUUUACUUGAAUAAUAUAAACAAGAGCUAAUGGUAUACUAUACUAUAUGGGAUCCAAAUCGCUAGGCAAUUAAACGUAUCGUCAGAAAGCAUCACCUUUUCAUAGCCUGGCCACAGGCGUCAGUGCAUAACAACAUCUUCUCAACUUGAAUGUAUGCAUCACAUAUCCACAGACAGGAAGCAAAAAGCAAAUACCUGAUGAAAUCUUAUCGGUCUUUUCCGGGUAAUACCUCGAUUUGGCAUGCUGUACUUCUCCGCCAGGAAGCCAACGACGAUGCAAGGACCCGGGCAGCGUAGAGGGGAUGUUAGAGACGCGGCGGCAGUGAGUCCCCACGCGCCGGCGGGGCAGGGAAGGCCACCUCCGCAGAUCGGCCUCAGCCCUCAGCGGCAGUGAGAGGGUUUCACCGAUGGUGUGGGGAGGGGGAAGGAGCGGCGGCGGGACUGAGGGGGCGGUGGCGGCGCGGGACGGAUCUGCGUGAGUCUAGGGUUUCGUCGGUAGUGGUAGUGGUGGCGGUGGCGGUGGCGGCGGGACUGAGGGGGCGGGGGCGGUGGCGGCGCGAGUCGUGGCGGGAGGGAAAGGAGCGUAGGGGAGACGGUCGUGAGGAGGGAGGGGCGCGCGCGGUUUGGGGGAGCGAUCGAGGGGUAGGUCUGAUGCACGAGUUUUCGCGGUCACCGGCGCGAGCGAACGAGAAACCAUAAAAACCGGGAAAAAGUAAACGGAACGUCUCCCAACUUGUCAUCAGGAUAAAAAACAUCAUCGAUCCGCAAAAGAGAUCCUUUAACUAUAUAAAACCGGUCUUAAUAGGUCCAUUAGCGGUUUUGAUCCCGGUUUUAUCCUACGUGGCUGCUGAGUCAUCGUGGGCCCUACCUGUCAACCUCCUAUUUUUUCCCCUCCUCUCUCACUCUGGGCAGGCCGGCCGAUUAGGUGGGGAGGAAGUCGGCGGCGGCGGCAGCCUCCUCUCCGUGCUCGCCGACGAGGAGGAGCGGCAGGCAACCACGGCGGCGGAGCUGGAGCCACAUGCGCGGCCGGCAGAGACGCGGGGCGGGUGGAACGCGUUGGCGUCGGCUCAGGGAGCAAGGCGGCGGUGGAGGUGACGACGCGGUCGCAGGGGAGGGGCAUCGGCGGCGGGGAGGGGAGCAAGGCAGCGGUAGCAGCCUCCUCUCCAUGCUCGCCGACGAGGAGGAGCGGCGGGCGAUCGCAGCGGCGGAGCUAGAGCCACACGCGUGGCCGGCGGAGGUACGUGCGUCAUGGUAGCUAAGGGCUCCCAUCGAUCUUGUAACAUCCCGGCCUAGAGUUUAAUAGAAUUAAUAGAAUACUCAUAUCAACAAGUUGCAACUUCUUUUUCGAAAGCCGAUCUCCAAAGAACUCCAAGGUUAAGCGUGCUUGGCCUGGAGCAAUUUAGGGAUAAACUGUAGCAUCACAUAGGCUAAUCAUGGAUUAAUUAGGCUCAAUAGAUUCGUCUCGCGAAUUAGUCCAAGAUUAUGAAUGGGUUUUAUUAAUAAUCUACGUUUAAUAUUUAUAAUUAGUGUCCAAACAUUCGAUGUGAUAGGGAUUUAAAAGAUUUAGUCUCGUCUAAACAGGUCUAAGUGCGUAUGACCGUGCGUCGAGUGUAAAAUUGGAAGAUUUUAGUCGAUUGAUCUAUACAUAUAAAUCUUCGGGAGACACUAGCGAGCGUACCAUCUUCAGCUUGCCCGUAUUUCGGCUGGUGGCGUUGAGCUCCUUUCGGAUAUUAUCCAGAUCGAACUGCACUGCAUGCAGGGACGAGAAUGCUGCAAGCCAGAUAGAUGUACCGUAGAUGACCUCGUCGACAAUAUCGACGGACCGCAACGACCGGUGCGGAAGAGGUUGAUAUCAAGCAUCGUCGUGUGAUGAGGUGGAGCAGCGCCGACGGACGACUUUCGGUUGGCAAAGUACAACGACCGGCGGCGCACGGUAGGGUUAUGGGAGUUCUCCGAGGCUCGAUAUAUAUAGGAAAAAGUACACCGAAAGUCCCUCAACUUAUCAUCGAGUUACAAAAUCGUCACUGUCAUACCCAGCAGUAAUCGGUUAAGCUCGGCGGAAUCCACCAUUUACCAAGUCUUAAUAUGGGAUAAGCCACAAGACCAACAAGACCCACGCCGCCAAAUAUCGAUAGAUGAUAGAGAUUAGCCUAGACAUACCCCAUCCCGUGCCUAUGAAAAGCCGGCAAGAGAGAUCUAGCACAAUCUCUGAUCUCUUAUUAUACUUGUGUGAUCUAGAUGGAUAAAGAGAACACCGGCUUCGGCUAACAGGAUAUAGGGCUAUUACCUGUCAAAUAAGGGGCCCUAACCUGUAUAAAAAUCUAUGUCUCCAUCUCUUUUACCUCAAUCUCACAUAUACCCUAGUAUCGACAAUCCCCAUACCAUCUAAAUAACUUAGUCGCGGUACCACCCGUCGACAGUCUCCCAACCACAAAACCAAAUAUAUGAUAUCCCUCAACUUAAAAAACCGUCCACUUUAGGUCCUUUGAUGGUUUUGACCCCGGUUUUAUCCGACGUGGCGGCUGAGUCAGCAUGGGACCCACGUGGAGCCCAUAUAUCAGGAAUCAGGAUGCCAUCAUCACCCCCUCUCUCUCCCUUUCUCUCUCUCACUUUUUCUCGUCUCGCAGGCCAGCCGAUGGGGCGAGGCAGGAGAGAAGUAGGUUUGCAUGGUUUUAAUUACAUGAGGAGUAAAGAUUUCUGAUAUUAGAGAUUAGGAUGUCAUGCAAACUCGAUGUAAAAUUCAGGGAUGGUAAGUGAACUUAUUCCAGUCAGAAUCAAUACUGGUUGCGGCCGUGAAGGCCACAUGGUAUCAGCCACAGUUCACAGUGGUCUACAGGACUAGUUCCACAGGACUUCAAACUCUCAUGUUCUUCAUGGGCUGCUGCCUGAAAGAAAGUCCGGUUUAUUAUUGCCGGUAGCCAUAUGCCGCAUAAUUUCAUCAUAAAAAUCUCAUCUAAUUAAGCUCAAUUUCAUUGUCGCGCUAACAGUAACUAGAAAAGUGCAGUAUUGUUGUUGGUUUGUGUAACAUUUGGCAGGGCCACAGGAUAUUGUGUAGGCCAUUGUUAUGUUUGGUUGAGUGCAACACUGGUGUUUAAGAUUUGACCAGCUUAGCCCUGGUGUUUAGUUCGUGCCAUAAUUAUCGUAUGCUAUACGUUUUAAGAUAUAUCAAGUACACUCGUAAAAAGCUCAUUUUACCACAACUUAUUACAAGUGUGACCAACAAAUCACAUAUAAUUAUAUAAACUUUUGUAGAAAAGUGAGAUUAAUUGUCUUCUCUCUCCCUUUUUUUAGAACUAGAUUAUCUUCCAAACAACCCCUUAAUCUGAAGUCGCUAGCCAUCCUGAUCUCAUGCAACUACCGUGGAGGACAGAGAAUGGGUGGGGUUCCAGACUAUUGGCUCCUACCCGUACAGAUACAAUGAUAUCAUCAUCAUACCGGUACUCAAGCAAAAUACUCCAUCCGUCCCAAAAUAUAAGAACAUAUGACGGGGAUGAAACAUACAUUUUUUAAUACUAUGAACCUAAACAGAAAUGUCUCGUUUAGUCCUAUGUUUUUAUAUUUUAAGAUGGAGAGAGUACAGUACUACUUCUUCCAUUCUAAAAUAUAUUAAUAUAGUACUGAACUGAACACAAUCGAAUCGAGUACUACAAAUUUAGAUAAACUCUUUGUUUAAAUUGUUAUAUUUUAAGACUAGAAGUACAAUGCUUCAUCUAAAUAUUAAUCUAAGAAAUACAUUACUCUCCAUACUAUGAAUCUACUAUCAUCUACGGUGCACGACAAUGACUCCAAUCGACAUAAACUGGACCAUACAUUAGACAUUAUGCUCCAUGAUUUGAGGCCUUCACUGUACACGCCACGCCAGCUAUAUAUACAUAUAUACACGGUACACGCCUCCAUGGACCAUUGCCGAUCAAUCAUAUGCGUGCAUAGGAAUAAGAUAACUAAGUCUGAUCAGUGAGAGUAGAAGACAGUGACUCGUCACUGAAUACGCAUACCAACAUCUAGUAGAGAACAAAAAAAAUAAACAGAUAAAAUACGCAUACCAGCUAAUCCGAGUAGCUAGUCCUGUUUACCCUAAAAUUCAGGGUAAUCAACACGCCGUCACAUACGGAGUAGGAGUACUCCAGUAUAUUACACUCACGCACCGUAGCAUCAGUUGAUAAUUAACUGCGUGUGGACAAACCGAGACGCAUUGUUGUAACCAGAAGCGCGCAGUAGUAGAUGAUCAGGCCGUGGUUUUUUACCUUUUCAACCGCACAAUCCGGCACGUUUUCCUUAAACCGCGGUAGCCAGCUGGAGUGGUACGUGCCUGCUACUACCUGCCAAGCGUCGGCGAGUGCGGACACACAAGCAACAGGAGAGGAGUGGUCGAAAUCUACGUGCAGCCCCGCACAAAGACAGCGGAUCCAUUAAAACGCGACGCGUCCACGUCGCUCGCGGGUGCGCAUCGGUCGCCGUCGCCCCGCCACCGAAGAAAAAUCCAACCCCCCGCCCACCCGGGCGGCGCUUGCAGCUUUCGGCCGCGCGACGACGCGAUCACAUCGAAAAGCGCCCGCAACCUCACGAAACUUUGCGCGGGCGCGCGACGGCGGCACGGCGCGCGAGACGUACGCACGCAAAGUGCGCGCGCGCGGGAGUUUGAACCCUGAGCGCGACCGGUGGUUUUUUGUCGCGUACACCGGCGUCACGGGGACAGGGACGUGACUAGCUCCAGGCAGCGCGCGCGUCCGCGUCCGCGUCGUCGUCGUCGAUCGAUCGAGCUAGCGACCGGCGGCGCGCGGCCAGCGACGACGCGCGCGCGCACGCACGGUGUGAAAGGCCGGCUUGACCCUAUCUGAGCCUUUACGACCGGUGCGGGCGGAUUUGCUUCCGUCCCCGAAACUCGUUUGGUGCGCGGCUAGCUUUCCCGGAGGAGAAAAAACGGUUACGCGCGUUCACUUGACUAUGGCAAAGUGAUCAGAUAUCGGGAUAUGCAAAGCAAAGCGACGUAGUUUCAUUCUUUGCUGAGAUCGGAGGGAAAAGUGGCAAGAGAUGACCUGAACCGGGCAAAGAACGUGUGCUUGUGAGAUUUAUUAGUGCCUUGGCAGGACAGAAUUAUGGUGUUCCUUUCCUUUAUCCGGGCUAUAGGCUACGUGAACGUGAUCCACGCUUCCCGAGCAGAGAGCAGCUCGAGAUUCACGUCCCGACAGAUUAGAAUGGUUACAAAAAAAACUCAGCUGUUGACCCAAGGCUGGGUUUUGCACGUCAUUUGGGUCCUCAAAGUCACGGCACAAUCAUUUUCAGACCCCCUGGCCCGUCACUCGGGCUAGCUAAGCUAGCCGCGCACGUGUAAAAGUAGCUUUCACUGGUGGAGAAACCAUCUUUCGUCGGUCGGCCGAUUUCCACAAUAGUGCCGGAUGCAAUAAAAACCGGGGCUAAAGAUGAUCUUUAGUCCCGGUUCAAAAGGGUAACGGGCAUAUUUGAUCUUUAGUCCCGGUUUGUGCUACCAACCGGGACUAAAGUUAAAGCACCAACCGGGACUACUAAAGUUAAGAUCUUUAGCCCCGGUUGGUGCUACCAACCGGGACUAAAGAUCUUAACUUUAGUCCCGGUUGGUAAUACCAACCGGGACUAAUGAUCCCGGUGAUCUUUAGCCCCGGUUGGUGCUACCAACCGGGACUAAAGUCCCACCCCUAUAUAUAUGUCUUCUUCCUCCUCCAGCUGCCCGAGCGAGCUUCAAAAUUUCUUCAAAAAAGAGGGGAGGUCAUGCCAAAAUUUCUAUUGAAUUUAUUUUGGUGAUUACAUACAAAUCGGAGGUGCCUAAAAGGUUUGCAACUUCAUCCUCCAAUGUUUUUUUUGUCAUACUACAUUUGCACCUAUGUUUUGCACACUUUUUUUUGUCUCCAAAAUUUAGUUGUAAGUUGAUGAGAGAGAAAAUGUGUGUGGGGAAGAAAGAAUAUAUAGAAAUUUAGUUCAUUUGCUAAACAAGGUUUUAUAAAAUAGUUGAGAAGGAAAACUCUAGUGAAAGUUAAUCUUAAAUAAUAGAAAACAAACUAAAAUGAAAAUUAAAAGAAGUAAAACACAUUAAAAUUAGUUUAAAACUUUACAAAUAGUUUUUAAGAAUUAUUUGGUGUAAUAUUUUAUGAUUUUUGUAUGAAUAAAGAUAUCUUAUAAUUAUUGUAUGACUGUCAUUAUUGUAAGAAUAAUUAUUUGUGUGCGGUUUUUUUGACUCAUGUAGAUGGAUCGGCAAUGGAUGUACGCUGACCGGCGGUCCAAAGAGUUUAUUGACGGCGUGCACUAUUUUUUGAGAGUGGCCGAAGCUAACAGGCAAAGGGGUUUUAUUUGUUGUCCAUGCAAUAAGUGUAAGAAUCAGAAGGAGUAUUCUGCAUCCAGGACUAUUCAUUUCCACUUGUUUGAGUCGGGGUUCAUGCCAAGCUAUAAUUGUUAGACAUCCCACGGAGAGCAAGGUGUUGAAAUGGAAGAAGAUGAAGUGGAAGACGACAAUAUUCCGGACUUUGCUCAGUAUGUUGGAUUUGAAGGAAAUCAAACGGGCGAGGAGGAAAUAGCUGCUGAUGGUAACGAUGUUGCGGAUGAUCUUGGUCAGAUGUUGCAGGACGCCAGGGAAGACUGCGAAAGUGAAAAGGAGGCCCAUAAAUUGGACAAGAUGUUGGAGGACCACAGAACUUCGUUGUACCCAGGUUGCGAGCUGGGGCACAAAAAGUUGGAUACCACUCUGGAGUUGUUGCAAUGGAAGGCAAAAAAUGGGGUUAGUGACAAGGCAUUUGGCGAUUUAUUGAAACUCGUCAAGAACAUUCUUCCGGGGGGAAACAAAUUGCCCGAGACAACGUACGAGGCUAAGAAGAUAGUUUGCCCGUUAGGACUGGAAGUUCAUAAGAUUCACGCAUGUCCGAACGAUUGUAUCCUAUAUCGCGGUGAGGAGUAUGAGAACCUAGAAGCAUGCCCUGUUUGCAAAGCACUACGAUACAAGAUUAGACGGGACGAUCCAGGAGAAGUUGACGGGCAGCUAACAAAGAAGAGAAUUCCUGCUAAGGUGAUGUGGUAUUUCCCUAUAAUACCACGGCUAAGGCGUUUGUUCAGGAACAAGGGGAAUGCUAGAAUGUUGCGAUGGCACGCUGAAGAGCGUCAACAGGACGGGAUGCUGAGACACCCCGCCGAUGGUUCGCAGUGGCGAAACAUCGACAGAAAAUUUAAAGAAUUUGGAAAGGACGCACGAAACAUACGGUUUGGUUUGAGUACGGAUGGCAUGAAUCCUUUUGGAGAGAUGAGCAGCGGCCAUAGCACUUGGCCCGUUACGAUGUGUAUCUACAACCUCCCCCCUGGCUAUGCAUGAAGAGGAAGUACAUAAUGAUGCCGAUUAUUAUUCAAGGCCCCAAGCAACCUGGUAACGACAUCGACGUGUACCUAAGACCACUAGUCGAAGAUCUUAAACAGUUGUGGAAGAAGGAAGGUGUCCCCGUGUGGGACGAGGACAAACAGGAGGAGUUUAACCUACGAGCGCUGCUGUUCGUAACCAUCAACGAUUGGCCUGCACUUAGCAACCUAUCCGGACAGUCCAACAAGGGGUACAAGGCUUGCACUCACUGUAUGGAUGAAACAGAAAGUACGUAUCUUAAGCACUGUAGGAAGGUUGUAUACAUGGGUCAUCGUCGAUUCCUUGCAGCAAACCACCCGGUACGGAAGAAAGGCAAGCACUUCGAACAUAAGGCCGACCACCGUACGAAGCCUAAACAUCGCAGCGGGAAAACAGUGUUUGCUAUGGUUAAAGAUCUUAAAGUAGUGUUCGGAAAGGGGCCUGGAAGCCAGCAUAUAGAGAGCGAAGAUGGUCACGCGGCGAUGUGAAAAAAGAACUCUAUAUUUUGGGAGUUACCAUAUUGGGAAUUCUUAUACGUACGCCACGCAAUCGACGUGAUGCACCUCACUAAGAACCUUUGCGUAAACCUUCUUGGCUUCCUAGGUGUAUACGGAAAGUCGAAAGAUACACUGGAAGCACGUAAUGAUCUGAAGCAUAUGGAACAACGCGGCGACCUUCACCCGGAACCAAAGGAGAAAGGAAGCCAUUACUUGAGUCCAGCCAGCUACACUCUUAGCAAGGAAGAGAAGGAAAGUAUGUUUGAAUGCUUGGAGAGCAUAAAGGUACCGUCUGGAUACUCCACGAAUAUCAAGCGAAUAAUAAGCACGAAGGAGAAGAAGUUCACAAACCUAAAGUCUCAUGACUGUCACGUGUUGAUGACACAACUGCUACCAGUUGUAAUAAGGGGUAUCCUUCCAGACAAUGUCCGGGCAACAAUAACAAAGAUAUGUGCAUUCAUGAACGCAAUUUCGCAGAAGGUCAUCGAUCCGGAUAGAUUAGAAGCCCUUCAGAAUGAAGUGGUGCAAUGUCUCGUCAGUUUUGAGUUGAUAUUUCCACCUUCAUUUUUCAAUAUAAUGACGCAUCUGCUUUGUCACCUUGUGAAAGAGAUCCGUAUUCUCGGGCCUAUGUACCUACACAACAUGUUUCCUUUCGAGAGGUACAUGGGCGUUCUGAAGAAGUAUGUUCCUAACCGUGCUCGUCCAGAGGCAAGCAUCGCCAAGGGUUAUGGAACAGAGGAGGUCAUCGAAUUUUGCGUAGAAUUUAUCGAAGACCUUCGCCCAAUCGGGGUACCUGAAUCACGCCAUGAAGGGAGACUACGGGGAAAGGGAACUCUCGGAAGGAAAGCAAUAACGACGGUAGACAACAAUUUAUUCCGUAAAGCCCAUUUCACUGUUCUGCAACACUCUUCAUUGGUAGCUCCUUACAUCGAGGAGCACUUGGCUCUAGUUCGCGCCAGGAACAUCGGUAAGUCCGAUGCAUGGAUUACACGGCAUCACAUUGAUACUUUCCCCGCGUGGCUACGACAUCAUCUCAUGGGUAACGAGUCGAUCAACCAACAACUUGCCUUCCUGGCGAGGGGACCGUUUGGGUCGAUCGCGACAUUACAGGGAUAUGAGAUCAAUGGGUACACAUUCUACACGAGAGCCCAAGACAUGAAGAGCACGAACCAAAACAGCGCUGUUCGUGUCGAUGCCAUGGGACACGAUGGAACAACUGCCACGUAUUACGGUGCCAUCGAGGACAUAUGGGAACUUGACUAUGGUCCUCUCAAGGUUCCUCUGUUCCGGUGCCAAUGGGUUAGGUUGACUGGUGGAGGCGUAAUGAUUGAUGAUAGUGGGAUGACAACUGUUGACCUUAACAAGGUUGGAUACUCGGACGAACCUUUUGUCCUUGCCAAUGAUGUAAUGCAAGUCUUUUUCGUGAAGGACAUGUCUAGCAAAGGAAAGAAGGGCAGAGGGCCUGAUGAGCCUAAGCGUCAAGUGGUUCUCCCAGGCAAAAGAAAAAUCAUCGGAGUUGAGGACAAGACUGACGAGGAUUACGAUCAGUUGGAUGGGCAACCCCCUUUCACGGUGACGAUUGACCCUAGCAUCCUCCUAUCAAAUGAAGACACCCCUUACUCACGCAGCGAUCACAAGGAGGGAACAAUAGUGAGGAGAAAGUACGUGCCGUAAUUAUUGUGUACACGAUGUAAACUAUUUUGGAUGUAUUGAUUAUCCAUAUAAAUCAAUUGAUGUAUGGCAUAUGUUAAUUACGCACGAUUAUUAGAGGUUUCAACAAGUUUAAAUCAUGUAUAUGCUAGUUAUAUGUGAUACUUACAAUUUUUAAAAGUUUUAAAUCACACAGGUGACAAUUUCAUAUGUAUGUUAAUUAGAGUUUUUAACAUUUAAUUUACUAGCAUUCAUAUGCUAAUUAUAAUUGACUAGAGGAUUUUUAAAAGUUUUAAAUCACGCAAGUGGCAAUUUCAUAUGUUAAUUAGAGUUUUUAACAUUUAAUUUACUAUCAUUCAUAUGCUAAUUAUAAUUGACUAGAGAAUUUUUAAAAGUAUUAAAUUUAAUAUAUUUUUAAAACUAUCAUUCAUAUAUUAGAGUUUUUCACAAUUAAAUUUACUAUCUUUCAUAUGCUACUUAUAUAUGACUAUUCGAAUUUUUAAAAGGUUUAAAUCAUGCAUGUGGUAUUUACAUAUGUUAAUUAGAGUUUUUAGCAUUUAAUUUAAUAUAAUUCCUACGCUAAGUACAUAUGAUGAUUACAAUUUUUAUUAAUUUUAAAUCAUGCAGUAUGUACAUACAUAUCUUAAUUAGAGUUUUUACCAAUAUAAUAAUAUCAUUCAUAUAUAUGCUAAGUAUAUAUGAUUAUUGGAAUUUUUAUUAAUUAUAUUUGCUUAUUACGAUUUAUCCACUUAAUUUAUUACAGACAAAAAUAAUUUUUCGAAGUAAUUGUCAUUAAUCUUUGUACUUUAAAUAAUGUUAAUGCAUUAACUUCUAUUUUAUAAACACGUAUGUAAGCGAAAAACAUAUGCAGUGCUAUAAUCUUUAGUCCCGGUUCUUAACCCUAACCGGGUUUAAAAAGAAUUUCGAAAUAGCGGGAAAAGAUAUUUACUCCCGGUUGUUGAGAACAACCGGGACUAAAGAUAUCUUUAGUCCCGGUUGUUGACAACAACCGGGAGUAAAGAUCUUUUCUUUACUCCCGGUUGUUCUCAACAACCGGGAGUAAAGAUCCGGGGGUAUAUAUAUUCCCGGUGCGCCCUCGUCUUCUUCACCAACACUUAAACGUUUUCGGCCGAUCGAUCUCUCUCGGCCUCUCUCCUUCGCCGCCACUGCCUAGGGCAAAUCCCCGCGCCGACGCCGCCGUAUCUCGCCGUCGUCUCGAGCUCGUCGUCAUCGCCGCCGCCUCCGCCUCCUCCGCUGCCGCCGCAUCUCUGGGGUGAGAGCCGCCGCCGCCAGAUCUCCCUUCAUGCAUCUCGAUCUCUCCGAUCUCGAUCUCUCUCCGUCGCGCCGCCCGCCACGAGACGCCGCGCCACGACGACGACGCGCCACGAUGACGACGCGCCACGCCGCCGCCUUCGACGCCGCGCAACGCCGCUGCCGCAUGCCAACGCCACGCCGCCGCCGCCGUCGCCACGCCGCCGCCGCCUUCGCCGCCGCGCGCGCAAUGCCGCCGCCGCCACGCCACGCCACGCCGCCGCCGCCACGCCACGCCGCCGCCGCCACGGCCCCGCAACGCCACGCCGCCGCCGCCGCCGCCACGCCGCCGCGCCAACCGCCGCCCCGAUGCCGCCACACCGCCGUUAACGAACGAGAACGAGAACGAUCGAACGAACGAGAGCGAGAACGAACACGUCAACGUACGUUGCCGCGACAACGUGAACGAGAACGAGAACGAUCGAACGAACGAGAGCGAGAACGAACACGUCAACGUACGUUGCCGCGAGAACGUGAACGAGAACGAGAACGAUCGAACGAACGAGAGCGAGAACGAACACGAUCGAACGAAGACAAGCGAGAACGAGGGAACGAACGUGAAUGAGAACAAGCGAACGAACGUGAAUGAGAACGAGCGAACGAACGUGAACGAGCUAGGGAACGUGAACGAGCGAACGAACGAGGACGAACGUUAACGUGAAAUGCAAUAUAUAUAUAUAUAUAUAUAUAUAUAUAUAUAUAUAUAUAUAUGUUACUUCGCAUUUAUCCUAAUACAUUUUUUGUAUCUUGCAGAAAAGACGUGUUGUCGGAGUCGUCCGUCAAGCCUGAGUGGAAGAGCUAGCCCUAGAAGGAAUUGGAGCAGGCAAGUGACGUAAUAAUAUAAAUGAUUGUUAUAUUUGUAAUGCAAUUAAUUAAGAUUAUUAGACCUUUAAUUAGACUUAUCAUAUAAGAUUGUGUAGUGUUCUAAUAUUAUUUGAGUUUUAAUAUAAGAUUAUUUUAUUGCAAAUUAGACUUAGUAUGACAUUAUUGACUACGGAAUUGGUGCGACUCCUAGCAAUUGACUAUUGUAGUCUUAAUUAGACUUAGCAUAUACGCACGAAACACUUAGCAUACAUGACUAUUUUAGUCUUAGCAUGUAAUAUUAUUUGAGUUUUAAUAUAAUAUUAUUUUAUUUGUAAUUAGACUUGGUAUGUAAUUAUUGACUACGGAAUUGGUGCGACAAGUAGCAAUUGACUAUUGUAGUCUUAAUUAGACUUAGCAUAUACGCACGAAACACUUAGCAUAUACAUGACUAUUUUAGUCUUAGCAUAUAAUAUUAUUUGAGUUUUAAUAUAAGAUUAUUUUAUUUGUAAUUAGACUUAGUAUAUAAUUAUUUACUAGCUAGGGUUGUAUAAUAUACGUCACCUAGACUUAGCUUAUAUCACGAUUUAUAAUUAGACUUAGCACGUAAGGUUGUGUAGGGUUCUAAUGUACGACAUUUACACUUAGCAUACAUGACUUAGAUUGUUAAAACAUAAAUGUCUCGUGACUUAGCAGAUGUUUCUUGUAUCAACAGAUGGCUGACCGCGAUGAGGAACAGAUAUUGUACGAUACAAUCGCGGAGGGAAGCAGCCAGUACUGGAAUGAAGAAGAGGGGAACGAGGAUCCAAACCAGUACUUGAACGAGGAAGGGAACGUGGAGAGGGAUGCGGAGGGGAACCAGCAGGGGCACGUGGAAAGGGAUGUGGAGGGGAACCAGGAGGAGGUUAGUGGUAAUCAACCCUCCGUUGGACAGAAGAGGGCAUGCGGGCAACGAGGUGCAGCGAAGAAGCUUGAGGGUCGGCACAUCAUAACGGAAGUGGAAGAAGAUGGACGUCCUAGUGCCCCGGCCGAAGCCGCCAAGAACUAUGUACGUCACAGCGGUUGGGUUGUGCGGGAUAACGUGCCUGUCAGUACGGUGUACUGGCGAAGAACAAGGGCACACGGAGAUCAUGAGAGCUUUGUCCCAGAUUCGGAGAAAGAGAUGUUGUGGACCACAAUGCUCGAGACAUUCACCCUUCCUGCUGGUACAGAGGACAAAGUGAAAAGGUGGACUCUGAAGAAAAUGGCAGAACAGUUUCAGAGCUUCAAGGGAGAUCUGUACCAGAAGUAUAUACUGAAGGGGCAGACACCGAACUUCGACACAUUCCCAAAGCUAAGGGAUCACUGGGACGAGUUCGUUGCAUAUAAGACAGAUGAACAAGGGCAGGCGAUGAUGGAAAGAAACAAAGAAAAUGCCGCCAAGAAGAAGUACCAUCACCACUUGGGGUCAGGAGGCUAUAGCGUCGCGAUACCGAAGUGGGAGCAGAUGGAGGCUAGCUUGAUUGAGAGGGGUAUCGAACCGGCAACAGCCAAUUGGCCGGAACGAUCGAAGUUCUGGUACUAUGCUCACGGUGGAACGCUCAACCCAGCUGAUGGCUCACUGGUCUUCGGCUAUCAGAUACGAGAGGCUGCGCGACGACUAACAGAUGCAGUGGAAGCCUCCUCUCAGGGCACGUUCCGACCAGACAGAGAUAGGGACGAGCUGACACUCGCCCUGCAGACUCCAGAGCAUCCAGGACGAACUCGAGGGAAAGGGGUGAUUCCUUGGAAGAUUGGUUUCAAGGAGGACAUCCACACGUACAGGAGUCGGAUGAGGAGCAAGAGAGAUACCGAGGCGAAGAUUGCAGACCUAGAGUUCCGGGUAUCGAGCUACGAACUCAACAUGCAAGAGGAGGUGGCAAGGAAGGUUGAUGAACGCAUGGCCGCACAUCGGUCCCAUGAUCCCCAGCCGACCAUUCCUCUUGCAAUGGUGAGCCCGUCAGGAAACCGUAGCAGCUGCGCCUCAACAGGGCAGGUAGGAUCACAGAGCAUGGACGCCAUGCAAACACAGGACGAAUCGACCUGUCCCGUUGAUGACAUCACUCAGCGGACACCAUGUGAGCUGCAUAUUCCUUUCAAGAACUUAUCAAUAAAGGUAAGAUUUAGCCAUUCCGCUAGUUGCUGCUUAUAUAUGUUGAUUACUAAUAAAUAAUCUCUCACAACAUGAAGGUGGCGUCGGGCAUGGCCAUCCCAACGGACCCUUCAGGUACUUAACACUGUAGGCCGAUUCCAGCAGGAUACUCGAAGGUCGAAGUUGAGUUGGUCGAAGGCGCGUACGAGGACCUCGAGCUGGAUUACCCUGGAGGAGACGGUGAGACGCAUCUACGAGACACAUGCCAUGCCAUUAUUCUAUGGCGCAGGCGGUACAUCAUCCUCCCUGGGCGACAAGCGGCGUCUCGUGCACCAUCUCCUCCGGCUCCGCCAUCUCCUCCUCAGGAUCCUGCACCGUCUCCUCCUCAUGCUCCGCCAGCACCGUCUCCACCUCAGGCUCCAGCAUCGACUCCUCCUCAGGAUCCUGCACCGACUCCUCCUCGUGCUCCUACACCUACUCCCCCGCAAGCUCCUCUUCUGGCACCUUCAAAGUCAGGGGCCCCCCCAGCUCCACCGCCUGCCCACACAAGGGCAACGAAGAAGGCGAAAGUUGACGCCGCCAAGAACAAGGACCCGGGGUACGAUUGCACGCAAGAGGAGCUUGACGCUUACGUUGCAUCAGAAGUCAAGAGACAAUUCAAGCCUCGAAGUCCAGAAAAGAAGAUUCCUAUAGACCCCAGUGUCAGGAACUUCUUCAGGGGUAUGUCUGCAUCUGUCAAGGAGGCCAUCAAGCUAUCGGACUAUGAGCGAACGCUGAAGAAAGCAUCUUUUGGAAAGUCCAAACCAGUCCCUCAGCUUGGAGAGCAACCAAACCAGGAGAUCGAGCCGUUGGUGACCGGUAAAGAAAUGACGAUAGAACAAUUUAUUACUGACACCGGUCUAACUACAGAUCAAUUGCUAGGAGUCGCACCAAUCGAAAAGGCGGAAGUGAAAUACAUGUACGAACUCGGUAAACCGCUUGUCAAGCCUGAGCUGCUGCAGUCCCUACCCACACAAAUGUACAAGUUCCAUCAGCUGUACAUGGAGAUGAGCGCCACCGGUAGAGAGAUGAUCGGAGCGAGGAUCAGGGACACGGGCUUCUUGCAAGGAGAUGACAUUCUCUGGAUCAAUUUCAGGGGAAUCUACGAACUAUACCAGCUGGACGCCCUCGACGUCUCUAUUAUGAGUUGCUGGAUUUUGUAAGUAUAUCGUUCAGUUAGAUUUCUUACUAUACGUCUCCUUUAAUUAAUUAGGUCCUUGUAUAUAAGUAGACCAUAGAAAAUAAUAUACUCCCUUUUAUCGUUGUAGAAUGGAGAUUCAAAGGGCCCGACGGCGGAGGGUUUUCGAUACUGGAUUCAUCGACCCUCGGAAAGUAAACGUCGCAAUGCUCGACCAAUAUCCACAAGAAACAGAGGACAAUCUCGUCCAUCUCCUGAAGGCGCAGCAUUACAAGACGUUCAUACUGUUGCCAUACAACACAGAGUUAGUUUAAUUUUACUGUCUUCCUACAUACCAAAUUUCAUUCCCGUACGAACUUGCUAAGUGUUUCAUAUGUAAUACAUCCCACGCACAUUGCAGAUUCCACUGGGUGCUUUUACUCAUCGACCUGGAGGCCUGCACCGUCAACGUAUAUGAUUCAAUGGAUAAAAAAGAGUCUACGUUUGACAAGGUUUUCGAACUUAUAGACAGGUACCGUCAUAAGUUCCUUUGUUAAUUAAGAAAAUCUUGUUAUGUUAAUUGCUACUACGAAUCAUAGCUUUAAACUCCAUGUAGGGCUUGGUAUCGGUUCCGUCAUUUGGUCCGCGGCAAAUGGAGAGAAAGACUUAGGCGGAAGUUCAAAUUUCCUGUGAGUACACAUGCUCUACAUUUAUAUUUCUCCGAUUCAAAUACAUACAAGUGUAUAUUAAUUAGAUCUCUCGUUGUUUAUUAUUUAUUUGUAGUGCGCAAAGCAAAAGCAGAGAACUAACUUGUGCGGCUAUUACGUGUGCGAGUAUUGCCACUGCCUUGCAGACCAAAUCAUCACCACAAGAGAGCUCGAUGUACGUACAAAUAAAUUCAAAAUUUCAUUACGUAGCGAUUUCUUGUUUAAUUACUAAUCAAUUUCAUACAUUCAUAUAGUUUAUUCGCAUGAGGGAUAACCUGACCACACACAAGGAAUUUAUCGCGGCGGUUCAAGAACAACUCAUGGGAUUCAUCAACGAAGAAAUCCUUGAUCCCAAGAGUGAAUUCUACUACGACGGAAACACAAUUCACCGGUCCUUAGCUUCUGAGCUAGCAGCGAGUACUACUACGUCGAAAUCGUAGCUAGCUAGGACAUAUAAUGGAUUGUAAUUAAUACAUGACUACAUAUGUUUCUAUAUGCAUGUGUACACAUUUUCUAUAAUGUAAAUAUAUUUUGUUCAUAUAUAUAUCUAUAUACAUAUGCAUUUGCAUAACAUAUAUAUGUAUAAAUACAUAUAUAUUAUGCAUGUAUAUACAUAUAAUAUAAUAUAAUAUAUAUAUAUACAUAUAUAUAUGUAUGCAUAUAUAUGUAUUGAAACAUAUAUAUGCAUGGUUUAUAUAUAUAUAUAUAUAUAUAUAUAUAUAUAUAUAUAUAUAUAUAUAUAUAUAUAUAUAUAUAUAUAUAUAUAUAUAUAUAUAUAUAUAUAUAUAUAUAUAUAUAUAUAUAUAUGUCGGUGACAUGGGACCGGGAGUAUCAUGACUUAGAGACUUGAGGCAGACACGAUCACCCACGUGGCCUAACCCCCUCGGGGGGGGGGGUCGGGCCCGAGGGUGAUACGGCCGCCCUUCUCUUUGUCUCCCCGAGGGGUCGGACCGCUCCCGUCUCGGCCCCGAGGGCCGAGGCGCCCCGACCCCUUGUGGGUUUUGCGCCGCGUAUAUGGGGUAGGUGAGCAUAGCGGGGCUCACCUAACCACAUUUAUUGCGGUUUGGACGAGCGCGUCACGCCGCAUGUAACGCAGUGCAGCGCGCUCGUUUAUCCGGUCAGUGACCAGUCACAGACCGAUCAGAUCGUGGGUUAGGUGGCGACAGGCGGUCUGACGCACGCCUCGCCCCAUCCCGUCAGGAUGAGAGCCUCCAAGCACUCGUCCCUAGCCGGAGCCGGCGUGUUAGCUCCUGGAGAUGGCACGUUGGUCCCGGUCAGAUAUAUACCAGGCUUCAUCCUAACCAUUACAAGCAAGACAUUGUAUGAAGAGGGGCGAACAUGCAGAUUGAUAAACUGACGCGUGGUGGACAAGAAUGACCGAUUUGUGACCGGUCUGACACUGAUCAUGUCGUCAGCAGACAGCCAUGUUCCCAAGUCGCGCCUGCUUCCGGCGGAAGUGGAGGUAGGUAUGGGCUGUCCCAUCAGAAGGUCAUUCGGACGGCAACCAUACAAGUCUCCGUCUGUUUAUGAAAAGAUAGGAUAAGUCCCCACAAAAAAGAAGGAGAUGGUGCAUGUGGUAUCCCCUUGAGGUAUAAAAGGAGGACCUUGCCCACUUAGAAGGAGGAGGGAUUUUCGGAUCCAGAACGAUCAGAGAGGAAGAGAGUAAGAGCUCUCUGGUUCUCCAGCUCUUUUGUAGCUUCUUCAUACAUAGAUCCACAAAAACACAGGAAGUAGGGUAUUACGCUUCUCAGCGGCCCGAACCUGUAUACAUCGCCCGUGUCUUGUGUGUUUCCAUUCUCGCGAACCUUCCACACAAAGACUAGGAGCUUAGAAUCUCACCCAGGGCCCCCGGCCGAACCGGCAAAGGGGGGCCUGCGCGGUCUCCCGGUGAGGAGCCCCACGCUCCGUCAUCUGGCGCGCCAGGUAGGGAGCUUUGCGUGUGUUUUUCUAAGCUCUCGCAUUCUUUCGUGUGCGCCAAGCUUUUCCUGUUCGGCCCAAUGGCCGAACAAGCAAAGGCGCACAACCUCUCUCCGAGUGUUAGCGGUGAUGACGGGGAGCCGAACCCACGCCGUCGAGCUCGUACUCCACCGCCCCCUCCACGCCAAAGUCCUAGGCGGGAGGAGGCGCUCGAGAGGGUCGAAGGAUCCGCGACUUCGACAUCCACGGGUGAUGGGGAAGGGCGGCGAGAUGGGGAGCGUCGCCUCCUCGUCUACGGCGACGGCAGCACGCCCCAGGGCGCGCUCCAAGCUGCGGGCGCGCUCCUACGUCACCCGCCCAUUGUGCCUGACCCGGAGGCUCCAGCCCAACGUUGGUUGGACGACGUGGCCAACUUGGUCAUGACGGCACGGCAGCGCCUAGGUGCUGGUGGGCGGUCCUCCGCCACCAAGACCUCUGGCGCUGCUACCACCGGCUCCGUGUCGUCAAGGCGGAGGGCGCGGCGAGCGGCGGCUGUUGCUCGCCAUUCAGCCGCCACUCCUUCGUCAGCGCCUCCGACCCAGGAAGAUCUGCGUGGGGGGCCGGAUGCCCGCAUCAGUAUCGAGCGCCGGCGUAAUGGCCGGCGUGCUGCCCACGCAACGGAGGGCGCCUCCUCGUCCGGAGUGUCGCAUCAACACGGACGCGGGGAUCAGCCCUCCGUGCCCCCGGUUGGUGGUGUCGGCUGUAGAGCCUUUGUGGCGAGCCUUCGGAACGUCCGUUGGCCCCCAAGGUUCCGGCCCACCAUCGCCGAAAAAUAUGACGGGAGCGUCAACCCCGCCGAGUUUCUCCAGGUCUACACGACCGGGAUCGAGGCCGCCGGGGGUGACGACAGGGUCAUGGCGAAUUUCUUUCCCAUGGCCCUGAAGGGACAGGCACGGGGUUGGCUAAUGAACUUGCCACCCGCGUCCGUCCACUCUUGGGAGGAUUUGUGCCAACAGUUCACCAUGAACUUUCAAGGCACAUAUCCGCGCCCAGGUGAAGAAGCGGACUUACAUGCAGUCCAGCGAAGGGAUGAUGAGUCACUUCGCUCAUACAUUCAGCGGUUCUGUCAAGUCCGCAACACCAUACCAUGCAUCCCUGCACACGCGGUGAUCUACGCGUUCAGGGGGGGUGUGCGGCACAACCGCAUGCUCGAAAAGAUCGCCUCCAAAGAGCCCCAGACUACCGCGGAGCUUUUUCAGCUCGCGGACCGAGUGGCUCGAAAGGAAGAGGCAUGGACCUAGAACCCCUCCGGUUCCGGUGUGGCAGCUUCGGCCGCCCCCGGAUCUGCUGCUCGGACAGGGCGGCAUGACAGGAGGAGGAAGAAGAGGUCAGCCCAUUCCGACGACGAGGGUCAUGUCCUCGCCGUCGAGGGCGCUUCGCGGGCCACCCGAAAGGGGAGGCCUGCGAGCGACAAAAAGAAGGAGGCCGGCGCUCCCAGUAGGGAGCGCCCAACCGGCAAGUGGUGCAUCGUCCACAACACCUCCCUUCACGAUCUCGCGGACUGCCGUGCAGUCAAAAGUUUGGCUGAGCGGACGAGGAAGUGGGAGGAGGAGAGGAGGCAGGAGCGCCGAGAGGGCAAGUCCCCGGCGGUUCCUUCCGGCAAUCGGCGAAGUGAGGCCAAGCAGAAGGCCCCCGCCGAGGACAUCGAUGACGGCGAUGAUGACCUAGGUUUCCAAGAGCCUGGGGCCACCAUUGCCACUGUCGAUGGGGGAGCGUGUGCUCACGUUUCUCGUCGGAGCCUCAAGGCCAUGAAGCGAGAGCUUCUGGCCGCGGCCCCUACUCAUGAGGCGACGCGCCGGGCGCGGUGGUCGGAGGUUGCCCUCACCUUCGACCAGACCGACCACCCACCGUGCGUUGCCCGGGGAGGACAAAUCGCAAUGGUGGUUUCCCCCACUGUUUGCAACGUGAAGCUGGGGCGUGUCCUCAUUGAUGGGGGAGCAGCCCUCAACAUCCUUUCCCCCGCAGCCUUUGACGCUAUCAAGGCCCCGGGGAUGGUGCUCCGGCCGUCCCAGCCGAUUAUCGGUGUGACGCCGGGUCACACUUGGCCGCUAGGUCAUAUCGACCUCCCGGUCACCUUCGGUGGAUCCGCCAACUUCCGCACGGAGCGGGUGAACUUUGAUGUGGCGGACCUCAGACUGCCCUACAACGCGGUCCUAGGGAGGCCCGCGUUGGUGAAGUUCAUGGCGGCAGUCCACUACGCCUACCUCCAGAUGAAGAUGCCGGGCCCCGGUGGCCCCAUCUCUGUCCAUGGCGACCUCAAAGUCGCGCUUGCUUGUAUGGAGCAGCGCGCGGACCACCUCACCGCCGCGUCCAAGCCCGAGGGAGGCGACGAGAGGCUUGGCACCUCCGCCCCCGCCGCCCCGAGGCAGCGGAUAGUCACAUGCGACGAGGUUCCGGUCAAGGAGGUUGCCCUGGGCGACGGCCCGUCCAAGACCACACGGAUCGGUGGUCUUCUGGGCGGCAAAUAGGAAGACGCGCUCGUCUCUUUCCUGCGGGCAAACGCUGACGUCUUCGCAUGGAGACCGACGGAUAUGCCCGGGGUCCCCAGGGAGGUGAUUGAGCACCGUCUCGCCGUGCGGUCGGGCGCAAGGCCGGUCCGGCAGAAAGUACGGCGGCAGGCCCCGGAACGUCAAGCCUUCAUCCGCGAGGAGGUGGCGCGACUUCUGGAGGCCGGAUUCAUCCGCGAGGUCAUCCAUCCGGAGUGGCUGGCGAACCCGGUGGUCGUUCCCAAGGUGAACGGCAAGCUUCGGAUGUGUAUCGACUACACCGACCUUAACAAGGCAUGUCCUAAGGACCCUUACCCCCUGCCUCGCAUAGAUCAGAUUGUCGACUCCACAGCGGGGUGCGACCUUUUGUGUUUUCUAGAUGCAUACUCUGGUUACCAUCAGAUUCGCAUGGCUAGGGAGGAUGAGGAAAAAACUGCAUUCAUUACCCCCAUAGGAACUUAUUGUUAUACGACAAUGCCCUUCGGGUUAAAGAAUGCAGGUCCUACUUUUCAACGUACUACUCGAAUUUCUUUGGGUAGCCAAAUAGGACGUAAUGUUGAGGCUUAUGUCGAUGACUUGGUUGUAAAGACGCGCAACCAAGAGACCUUACUCUCGGAUCUAGCGGAAACUUUUGAGAGUCUCCGCUCCGCCCGCAUAAAACUGAACCCCGAUAAGUGCGUGUUCGGUGUACCUGCGGGCAAGCUUCUCGGGUUUUUGGUCUCUGCCCCAGGCAUCGAGGCCAACCCCGAGAAGAUACGAGCUAUAGAGCGGAUGCGCCCCCCCAGCAAGCUUAGGGAUGUGCAAUGUGUCACCGGUUGCAUGGCCGCCCUAAGUCGGUUCAUAUCGAGGCGGGAGAGAAGGCGCUACCCUUAUUUAAGCUCCUCAAACGCUCCGGGCCGUUUACUUGGACGGAGGAAGCUGAACGUGCCCUCACUCAGUUGAAGGCGUAUCUCAGCUCUCCCCCAGUUCUGGUCGCCCCGGAGCCAAUUGAACCAUUGCUACUCUACUUAGCGGCGACCCCGCAAGUGGUUAGUGCGGCGUUGGUUGUGGAGCGCGAUGAGGACAAUCCUCAUUCCGCGCACCCCCACCCUGUGCUGGCUUGGCCCGGGAGAGAGCAGGGAGGAGAGGCCCCCGAGCCGAACGGUGGCCCAAGGCCCCCGACGACCGGAGCAGGCCCUCUGCCCGCUUGUCAGACGGUGCCAGGUGCCCCCGACCCCCAGGAUGGCCCGAGGGCCACUGCGGGAAGGCCGCACCUAUCGCCCUCUGACCCCGAGGCUAACCCUGUGCCGACUCGACCCGGGAGAGAGCAGGGAGAAGAGGCCCCCAAGCCGAACGGUGGCCUAAGGCCCCUGACGACCGGAGUUGGCCCUUUGCCCGCUUGUCCGACGACGCCAGGAGCCCCCGACCCCCAGGACGGCCCCGAGGCCACUGUGGGAAGGCCGCCCCUGUCGUCCUCCGACCCCGAGGUCGUCGGCACAGAAGAUGAGUGCACCCCGCGAGGCCGCUUGGACAAAGAGCGCCCCAGGGAUGUGGCCCCUAGCGAAGAGGAUCGGCCCCACCGAAAGGUGCAGCGGCCCAUCUACUUUGUUAGUGAGGCCCUCCGGGACGCCAAGACCCGAUACCCUCAGGCCCAGAAGAUGCUUUACGCUAUUCUGAUGGCUUCGAGGAAACUGCGCCAUUAUUUCCAGGCACAUCGGGUCACGGUUGUUACGUCUUACCCCCUCGGCCAAAUCUUGCAUAAUCGAGAGGGUACUAGACGUGUGGUGAAAUGGGCAAUCGAACUUUCUGAGUUUGAUUUGCACUUUGAACCACGCCACGCUAUCAAGAGCCAGGCCUUCGCCGAUUUUGUGGCAGAGUGGACCCCAGCUCCCGAGCCCGUCUCAGUCCCCGAGGCCAGCUCGGGCCCCUCACAGCUGCCUCACACCGCCCACUGGGUGAUGCAGUUCGACGGCUCCCUGUCUCUUCAGGGCGCCGGUGCGGGGGUCACGUUGACCUCGCCGAACGGAGACGUCCUCAGAUAUUUGGUUCGCCUUGACUUUCGGGCGACCAAUAAUAUGGCAGAGUACAAGGGACUCCUUGCGGGACUCAGGGUGGCAGCUGGACUGGGGAUCCGCCGCCUCCUGGUGUUAGGCGACUCCCAGCUGGUCGUUAACCAGGUCUGUAAGGAGUACCGGUGCUCUGACCCGCAGAUGGACGCUUACGUGCGCCAAGUACGGCGUAUGGAGCGCCAUUUUGACGGGAUAGAGCUUCGGCAUGUGCCCAGACGGGAUAACACGGUUGGCGACGAACUCUCACGGCUCGCUUCCUCGCGAGCCCAGACCCCACCGGGCGCCUUUGAAGAAAGGCUUGCCCAGCCGUCGGCGCGACCCGACCCCUUAGGGGAGACGGACGCGCCUGACAGGCCCCCGAUGCCCGUCGGAGUCCAGGCCUCGGGACCCGAGGGGAGCGCUCCCAGCUCCCUUAGAUUGAUUGCUUGGAUCGCUGAGAUCCAAGCAUACCUCACAGAUAAGACUCUACCCGAGGACCGCGAAGGGAGUGAACGCGUCCAGCGCAUCUCCAAACGCUACGUGCUGGUAGAAGGGACCCUCUAUCGGCGCGCGGCUAACGGAAUCCUCCUGAAGUGCAUUCCUCGGGAACAAGGCGUCGAGCUUCUUGCCGAUAUCCAUGAAGGCGAAUGCGGAGCCCACUCCGCCUCGCGCACCUUGGUUGGCAAAGCCUUUCGACAAGGUUUCUAUUGGCCGACAACUCUUAAUGAUGCGGUCGACCUGGUCCGGCGAUGCAGAGCGUGUCAAUUCCACGCCAAGCAAAUCCAUCAGCCGGCCCAGGCCCUGCAGAUCAUACCACUUUCGUGGCCAUUUGCUGUCUGGGGGCUCGAUAUCCUGGGACCGUUUAGGCGGGCCCCGGGCGGGUUUGAGUAUCUAUAUGUCGCGAUCGACAAGUUCACUAAGUGGCCCGAGGCUUAUCCGGUCGUCAAGAUCGAUAAGCACUCCGCACUUAAAUUCAUUAAGGGCAUCACAGCCCGGUUUGGAGUGCCUAACCGUAUUAUUACGGAUAACGGCACCCAAUUCACUAGUGAACUUUUCGGCGAUUACUGCGAAGACAUGGGCAUCAAGCUCUGCUUCGCCUCACCUGCCCACCCCAGAAGCAACGGCCAAGUAGAGCGCGCCAAUGCGGAAAUCCUCUGAGGCCUUAAAACCAAGACCUUCAACAUCCUCAAGAAGCACGGCGAUUCGUGGAUCGAGGAGUUGCCAGCGGUGCUCUGGGCGAACCGAACCACGCCAAGCCGAGCAACCGGGGAAACGCCUUUCUUCCUCGUCUACGGCGCGGAAGCGGUUCUCCCAUCCGAGCUCACCCUGAGGUCCCCUCGGGCCACCAUGUACUGCGAGGCUGAUCAAGAUCAGCUCGCAGAGAUGACCUCGACUACUUGGAAGAGCGAAGGCGGCGCGCGGCCCUCCGAGCUGCGCGCUACCAGCAGAGCCUGCGGCGCUACCAUCAGCGCCACGUCCGGGCCCGAUCACUCUGCGUCAACGACCUCGUCCUACGCCGCGUCCAAACGCGUGCUGGAUUGAGCAAGCUCUCACCAAUGUGGGAGGGUCCGUAUCGACUGAUCGGCGUCCCCCGGCCGGGCUCCGUUCGGCUGGCCACGGGCGAUGGCACAGAGCUGCCUAACCCGUGGAACAUCGAACACCUUCGUCGCUUCUACCCCUAAAGGGGGAUCGGGUGUCAGGUUUCGGGCUCGGGCCAACCCCGCACCCCCCUCGGGCGUGCAGGGUUGGCCGGGGGCUACCACAUAUGCAUAUUCUUAUUUCUUUUAUAUCUGUAUUUCAAUAAAAGCAUUUUCGAUUUCCUAAAGGCUGUAUCUGUGCUGUUGUUUCCUUUUGAAGGAUCUUGACUUGAAAUAGGUCACUCGUGUUCAAUCCUGCCCUCGGGGGCUCGGGUCGGCUAAAAUCGCCAAACGGGGCCCAGAACCGAGCCGUGCCCCGGGGCGUGGUGAACUCCGGGGGGGAAUCGGCAAAAACCCACAAUCGGGUCACCCAUAACCCUCGGUCAUCACGCUCCCGGCCUGGCCAGUCUCGACAUGUGGAUCUCCCCAGGCACUAGCCCCGACCCGAGCCAUUUGAGGACUAGGACCUGGGCACGAGCCCUUGUUCAAGCCAAGACACAAAAGGACCGCGGCACAGACCAUCCUCGUCUCAUACACACAACAAAUAGAAUUGACACAAAAAAUUUUCCUCUUUAUUUGAUUGCAGAUUAAAUUAGUCUAUACAAGAAGGGGGCCCGAAGGCCUCGGAAGAAGAAAAGAAGAAACUAUUUAAAGAUUGGCGGGGGCCUGGGGGCUCACUCCGAUGCACCCGGGUCGCCAGCCUCGUCGCCACUGUCGCCCACUCCGCCGUCAUCGUCCUCCUCGUCGGAGUUGAGGGCGAACGCGAGCCGAGGGGCCGAACCCUCGAAGCUGUGGACGAUAUGGUCGGCGGCGUCCCGGACCUGCGCGCGCGCGCCGUCCUCGGUCCCGGGAGGGAACUCGUCCAGCGCCGUCCAUGGGGAGAAGUCGGGAUCCCUGGCUUGGUAACUCGCCAGUACGAGCUCCACCGCUCCUCGGGCGAGGUCCCUCGAGGAUGACUUAAUCGUCCUCUCGAGCUCCUCGGGAAGCCGUUGGAGAGUCCCGGCUAUCUCCGAGAGGCGCUGGGCGAGGCCCCCCUGGUUGGCGGCGUACUUCGCAGUCCGCCCGCCCCAGAGGCCCGCCUGCCGGCCGGCGCGGUCUAGACGGGAGACGGCGUCCCGAAGCAUGCCGGGCCCUACCUCGCCUGCCAAGCGGAGGGCCUCGACCUCCCGGCAGACGAGUCUAGCGCGCCCUGCAGAUCGGCGAUGGUGUGUUCGGCAGCUGCGAGGCGGGCGGUUAAGUCGCUUUCGCCCGCGGCCGCCCCGCCACUGCGCGCCCUCGCGUCCAGCUCCCUCUCCCGCGCCUCGAGCUCACCGGCCCACUGAUUCAGCGCGGCCCUCUCGGCGCGGGCACCUUCUAGAUUACGGCGCGCCUGCUCCUCCCGCACUGCCUCGCGGAGGGACAGGCUGUCCGCCAGCCGUUGCGCCGCGGCCUCGGCCUCCUCGAGAGCUCGCUCCCGCUCGGUGAGCGCGUCCUCGCGGAGGCGGAGCGCGGACUCCUCUUCGGCGCAGGCGGCCUCGUGCGCAGUCAGCGUUGCCUCCCGGAUGGCAACGGCGGCCUCGCGAUCCGCCAGGUUCCUCUCCACGGCACAGGCACGCUCUUCCAGCGCCAUGGCACGGGCCUCAAGGGCUUCUUCGCGCCGCCGGGAUGCCACCUCGGUCUCCGCCGCCCGCCGUUCUCGGGCAGCGGCAGCGUCAAGGACCCCCUGGGCGGCGUCGAGCUUCUUCCCUAGCUCCGCCUCCCAGCUCCCGUAUUGAAGGCGGAGGGUGUCCUGCGCCUCGUUCAUCACGGUGGUGGCGAUGAGGGCAGCCCCCCGCUCCUCCUCCACCUCCUUGGCGAUCUCCCCCAGCACCUUCCGACGGGCUUCGAGCUCUGAGACGUGCCGGCGGUGUGCCUUGCGGCCCACCUCCACCAUGGCCUCCACCGAGCGUCGCCCCUCUUCGACACGCGCCCAUGCGGCGUCGAGCUCCGCCCGCUCUGCUUGCAGGGCCUCCACCUGGGCACUUAACCCGUCCAACACCGUGGUGUUUGCGAUGGCCAAGGCCUGCAGAAGGGGUUCUGCGCUCAGUGGAGCAACGGAAGGCGUGGGGAAGAGCCGCCUCGAAGAGGAUGCUGCGCGGCUUGGCCCGCCGAUGGACGUGCCGGACUCGGGGAUGUCCCCCGGACCUGGUUUGUCCUGAGCGUCGCACGAGGGAGUGGGCCCAAGCGAUGCACUCGCGGCCUCGCCGCGAGUUGCCUCGGAAGUCGUUGUCGCCUCGGCCUGGCGAAGUCUAGCCUCCUCCCGAGCGGCUUCUUCAGCUUGGCGAGCUCGGACGGCCACCUGGGCAGCUUCCUCGGCUUCUUGAAGGCGAUCCACGGCCUCUUGCCGGUCAGUUUCACGGGUCGCCUCGGAGGAUGUCGUCGCCUCGGCCUGGCGGAGUCCGGCCUCCUCCCGAGCGGCUUCCUCGGUCUGGCGAGCCUGGGCGGCCUCCCGAGCGGCCUCCUCGGCUUCCCGAAGGCGAUCCGCGGCUUCUCGCCGGUCAGAUUCCCGCCUCCGGGCCUCUGUGGUCGCCGGGUCCUCGGCCUCAGACUGGCCGGACUUGGAAUGGCGGGAGGGACGCGACGGGAUCUCGCUGAAGCAGAAGAAAAGCCAGAAGACAAACAAGAUGGGUGAAUGAAAACUUGUGUUGGAAGAAUGAAUACAGCCACAAUGGGCGUGGGACGAACCUGCGAGGGGGUCGGUUAAACGACCACCUUGGAGGAGAAAUGAGGUUUCCCCGGGAUGGUUCUGUCCCCCCCAUCUUGCGGAGCCGUUUCUUCUUCCGCUCCCCCUCGGGCUGCGGCGUCGGCGCGGCCCCCUCCGGGCGCCUGCUGCUGACACGCGCCGCCCCGCCCCCUCGGGGAGGAGAUGGGGAGGAAGUACCCUCUUGCUUUCUCUUCCCUCGGGCGUCGGCAGGGCGGCUACCCCCCGAGCCCCCAUCACGGGGCCCAGAAGCACGACCCCCUCCCGGGGUAGAUUGUUCCCCCCUGCGGCUCCCGCCCGAGCCAUCGUGGCCUCGAGGAGCCCGCUCCUCCGACGCCCCGACCGCCUGCAUGAUGGUCAGGAUGUUGGCGCGAUCUGGAUCGCUGCAGAGGGGGAGGACUCCUUGGGGGAUGAGGGAUGCCUCCGCGGAGCUGAGAUUCAGCACCCGUUGGAUCAUUACCUUGAAGUCUUCGGGGACCCAGUCCCAUUUGACCCCCCGGUGGGUCCUCAUACAGUCCUCGGACCCGGUGUACUCCCAGGCAUCCCGGGCGCGCCGCUGGAGUGGCGCGAUCCGGCGACGAAGAUAGUCGCUGUACACCAUGGCCCCUGUGAGCCCCAGGGAUCACAGGCCCGCCAGGCGGUCGAGGACGGCGUCAUAGCCAUCUCCCAGAUCUACCGGCGCCCGCCAGCUGGAGGCCUGCGCCGGGGGCUGGCUCGGAAGACGGAGGCGCGCUUCGUCGGCGAGGGGGGUGUAGAACCAGUCGCUCUUCCAGUCAUCCCACUUCUUGCGGAGGACGCAGGGAAUGUAGCGGUUCAACACCGGCCCCCGCGGCUGGAAGUAGCAACCACCAACCACCGACGGCGGCGACACCGACUGUACGGUGAAGAACCACCGGAACAGCCGAAGGGAUGGGCGCACCCCGAUGAACAUCUCGCACAGGUGCGCGAAGAUGGCCAAUGUCAUUACCGCGUUGGGGGUGAGGUGCGCCAUCUGGAGAUCGUAAAACUCCAGAACAUCCAUGAAGAAAGAAGAAAAUGGCGGAACCAGCCCUGCCAUUGCAAAAGGGAGGAAGAAGACGGACCGCCCCGGGUAGCAUGGCGUCGGGCGUCCCUCGCCCAGCGUAACUAUCUCCCGGCCGGUGGCAGAUUCCGGCAUGAAGCGGCGUGGCAGCCCGGCCUGCCUCUCGCUCACGAUGCGGGAAGGCGGCAGCACGCUACCAUCAAGCAAAGCGGAGCCCCGUGCCAUGACGCCGGAGGAAGAGAUGUUUAAGAGCGAGCGCGUGUGGCGAAGGUAGGGCACAGGAAACAAGGAGUUAGGGCGCAAGCGGCGAAGACAAGGGGAAUAAUGGCGAGAGGAAGGAAGCAAAUCUCUUCCUCGGCGACUUUAUACCCUUGCCAACGCUGUGCCCGGCUCCUCGUUUCUCGCGCCCACUAUCUUGCCCCCUCGUUUCUCGCGCCCACGCUUCCACAAAUCCCAUUCGCCCGUUUGCGGUGCAUGAGGUGGACAUGCGGCUGUGGCAGUCGAGAUGGAACAUCUCGUGCGCGCGUUAAUUACGCUCGCCGACCAAAGCGCCAUCACCAUAUCUCCAGGAAAAACGAACCGGCUUGUCCCGAUUUUUAGACCGGCCCCACCAUGUCACCAGGCCUUAGGAAGUGGCGUCACGCCCGACCGCUUCCCUCGAGGAGGGCGAUCGCCCUGGCAUAACGCCGGGGGCUACUGUCGGUGACAUGGGACCGGGAGUAUCAUGACUUAGAGACUUGAGGCAGACACGAUCACCCACGUGGCCUAACCCCCUCGGGGGGGGUCGGGCCCGAGGGUGAUACGGCCGCCCUUCUCUUUGUCUCCCCGAGGGGUCGGACCGCUCCCGUCUCGGCCCCGAGGGCCGAGGCGCCCCGACCCCUUGUGGGUUUUGCGCCGCGUAUAUGGGGUAGGUGAGCAUAGCGGGGCUCACCUAACCACAUUUAUUGCGGUUUGGACGAGCGCGUCACGCCGCAUGUAACGCAGUGCAGCGCGCUCGUUUAUCCGGUCAGUGACCAGUCACAGACCGAUCAGAUCGUGGGUUAGGUGGCGACAGGCGGUCUGACGCACGCCUCGCCCCAUCCCGUCAGGAUGAGAGCCUCCAAGCACUCGUCCCUAGCCGGAGCCGGCGUGUUAGCUCCUGGAGAUGGCACGUUGGUCCCGGUCAGAUAUAUACCAGGCUUCAUCCUAACCAUUAAAAGCAAGACAUUGUAUGAAGAGGGGCGAACAUGCAGAUUGAUAAACUGACGCGUGGUGGACAAGAAUGACCGAUUUGUGACCGGUCUGACACUGAUCAUGUCGUCAGCAGACAGCCAUGUUCCCAAGUCGCGCCUGCUUCCGGCGGAAGUGGAGGUAGGUAUGGGCUGUCCCAUCAGAAGGUCAUUCGGACGGCAACCAUACAAGUCUCCGUCUGUUUAUGAAAAGAUAGGAUAAGUCCCCACAAAAAAGAGAGAGAUGGUGCAUGUGGUAUCCCCUUGAGGUAUAAAAGGAGGACCUUGCCCACUUAGAAGGAGGAGGGAUUUUCGGAUCCAGAACGAUCAGAGAGGAAGAGAGUAAGAGCUCUCUGGUUCUCCAGCUCUUUUGUAGCUUCUUCAUACAUAGAUCCACAAAAACACAGGAAGUAGGGUAUUACGCUUCUCAGCGGCCCGAACCUGUAUACAUCGCCCGUGUCUUGUGUGUUUCCAUUCUCGCGAACCUUCCACACAAAGACUAGGAGCUUAGAAUCUCACCCAGGGCCCCCGGCCGAACCGGCAAAGGGGGGCCUGCGCGGUCUCCCGGUGAGGAGCCCCACGCUCCGUCAAUAUAUAUAUAUAUAUAUAUAUAUAUAUAUAUAUAAACCAUGCAGCAACAAGGCCAUGCAAAAAAAAAAAGGACAGCUCGAUCUUUACUCCCGGUUAUUUCACCCGGGACUAAAGAUAGCGAUCUUUAGUCCCGGAUUGGUACUCCCGGUUUGGAAACCGGGACUAAAGGGGGGUUACGAAUCGGGACUACAAAGGGUUUCUCCACCAGUGUUUAUAAUACGCGAAGGCGUAUAGUUUAGUGGUAAAGUGCGAUCCAUGGACCGUGGUAGGAAUGUAGGAUAAGCACCGUCCCUAAUCUCAAUACGAUAAGAGACACGAUAGCUGGUCGAUCGUGCCACAGAGGUUAUAUCUAAUUUUAUUAUAUAUAUUUGAAAAAAAAACUAAUUAAUCAUGUGCUUAAACCAUGUGAUCAAGGUGGUGCUCAAAAUUUUCUCGUCGCAAUACGCAGCAAUACUGCUAUAGUACUGUCUAGUACUAUCGGCUGUACCGUUUAUUACAUGUAUGGAAAUAGCACUACGUAUAGUAUAGUAUACGGGAGUAUUGUGCUACACCUUGAUGUAAGAUUUGUUUGGAGGGUUUUUGAUUCUGAAGAGAGCUGUCGGGAAGGAUGAGUUAGGUUGGCUUUUUUUUAGACAUAGGGAAUAUAUUAUCAUGAUUGGUUUUUUAAACAGGGGAGUAUAUGCUAAUUAUGAGUUGCUUUAUUUUAGUUCCCAACAACAGCUUUCAAACACACCUUAAAAGCUAGAAAAUCAACGUGGUGAGAAUUUUAAGAAACACAAGCAUUAGACUAUUUAGGAGAGUAAUGGUUUUGAAAAACACUCCCUCCGUUUUAUAAUGUAAAUCAUUUUAGCAUUGCCUAUAUUUAUAUAGAUGCUAAUUAAUUUAGACAUGUCUAUAUAAAUUUAUAUAAAUGUGGAUAAUAAUAAAAUGACUUACAUUAUAAACGGAUGAAGUAUUCUACAGCUAUCAGAGUAUCAUAAAAAAGGGCAGUAAUGUUUGCCUAUCCGCGAUUACGUGCACCAUCCAUCGUCUCCACGUACGUCGUUCGCCGCAGGGUUCGCACUCGCGGGGCGUGUGUAGAUUCGCGGGCCGGCUGCAAUGGGCGAAAAGCUACGAGUAGAUCAUCGGAGGAAAAAAGGCGCCGGCAAAUCUCGGAACGCGGCGUAGUAAAAGCAAGAAAUUAAAAACAAAGCACCGAGAUCGGCUGACGUCGCCGCCAGCCGCCCCGGGAAGGGAAGCCUCGGUCGGGUCUUCGAGCGCCGUUCCCACGUACUCCGUACGGACGCAACCGCAUGGCGCGCGCGCAUUUUGAGGGCUGGCCGGCGCCGCGGGCCCCUGCCGCUGCCAGUGCCAACGUCGCGGCGUCACCGUGUUGUCCGUGCAGCUAGCUAGUCAUCACUGUAGCUGGCGGAGACUCGCCGGCUCGACGGGCGACGGCCAUGCACUUCCAUGGAGCAGCACCACAGACACCGGCCCGUCGCGCAAUUCUGCGUCGCUAGUGGCUAGUGCUACUCGUCAACUCCGGCUGCCAUCGACGGUCAUUGUCUCACAAACAUGUACUCCCUCCGUCGCUAGUGGUUUUGAGUUUUUUUAGUUUGUAACGUUUGAUCACUCGUCUUAUUUAAUUUGUUUUGAAAUUAUUAUUUAGUUUAUUUGUGACUUACUUUAUUAUCUACAAUACUUUAAGCAUAACUUUUCGUUUUUAUAUUUGCAAAAAUAAUUUGAAUAAGACGAGUGAUCAAACGUUACAAACAAAAACUCAAAAUCCCUUAUAUUGUGGGGACAAAGGGAGUAGUACGAAUAAGAGCAAGUAUAAUGGUGAGUUAUAAGUCUACUAUAAACUUAGAUGGAGGAGAGAAGUAGUGAAAAAUCAAGAGUGUUAGCUCUCAUGAAAGAGCUAACUUAUGAGAGAGGAGAAGAAAAUUAUAGCUAACCUUAUAGCUAAUCUAUUAUAUAUGUUGACUUUAAGAUUAGCUAAUAGUAAGAAGUGAGCUAUAUUAUUAUCUUUGCUAUAAGAGUAUCCACUCAACUAACUAGAUGGGCACGCAUUAGUGCUCUUUGUCCGUGCACGUCACGGCACUAUUGCGGUAGUAGUACUCGCAAAGGGCAGUGGCUACCAAUAGUCGUUCGUUGGGAUGGAGGGAGCCGGGGGCUGGUCGAGCGUGGCAACGGGAAACAGGGGACGACCCUGCAAACGAGAGCGCAUCGUUCGUGCGGUCGUGGAUGUUGUUGUGUUGUGCUGUGCGCCCGUUUGGUCGACAGGCACGGGCGCAUUAAACUCCCAUGCUUAAUUCCCCGGGCCCCACCAGACAGGCAGAUCAGAUCCGACGUGUACGACGGGCGGUCAAAGCCCAGUACGGACGGACCCGGUCACCCACCCGGUGCCGGAGCCCCCGGUGGUGUCGCGGCUGUGGCCUGUGACACCUGUGACACUUCACUGACUCUGAGCGCCCGCAGGACGGUGGGCCCCACCGACCCGCGAGGGUGGGGUCACGUCACGGGGCAGCGCUGCGAUCGAGGGGCUCCGGAUCGACGGACCGGAUUAAACUGGAUCGGGGUCGUCACAAUGGCAGGUGGGGCCCGCGGUGCAGCGCGACGUCACGGGGCGGGUGGGGCCGAGGGGCGUCGUGGGGAUAUCCGGAACCGGACGGAUCAGCGGUCGGGCUGGCGUGGCAAUAUGUGUGGUCCAGCCUGUGCAGUUGGGGGCGGGGGAAGGGAAGAUCUUCUGUAAGCAUCAGCGGUGGCAGUACAGUGGAUGGCAGCUGGAGGUCAGGAUGGGAAUGGUUAAUAUGGAUCGAACUUAAACCAUUUGAAAUGUGUUUAUUGUACCAUGGUUUAAAAGUUUCAAUCUAUCAUGGGUCUAUUAUAUCAAUAGGUUAUCUAUGUAUAUCCAAAUGGAUCAUCUAUCCUCCUAAUAGAUAAAAAAAAGCUCUUAUUGCAUAUAUGUAAAAGUCGGACCUAAAAUUUUUAAACUCGUGUUUACAUAGUAAAACCUUAUCAAAUUUAGUUAAAUUUAUAGAGAUGAUUUAUUAUAUGGAGAAGCAACUUUGUUCAAAUUUUAAGUUAUUUAGACAUGCGGAGCCCACUAUGCAUUACUAAGAUUCAAAGAAAUUCUAGCUACACGUGUGUAAAACUCGGACCCAAAAUUUUUAAACUCGCGUUUACACUAUAAAAAUUUGUCAAAUUUAGUUGAAUUUUAUAUGAAUGAUUUAUUAUAUAGAGAAGCAACUUUGUACAAAUUUUUAAAAUAUUUAUACAUGUGAAGUCAUUUUGGGUCAAACCUCUUAAACCUUAGGUUCUAAGGGCAAGGCCAAUGCUUAUGGUUCCAUCAGCCAUAUAUGUGGGACCCGCUAUAAGUAAGCAUUAGCUAUGUCCAUAUCCACAAUGGCUGUGCCUAUGGGAGAAAAUAAGCUGGGUCCCAAUGGGUCCCACCGAAGGAUAAAAAAAUCACUUCUUAUCCUCCUGUGAAACUCUUUGCACAAUGAAAAUUCCCCAAAAGUACUAGCGUGAACAGCACAUCACAAAAGUAUUGUAUUCUAUAGUUUUGUUACCACACCAUAAGGCUAAUGCUCAUUUUUUAUGUCAGAUUCUUAUGGUCCACUUUCACAAUGCUUAAUGUUAUUUAUUGCUUAAGGUUACUUUUAGCACACAUUGUGGUUGCCCUAAUGGUUUGAGCCGUUUGGUCCAUUUAUAUUUUUUUAGAGCGACCCUAAAAUCCGUUAGGACAAAUUUAUGAAUAGAUUUAGUGAAUAAAUGGAUCGACCCUACCCAUUCCCAUCCUGAGCUGGAGGGUGACGGAGCUGUGUAGUAGGGAUAGCAGCGGCCGUCGGGGCCAACCAGACUCAUGAUCGAGUUGCUUGGCGUCGGGGGAGAAACUCUGAAAGAGCAAAUAGGACACAGAUCUUUUUUUUUUAUAUUGACUGUUUGAUACGUGGGCUCUAUAUCCAGUGAGUUUAUAUGGCAGUGAUCCACAUUAGAGGAUAGUAUUGCACAGAAGACUUAUAUGAAGUAAGGUGUGUUUUUUUUCGAGGUAGUAAAGUGUUUUUGGUUGACAAGGAUAGCUCCGGUAUUCGAAAUUAUAGAAAUUAUAUUGUUCUAUGUUGAAAUUCUAAAUGUAGAAAUGGGAUUGUCUUACAUUUGAACUAAUAAAUAAAUGUACAGAAAAGUAGUAAUACUGAUAUGGCUUUGUCUCGAAUUUUGAAAGGUCUGGCAGCUUCAAAAUAUUACUAGCAUUAUACUAAUAAAUUACAAACAAAAUCUAGGCAGUAUACAGCAAAAGAUGUCUAUUAUGGAUAUACCUCGAGUAGCUAUCCUACCCUAGUACAAAGAAAGUUUAGGUCAUCAUCGGUUACUCAUAAAAAUUAAUCUGUAGUUAACAAAUAUAUGUGUGUUUUCUCAACAAUUUAAAAUGACAAUGCUGAAAAAGUAACUACAUUGAAAUUGUCUUAAAAUCAACUUUAAUUUUAAAGUUUUAAAAUUUAAAUUUUGGAUUUGCUUUGACUUAUUGAGGCAACCAAUGAAGCUCUUAAUUUCUUGAAACGUGCAAAUAUAUGUCAAAGGUAAGCGCAUAUGAUAAAGUGCUCGGAAAGCUAUGGUGUAGAGCUUUCCAAAAUUAUCGUUAGACAUACACAAGGAUACUGAAAAACUUGUGGCGUUGUUUUACAGAUUUAUCUUAACACGGAAAAUAAAUACAAAAUGAAAUUUAGGUACAUGAAGUUUGUGUUCAACAAGAAAAGAUGAACAUUCAUAUGUAGCAAUGGUUGUACGGUAUGUCCGUAACAUGAAUACUGUUUUCUAGUCUUGAAUAUUGUUUUCUACCCACAUCAAUAAUGAAACCAAUUCGAACAGCUUGCGGCAACUUAAUAAAUAUACAAAUAUUGCACUGAUCUAUGUUAAAAAAAAGUUAGCCGCAAAAUCUUAUAAAGCUUGUAUCAAAAUAUGAAACCCAAGGAUCCAACUUCAAAAACAAAAAAAAGAAGAGUAAAUUACACUGGUAGUUCUUAAACUUGUAACGAAGUUUUACUUAGGUCUAUAAACUUGCAAAACGCAUAUCGAGAUCCCUAAACUUGAUUUAAUGUAUCAUCCGGAUCCAAAGCCUCGUUUGACCGUGUCUUACCUACGUGGAGGAUAACAUGGAAUUUUUACUUUUUUUCUCCUUUCUUAUCCCUUUUUUUCUCCUUUCUUAUCCCUUUUUUUUUCUCCACUUUGCCUCUUUCCUCUCCCUUAUGCCGCAUUUUUCUCCACGCGAGGUGAGGAAGGAGAGAAAAGAUGGGAAGAAAAAAAGGGAAAAAGAAAAAUUAGCCAAGUCAUCGUCCACGUGGCAUAACACAUAGGCAAGAUUACGGUCAAACCAGUCUUUAGACCAGGAUGAUACAUUAAACCAAGUUUAAAGAUCUCAAUACGUGCUUUGUAAGUUCGUGGACAUAAUUGAAAAUUCGUUACAAGUUUAAGAACCGCUAGUAUAAUUUACUCAGAAAGAAAAGAAAGUAAACUAUCCAAUAUCCACAAAAGAUCCCCACACCUGAUCACACCCAGUUUAAGCGCCCACACGGCCACACUCCCCUGCCGUUCAUCACUCCCUCCCCAUUUUACCGUUGAGGUCGGCGACCUCCGCGGACGGUACGGCGGGACACUAGCCCGUCCCGAGGGGCAAUCCCGUAAUUUUCGCGCAGUACAGUGCCUCCCAGCGCAGUGGCUUCGCCCCACGCCCUACUGUUUUAAAUCCCCCUGCCGCUCUCCUCCGCCGUCUUCUUCCCCCCCUUCCUCUCCACCACCCCCGAUUCGUCGUCCACCACCGUUCGACGAGUUUCUCGCAGAUCGGGCGGGGGCGCGCCGGGAUGGCGUACAUGUGCGCGGACAGCGGCAACCUCAUGGCCAUCGCGCAGCAGGUGAUCCAGCAGCAGCAGCAGCAGCAACAGCAGCAGCAGAGGCACCACCACCACCACCAUCUGCCGCCGCCGCCGCCGCCGCAGUCGAUGGCGCCGCACCACCACCAGCAGAAGCACCACCACCACCACCAGCAGAUGCCGGCGAUGCCGCAGGCGCCGCCCUCGUCGCACGGCCAGAUCCCGGGCCAGCUCGCGUACGGUGGCGGCGCGGCGUGGCCCGCCGGGGAGCACUUCUUCGCGGACGCGUUCGGGGCGUCCGCCGGCGACGCGGUGUUCUCCGACCUCGCGGCGGCCGCGGACUUCGACUCUGAUGGGUGGAUGGAGAGCCUUAUUGGGGACGCCCCCUUCCAGGACUCCGACCUGGAACGCCUCAUCUUCACCACCCCGCCGCCGCCCGUGCCGUCCCCACCCCCCACGCAUGCCGCCGCCACCGCCACCGCCACCGCCGCCACCGCCGCUCCUCGACCUGAGGCUGCACCGGCUUUGCUCCCCCAGCCUGCUGCUGCGACCCCGGUGGCGUGUUCGUCUCCGAGUCCGAGUUCCGCGGACGCCUCCUGCUCCGCUCCCAUCCUCCAGUCCCUCCUGUCCUGCUCCCGCGCGGCGGCGACCGACCCUGGCCUCGCCGCCGCGGAGCUCGCCAGCGUCCGCGCCGCCGCGACUGACGCCGGGGACCCAUCUGAGCGCUUGGCCUUCUACUUCGCUGACGCGCUUAGUCGCCGCCUUGCGUGCGGCACCGGAGCUCCGCCCUCCGCGGAGCCGGACGCGCGGUUCGCCUCCGACGAGCUCACGCUCUGCUACAAGACGCUCAACGACGCCUGCCCCUACUCCAAGUUCGCGCACCUCACCGCCAACCAGGCCAUCCUGGAGGCCACAGGCGCGGCGACCAAGAUCCACAUAGUUGACUUCGGGAUCGUGCAGGGCAUCCAGUGGGCGGCGCUGCUUCAGGCGCUCGCCACCCGGCCCGAGGGGAAGCCAACGCGGAUACGGAUCACCGGCGUCCCCUCGCCGCUCCUGGGGCCGCAGCCCGCGGCGUCCCUCGCCGCCACCAAUACCCGUCUCCGUGACUUCGCCAAGCUCCUCGGGGUGGACUUCGAGUUCGUCCCAUUGCUCCGGCCUGUGCACGAGCUCAACAAGUCGGAUUUCUUGGUUGAACCUGACGAGGCCGUGGCCGUCAAUUUCAUGCUGCAGCUGUACCACCUUCUUGGCGACUCGGACGAGCUAGUGAGAAGAGUGCUUCGUCUUGCCAAAUCGCUCAGUCCAGCAGUGGUCACACUUGGAGAGUACGAGGUCAGCCUGAACCGAGCUGGGUUCGUCGACCGGUUCGCCAAUGCGUUGAGCUAUUACCGGUCAUUGUUCGAGUCGCUGGAUGUGGCAAUGACCCGGGACUCACCGGAGAGGGUGAGGGUGGAGCGUUGGAUGUUCGGGGAGCGAAUUCAGAGGGCCGUCGGGCCGGAGGAAGGCGCAGACCGGACGGAGAGGAUGGCCGGCAGCAGCGAGUGGCAGACCCUGAUGGAGUGGUGCGGCUUCGAGCCCGUGCCGCUCAGCAACUAUGCCAGGAGCCAGGCUGAUCUUUUGCUCUGGAACUAUGAUUCCAAGUACAAGUAUUCACUUGUUGAGUUGCCACCGGCGUUCUUGUCCUUGGCAUGGGAGAAACGGCCAUUGCUUACUGUGUCUGCUUGGAGGUGAGGGUAGUUUUUUUGGGAGUAUUUGGGGGAAUGUGUGGCGUUGUGAUAGAACCUGGGAGGAAAUAGUUAGGAGAAAUCAUUUUGCAGCUUUUGUUGUAGUUUCCUCCAAAACUGUGUUUAGGAUGAUUGGUAUAAUUGGGAAAUUUUAGCUGAAUUAUCUUGCUCGGUGUUUGUGCUGCUGAAUGUGUGCAUGAUAUUAACUGGUUAGAGAAAAAUUAGUAGUAGUUGUACAGAAUUUGGUAACAGGUUUUAGCUGUGGUAUAUUGCUUGCUCAUGUUACCAGGAUGAGAAAUAUAAAUCUGGAUGCAAUUGUGCAUUUUAAGUAACAGAAUCCAACCACAAGCAAUAUUUAAGUAAUUUUCAGCUCCUGAUAUGAUACUUUUUUGAACAUCUUGUAUAUUCAUAAUCCAACAUUUCAGUCCAUUUAUUUCUUUUGAAAGCAUCUGAUUGUAUCAAAGUGAUCUCUGUAGUUAUGCAUGUACUCCUGGUUUGUCCCUUCAGUAAUGAAGUGUUGUCUGGAACUGGAAAGACCUCUUCGACUAUUCUUAUGAUUUGAAAGUAACCUUAAAUUGUGUUUUUGUAUUUCAUCUGUAUUCAGUUUACCGAUUUUCUUCACAUCUGACAUGUUAUUUUCUUGGUAACCACAUUUUUUAAAGCUCAUGUUGUGGACUGCCGAUGUCUUGCAAUGCUUUAUAAACUCAGCAUUUUAACUUGAUCUAGAAGGCAGCAUCCUCUCUUUUGGCACUUGCCCUUUUCUUCCGGAGCUAAAAUUGCUGUACUUAUCAUCUGACUUUUGUGCAUCUGAACUUGAAAACACUGUCCUAAGUAUUCUUUGCAGAAGAUAUAUAGCAGCUGUAAUUUUCAGGCAGCAUACCUUUCUUGGAUUGAUUUGCCUCAUUUUCCUUUGUUGGAAGCCAUGCCACAUGAGUCGUGACUAACUACCAGAAAUUCAGAAUCAAGAGCAAACGGAAGUUUGCCUGCCCCAAAUUUCCUGUUCCCCACAACACACAAACCUGGAAUUCUAAAUCUACCCCUUGUCUGUAAAUUGUAAUAGCCUGAAAUUCACACUAUUUUGCAGAGUGAGCAUGUCUCUCUUUUAUGAAAAGUUCCCUUUGAAUGAUAUCAACCGUUCUUCCAACCGUUCGUGCUAUGAUCCUGUCGAGGUAUUUCUGUCAGGUUUAACUUCGCUGCAAUCUUAAAGCUUGGAAAGCUUUUUCUGAGUACAUUAGGCCAAACAGAGUACAGAGCACCAGUCAGGCCUGUUUUGGCAAGAUCAUGAACCUGACCACCAGAGAGCUUUUAAGUGUGAUCAGUGCUCGGAUACGCUCGACUCUCAGUUGCGUAAGUUCCCUGGAUCUCGUGGCCACUACUGGUUGUCGGGAGACGAAGGCCUCUGCUUCUCUCCCCACCAGGCACCAGGCCACCACCGGCACUGUCGCACUGAGCCAUUUUCUCUGUGAGAAGUGAAACGCUCAGAAGUGAAAUGGCUUUGUUUGAAAGAGCUUUUAGCCGCUGUAACUUCUUUUAAAAUCCGUAGCUCCUUCAACAGUUCAGAUUUUCAUCAAAAUUCUGAGAAUUGAUAGAUGUAAAACAUAGAAAUAAACUGAAUGUCAAAAGGUAGAAAGCAUAACUUUUCAGAUUUUCAUUCAGCUUCUUAUCAGCAUCUUGAACUACCCAUAGGUGCCAUUUCCACUAGCUGGCCCCAACCGUGCAGUGAUGAUUGUUUCAUUGACUAGUUUGAACAUUUGUUGCUCCAGCCACUGAUCUGGCCGUGUGUUCCUGUUACUUCAUGCAGUCGCUCAAUAAUGCGUUUAUGCCCAUGCUAGUCUGAUAGUAGCAGUUUCCUAGUGCUAGUGGCUCCCAUGAUUACGUCGUAAUCUAUCACUCUCCCUCUUGCUUUGACAAGUGAAAUCUCUUGACAGACUCCAUCCGUCCCCUAAUAUAAAGAAUUUUAACAUUUUGCUUGACCACUUAUCUUAUUAAAAAAUUUAAGCAAAUAUAAAAAACAAAAAGUUAUGCUUAAAAUACUUUGGAUAAUAAAGUAAGUCAAAAAAAUAAUUCUAAUUUUUUAAUAAGACGAAUGAUUAAACAGUACAAGCAAAAUCCCUUAUAUUAGAGGAUGGAGGGAGUAUUAAGGACUCUUUUGACAUAUUUGAUGUUUAGUCCGACGGUGUGCCGUUUACCAUUACCGCAUGUUAGCAGGGAUUCAGAUUGGAUGACAUGGGGUGAAUCUUGGCCCUCCGAAACAAAUCCAACGGCUGAGAUUCGUCCACGUCAUCAUGAGUAAAAGUUUUACUCCUAGUUAAAUUUUUACUCCUGAGUAAAUCUGCGAGUAAAAUGUUUACUCGUGAUGACGUGGAUGAAUGUCAGCCGUUGGAUUUAUUUCAUAGGGCUGAGAUUCACCCUAUGUCACCUUGUGACAUGCCUACCCUAUGUCACCCAAUCCCAAUCCACCUUAGCGGUAAGCACAGUUACUAUGGUAACUGGGUUUACUGUUAGGGUAGGGGAAUGUUAAUCGCAAAGUAACCCUUCCAAAUUUUGAAAGAUAAUUUAAUUUCUUGAUAAAACUUGUCUAUAUUUUUCACGGUUUGUUGUGGUUAUCACAGUUAUGAACUAUUAACUGUGCUUAUUGUCAAUGUCUGGCAAUCUAGCCAUAGCCAUACGGUUCAAAUCAACCGUACGGCUAUGGCUAGAUUUCGUGGAAACUGUUGAUAAAACUGAUAAAAACAGAUGAUAUCCGAACAAAUCUUGUUAUAAAAAAUAAAAUUCAAUUUGUUUUUUGAUUGACUAGAGAAACCGAGUUGUUUGUAUUUUCAACCCGGUUUUUUGUAAACCCAACCAGUGCCUCGUCCAUUGUGAGAAGAAAACACUAACGGUGUGACAGUGAGUGUUUAUAUCAUUAUAUAUGCUGAUUAUAUGGAGAAAAUUGAUAUUUAGCCAUUCUCGGGUUAGGGUUUCGCCAAAAUGCCAUCGCCGAAUGUGGCUUCGUUAUAAUGCCAUCUUCAAACGACUCCAUCUUGCCACACUACCAAUCUACCAUUUCAACCGAUUUUGAUUAUUUGCAAAUGUUUUCCACUGUUUUGCUUAUUUGGUUUGACCCAAAUGCCCUUACCUCAGCCAUGGGGCCCACUUGCCAGGAGCGUCUUCCACCUCUGCCCACCACCAUCCUUCUCUCUCUGGUGAACUCAUGCAACAGUGUUCUCUCUUGACCUCCCUCCUCGGUUGUUCUCGCCCCAAAUUGAAUGCAAAAAUCGGUUCCUCUUGUCCUCAUCAAUUCCCCCAACAAAUCCCACUCAAAUCAGCGUAACUCCGUGGUGUAUUUUGAAGUCCGACUUGAAUAGCAAGCUCCACCAUGACCGGCGUCGAUCUCUCUCCCCGGCGAGGUUGGAGAGCCUGCUCAAGCGGCUGGACGCUGCGGGUGGAGCAGGUCGCUGCCCACAUCGAGGAGCUCAUCAGAGAAGGGGGUGACGCCGUGGCGCGCGGUCCGGUCGAGCACUUGGUGCGCCGUGCCGCCGAGCCGAACCGUCAUCUCCGUCUGCACCGCUGCCUUCCCGUCCCCAGCCAUGCCGCCGCGUCGCCUUCCCUGUUCCCGGUCGCUGUCGCCACCGCCGACAACCUGCGGGUGAACCUGGUGAGCUAUGUUGUCGAGCUGGUGAAUGCGGCGAAGGGCAAGGUGAACAUGGAGUACAUGCGGUUGGUGGUCGACCUCAUGGUGAAGCGCGGUCGGCCGAAACUUCACGAUGGUUCGACGUGGUGAAGGCCAGGUUCGGUGACCUCAACUUCGGGUGGGGGAAGGCGGCGUAUGGCGGGCUGGCGAAGGGCGGGGUCGGCGCCAUUUCCGGUGUGGCCAGCUUCCUCAUCCUGUAGCGGUUCGGCAACGGUCCCGAGCUGCGCCGACGCCGCCCACCAUCUGCAACGAAGAGAGGAAUAGGUACAGAGAGAUGCAAUGGGAACCAAGGGUAUUUUGGUCAUCUUAGCAAGAAAAAAAUCAUUAAACUGAGAAGAGAUGGAUGAAAUAACAUUGCAACAUGUUGCGUCUGUUUGAGGAUGGUAUUUUAGCGAAGCCACAUUCGGUGAUGGCAUUCUGGCGAAACCCCAACCCGAUGAUGGUAAAAUGUCAAUUUUCUCGAAUAUAUGGGCCGUCAAGGAAGACCUCGAAUCCACGGCCCAUGACACGAUGGGCCCUCUCAGGUGGGUGGCAAUCUGUUCCAUCUUCUCCGGCUCUCCAGUGUGCUCUCAACGGGAAACAGGACACAGGCCUUUCUUUGGGAAACAGGAAAAAAAAUGCUAGAACCAGCUGCAAUAUCGCUUAACAAGGUAUAUUGGUGGAUCCAUUUCAUCCCACUUUAUGACCAUGCAAAUUGUUUAAGACAUUUUCUAAUUUACAAUAAUUGUUGGGCGAUCUGCCAUUUAUAGAUCGUCUUAAAUCAUUACAUGGAAAAUGGAACACCUACUUUCGCAGCUUCGCUUCAACAGAUCAAUGCAGCCAGGGCGUCAUUUUGUUUACCGAUGGACAAGGUGACAUGGGUUAAUCCUACGGGUAGAGGUGACAAACGGUGAAAUCUUACACGUGGGAGAAGGAGCCACCAUAUAAAAUAACAAGGACAGUCAAAUGAAACUGGUAAAAAAUAUACACUACUAUAUUAUAUAUAAGGGCAGUAGCAAUGCAAAGCUACGUCAAUGAGAAACCUCAUAUUGCCAAAUAGGAUGAAGCAAUUCAGAACCACACUUUCCAUGGUGCAAGCAGCUUGCUGUGUGACCUAAGAGUAGAUAUUUGCAUUUCAGUCCCUAUUACCUUUAAAUUUACAGUAGUACAAAAUUUUACACUCAACACCCUAAAAUCUACAUAAUAAUAUAUAAUCUCUCCCCAGUCCCCACCUACCGCCGAUUUCUCUCCUCUCCCCACCUACCGCCAUCUGUCCUCACACUCACCGGCGCCGGCGCACCGGGUGGGGAAGCCUAGAAGGGCGGCGGUCGAGGAGCUCCUUGGGCGGCACGGCGACGAGCUCCCUGGCGGCACCGGUCGCUGCCUCUCUGUCAACCCGUCGACGACGCCACCUCCGCUCGAGAUCCGCCACUGGGGCGAUGGCCGGCGGCGUAGAGAUCCACGAGCGGUCGUGGCAGGCGACGGUUGCGGUCAUCGACGGGCUGACGGGAGGGAGGCGCGGUCGUGGCGGGCGGCGGUGGCGGUCGUCGACGGGCUGAUGGGAGGGAGGUCGGCGACGGCGGCAGUGGCGCGGUCGUGGUGGGCCCCGGACGACGGCCACGCUUGGCGCCAUGGCUCUUUGUUCCUAUAGCGAGAUGCGAAAAACCAAUCAGAGCUAUGAGGUCUACUUGCUUUUUCCUCCACGUAGACGAGGUAACGCGCCAUAUACUUGCAUUGUGAAAGACCUAAGGUACCAAUCAGGAGGCUUAUGUACAAGAGUGAAAUUCAUUUGAAGCAAUCAAGAGGCUUCCAAACCUUCAUCAAUUUUUUUAUUUCUUCUAAAAAAAGAGGCUUCCAAUAUUUGGUUAGUUAAUCGACUGAUCAAACCAAGAAGAAAAUAACAAAUGAAGCCUCAACCUUAAGUUCGUACUGGAUUGAGUAACCUCUACAACUAUCUCAUCAAUGAAGUAGUUUCCGGCAAAAUUAAUGUGAGGUCGUUUCUUGCCCUGGACAGUGCACAUACUGAUGAUACGUUAUAGAUAUAUUGACUGGAUAUCUUUAUCUUUACCUACUAUAAGGAAGGCCCUACACGUCGGGCGCCCGAUGCUUCGGGGGAAAAAUCGGGCGCUGACGUCAGCGUUCGAUUUUACGUGCAAAAUUACUUUAAACUGAUUUAUCUCUUAAAUUACUUAUCCAAAUCAUGAUCCAAUUGCACCAUUAAAUUCGUUGCAAUUAAAUCUUCAAAACAAGACCACACAUGGAUAUAUUUUGACGAAAUUUUUUUUAGCUUAUUAUUGAAUUAUUUUUAAACAUUGCACGAUGUUCCACCAGAUAUAUCGGAAUUGUUUCACUAAGUAGAUCGAAAAUGUUUCACUCAUUUAAAUCGGGUGUUAUUUCACCUUAUAUAAAAACAAUGUUUCAGCAAAUAGCGAAAGAAUGUUUCAGUUCACUACACAUUAGAUCUAUACAUAGUGAAACAUUAUGACUACACUAGAUGAAACAUUUUUCGGUGGAACAAAAAAUAAACCAAAUUCCAUUAAUAGGGGGUUUCCAAAAUAUGUGGGUUUUUUUUGCAAUGGAAUGUUUCGUUCAGUGCAACAUUAGAUCUAUACAUAGUGAAACAUUGUGAGUACACUAUGUGAAACAUUUUGGGUGGAACAAAAAAUAAACCAAAUUCCCUUAAUAGAGAGUUUCCAAAAUAUGUGGGUUUUUUUUUUUACAAAAAAGUAUUUUAAUUCACAGCAACAUUAGAUCUAUAAAUAAUGAAACAUUGUAAAUAUACUAGGUGAAACAUCUUUUAUAGAAAAAAGAGGAGCAGAAAUAGGUGGGCCCAAGUAGUCACGUGGAGGGAGGGGGCGCGGGGGGAGUGCCCGAUCCAGCUCCCCCCGCGCCGGGCGACCAGCAAGGAGCAUUUCUAUACCUAAUUAAAAAAUAAGUAAGGCUUCCGGUUGAUUUUUUUGUCCGUCAUUAAAGAGUGGGCCCAUGUGAUUAUUUCGCGGCUAAUCUGUGAAUCCGGAUGCAUUACGGCGAUCUCUGACGCUCCGAAAAAAAAAAGAGAAACGAAAAAAAGAAAAACCUAGCGAGCAGCCCAGCCAAGACGGCAGCAGGCCGGCCCAACAUAAAGCAAACGCGGCCCAGCAGCCAGCCCACAGAACAGAGAAGCAGCAGCCCAGUACAGCAUAGUUAUGUGUGAUACUAUCUAUAUCUAUAACUAAUAUAAAUAUUCGUAUUUUGUUUUCGUCACAUCUAAUUUUCGUCCGUACACAAUCCGAUUUGGUUAGCAAUAGCCAUGGAAAAAAUUGCAAAAAAAAAAAAAUCCGCCGCACCCUGUCAUCGCUACACCGUGCCGGCGAGACAAGAAGGAGAGAGGGAGAGGGAGCGCGGACGUCGUCGACGCCGCCGUUGGGAGGGCGCCGUCUCCGCCGCACCCCGCCGUCACCGCGCUGUGCCGGCGAGAAGGGAGAGAGAAGAGAAGGGAAGCGGUGCUGGUGGGGGGAGAGACGACGCCGGUGGCAGGGGAGGCGGCCGGCUGGGGGGAGGGGGAGAGGCGGGAGAGGGGGAGAGGGAGCGGCGCCGCCGGAGGGGAGGGGAGGGGAAGCGGUGCCGGUGGGGAGAUGGGGAGGGGGAGAGGCGGUGUCGGGACGGGGGAGAGGGAGGCGGCCGGCUUGGCUCGGCUGGGGGGGAGGGAGGGGGAGGGGGAUGGUUAGGGUUAGGGUUCUCAUCAAUUUCAAACUGAUCUGAACCGUCCAUCAAAACGAACGGCUGAGAUCGAUCGAGGGUUUGGGCCGCACCACUUGGGCUGCACCACUUGGGACGCACACGGGCCGGCGGUCCACCAAGUGAGAGGAGGAGUAUGGGGGCAUUAAGUAGACUUUGGUCGCUUGCGGGCUGAAGAAGAAAAUGGGCUGAAAAAGGCUCAUAGAGAAAAAAUAAUUUUUAUUUAAAUAAAUGCUGAAAUGAUAUUUGUAUUAUCAAAAUUAGCAAUUAAGCUAUGUAAAUUCCAAGAAAAUUUCAAUGAAUGUAAUUAAUAUAGAAAAUUUAAUCCAAUCAUAACAUUUUAUUUCUCACACUUACUCUACUUAUAAAUUAAUUUAAUUAUAUACCUACUACUUAAAAAAUACCUAAAUAUGUCAGAAAUUUUGUAUUUCAUUUAAUUAGAAUUUAAUAUGUUUUAAUUCAAUUUUAUCUUUUUUCUUUUCGUUGCAACGCACGAACACUUUUGCUAUAAUUUCAAAGAGUGUAAUUAAUAUUGCAGAAAAUUUAUAUGUCAUUAAAUUAUAAUUCAUUUUCUUCAUAAAAAUAGUUCAAAUCAAAGUUCAGUCACCAUAUUAUUAUCCGGUGCAACGCACGGAUAUUUUGUUAGUCCGUAUAAAGAUUGAAGAUGUUUUUGCUGUAGCUUUUGGUACGUCAUCCGAAUUAAUCUCCGUGUCGAGUUGUUUUUCGCGUUAAUCACCGUUUCCGAUUUCGCAUUGGAUCACAACGCGUGAUGCGGAGGGGUGAAGAUCGCAUCAGACGUGCUUGUCUAACCGAAACGGGCUUGUGCAACAUCUGGUCCUGCCGGUUUGAUGCAGAGCCGGCCAGCCCAUUAACAGCCUAACCACGGCUUUCUCUGUGUAGGUCCUGUUUGGUCAGUCAAACAAAUCUAUAUACCUACCGGUAUUUUUUUGUCCAUUGUUUUUUUCCGUAUGCAUUUUUUUCGCACGGUCCAGCUUUUUUUCCGUCCGACCGGUUUUUUUUCGCACGUGCACGCGGUUUUUUCGCAGGGCCCAGUUUUUAUUCUGUCCGAUUGGUUUCUUUGGGCCCGGUUUUUUCCGGUCCGAAUGGUUUUUUCACGUGGUUUUGUUUUGCCAGGUUUUUCCCCAUCCAAUUUUUUUCCUUUUUUUCCAUCCUAUAUUUUUUCCGAUAAGUUUUUUUGGUGUGCACGGGAUUGAAUCCCAAAUCUAUAUAUAUACCAAAUUUCUACUAUUAUAAAAAUUAAAAAUGUUUCGCCGAUACUUUGGUAUGUCGUCCGUAUUUGAGUCACCUUGCAUGCUAAUUUGGGACAAAAGUCGGACUCCUAAUUAAUUUACAAUUCUCGCCAGACCAUAAGAAACUUUUGCAAAUACAUAAGGAGUCGUAUAAGAAAUCAUUUUAAAAACCUAACAUGCUAACUUGGGACAAAAGUCGGAAUCCUAAUUGAUUUAUAAUUUUCGUCAGACCAUAAGAAAGCAACGUACAAUAUAUGAUCAAUACUAUCAAAAUAAAAAUCCAUAUACUUUUAAGAAAUAAAGUCUAACAAUAAUACGAUUAAAAUAGCCUUCACCCGUUGCAACGCACGGGUAUUUUUUCUAUAUUAUAAAAAUUAAAUAUGUUUUUACCGGUAUUUUGGUAUGUCAUCCGUAUUUGAGUCAGUUUUUAAGUUUGUUCGCUUUUGAAAAAAUAUAGAUCCGUGUUAAAGUCAGAUUUUAAGUUCGUUUGUUUUUAAAAAUAUAAAAGAAGUCGUACAAGAAAUUUCUUUAAAAGAACUUGCAUGCUAACUUGAGAUUAAAGUCAGACUCCUAACUGCAACUCAUGAUUUUCUAAAAAAUAAAUCCAAGCGAAUUCCUAAAUGUCAUCCUAUCUAAACCGUAUAACAAUAAUAAUAUUAAAAUAGCAUUCACCCGUUGUAACGCACGGGUAUUUUUUUAGUCAAGUUUAAAAAUAUAUCUUUGUAUAUAUGUGUAUAGGACACCACCACCUAAGGCUUCUUAUAGGUAGGUCUAUACCUAUAAGACUAUAAGGUAUAAGAGAGUAUAUAAAUAUUUUUACUUUCGCAUGUACUGGAGCACACAAUUACCAAACGUUUGGGCCCGAGAGCACUUAAUUUCACUAGAAACACAAAAGCCCACGUAAAACAUCACAUGGCAAAGUAUGGCACAUGCUGUCCAUGCGAAGCUCCCGUUCCACCUCGUUUAGUCCCACCUCGGAAAACUAGCUUCAGACAGCGCAGCUUAAAUAGCAAGAGCGUCCCACCACCUCCAGCCGAGCUCAGCAGCGCGAGCUUGUAACCCGAGCGGGGGCAUUAAGGUGGUGUGGACGUUGCCGUAUGGCUGCGGGCCUGGGUUGGCAGUGCCAUAGAUGGCCCGCCCGUUCCAAGUUGCGUAGUUGGGCCGGCGGGGCUUGAGCGAAAGCUCUGGCCUCACGUUUCCCUAGAGUGGCAGGCAUUGCGUGAGGCUGGCUUCACAGAGCAGCGAAUACUGUCCGCUUCCAACGGUGGAAGGAUAACGGGCCGCCGCACUGCUGGCCCGCUUGGGUCUCGCAGCCUACUCCAACGGACCACCACUUUUUUUAUUAUUAUUUUCCCAUCUUGUUUGCCUGAAUUUACCUCUAACUGACUUGCUGCCACGCAUGUAGGCCGUCUUUACGGAUCAUGAACACGGGUAUUCUUGAGCGGUAAAAAUCCAACUUGUAUGUAUUUGUACACUUCAUUAUCUAAAAAAGAAUGUAUUUGUACACUUUGUUGUAAACAAUUCGAUGGAACAAAAAAAAACUAAAGCUGGUGAAUUUGUCGUUGAAUCAAGUCCUUUUUAGUUUUUUUUUAGUUUUGCUGAUUGAAGUUCUCUGUUAGGCAUAAUUGGAGCUUAUGUUGUUUUUAGAUUUAAUAUAUUUCAAUUGUUGCACAGACUGGGAUCGCAGGGAAACAUAAUUAUUUAUGCUAAUAUAGUAAACUGGGUUAACAGCAAACUGAAAGCAGCGGGAAGAAGAUCUCAAAUGGAAAGCUUCAAUGUGUUCUUCCUGUAGCCUCCAGUCUCAAUCAUUUAAAUACUACUCCCUCCGUUUCACAAUGUAAGUCAUUUUAGCAUUUCACACAUUCAUAUAGAUAUUAAUGAAUCUAGACAUAUAUAUCUAUCUAGAUUCAUUAACAUCAAUCUAUCUAGAUUCAUUAACAUCAAUAUAAAUGUGAAAAAUGUUAGAAUGACUUACAUUGUGAAACGGAGGGAGUAAUUACAAAUUUAUACUCAUUCUUCUUUCUUGAUGGAAAUGCCAAGUGUAAUACAGGCAGAGCAGCAGUAGUUCAUGGAGCAGGAGGCGUCAGCUUAUUGCCCAUUUUUCUCUUGUUGCUGCUUGCCGUCGACACGCUGAAGCUGUUGGUGUUGUCGUUUGACUUUUUUUAACAGAAAGAAUUUUAUUUAAAAUGAAAUUAUACCCGGCCUCUACAUACAUCCUAGGACUCACACAAGCGAAAAAAAGAAGAAUAUCCUGAGACAAACAUUAAUGUAUCAUGUCAUCAGAUCUUCUAGUCUCUGUUGCCAAAUGUUGAAGAAAUCAGACAAAAAAGGAGAGGCAUCAUUGCUGAAAAGGGGAUCAGCUUGCCUACUGAUGUCAAAAGAAACCGUGCCAUCAGCUCAUCAUCCAGCUUAUGUUGUUCACCAGAUCUCUUAUAAUUCUUGUCACCAGAUCCUUAGACCGGCGAGGAGAAGAACAUCAUAGUUUCUGAAGUCCUGCACUGGUGCUGCGCCACAAGGGACACAAGCAAACCUUGGUGGAUUGCAGAAAAGGUGUGAUUUAGCGAUCAGUUCCGUAGUUAGCUCUCAUAGGAUAAAAAGUGAUAGUAAUUAGUAGGCAAAAUUGGUUAUAUAGCAUCGAAAGUUCACGUUUUUGGUUUUAUAGCACCAAAAGUUACCGGUUCACUUUAAUAGCAUCCAAAGUUCACCCUGUUACCAUUUUUAGCACUUCCGUCAAUUUUUCUAUCCGUCUUGAUCGUUAUUGAUCCAGUCACACACAUGAUAUGACAUUUCUACCUCUCAUUGACAUGCAUUAUACUUGUACUUGUGAGGGGUAGAAACGUCAUAUCGUGUGUGUGGCUGGAUCAAGACGGACGGAAUCCUCCGUUUCACAAUGUAAGUCAUUCUAGCAUUUCCCACAUUCAUAUUGAUGUUGAUGAAUCUAAAUAUAUAUAUAUAUCUAUCUAAAUUCAUUAAAAUCAAUAUGAAUGUGGGAAAUGCUAGAAUGGCUUACAUUGUGAAACGGAGGGAGUACAUAUUUCAAACAUAGAGAAGAUGCAUUGCUACUAUUAUAAGUGCUUAAGAAACAAUGGUCAGUAAAUAUUCAGACUGAAGUUCUCUAAGUUUCAGAUAUGACAUACAUUACUUAGUAAGCUUCUCUUUUCGCAAAUUUUCUGUCGGAUUGCCCGAGUAAAAUUUUCUUUUCUUUUAUAUUUUUCCAAUGACAAGUAGUACUCGUACUUAGUGAGGUUAGAAGUAGACUACUCUUAUGUUCUUACGAUGAAAAGAACUUUUAAGGUAUAAUUUAGUGAUUGUAUAUACAACAUAUUGUGUCUAAAAAGUUCUCAAUAAUCAAACCGUUAAGAAUCGGAAGUACCUCCAAUCAGGGGGCAAGUUCAUCGUGGAACUUCAUGGUUGGUUUAGGGGAGGCCACCGCCGAGAGCCAGAGAUAAAAGAUGGUGUCACCAGUACUCCCUUCACUCCAAAAUAAAUUAAUCUGAUACAAAAUAAAACAUCAUUGAAUAUAAUGAAUUUGAACAAUUAUUCUAUUAUCUAAAAGAAAUGAAUUUGGACAAUGUUUAGUGGGCGCAAGAAAUCUGAAAAAUUGGCUUAUACUAUAAUUAGCUCGGACCAAAUAUCGUGAGCUUUUCUUUUCCUUUUUUUUUAUAGUUUACUCAUUCUCUAUUGAAUAAAGUUGGUAGCUUGCGCAUUAAAAAAUUUAGACAAUGUUUCGUCUUACGGACUAAGGCUAUAUUCUUCUCCCAUCUUUUCCAACUCACCUCUUUCAUGUUCCUUGCACACACUCUUGAAACUGCUAAACGGUACGUUUUUUUCAAAAGGUUUCUACACGAAAGUCAUAUUAAUAUAAAAAAAUCAUAUUAAUCUUUUUUUAAAAUAAUAAUAAUAAAAACUUAAUUAAUCAUAAGAAAAUGCGUCGCUCUAUUUUGCGUACGCGGGAUGUGAGUUCCCAACCUCACCUCCUAAACACAUUCUAAAUUUGUUUCUCCUCUUCCCCCUCUCGUGCUGGGAUGGAUAGAAUAGUCAUUAAUGAAGGUUGAAACUAAGUUUUCUAGUUUUUCCUUUUUGUGUUUGUGUAUAUUGUUCUGUGUGAGGCUCGGAGUCUAAAAACUCGCGCAUGUUUUUGGCAGUAUAUCCUUUGACAUAUAGAGACCGAAUUAAUGAAAAAUUCACUAUUAAAAGUUUUUAGAUUAGUUUAUUUUAGGAUAGGAGUGGAUCUAUAGUUAGCGUCAGCUUUAGGCGACCCGACGACUUCCGACAAAAACUAUGAUUAUACUUAUUCAUAUAUUAUAAUGAUAUAGUCUAAGUAUAAUUAGCAUGUCAUGGUAUCGAUAGAUCUAUUAUAAUACCAAUGAAUUAAUUUCUAUAUCCAUCAUUGUUUUAGGAGAUAGAGGAGAACUGAUAUGACCGUGGCAGAGAGGAAUGGAGCUGGGUUGAUGUGGAUAUCUCCGUGAUCGCUACACCAACACCUCCAGGUUCCGUACUACCGUCCAUGUGCCAAAUUGUGGCGCAAAACCGUACCACUCGGCCACUCCGGCUGUUUCCCGAACAAAAAAUUGUGGCCUAGCCUAGCGUCACCCUCACCGUCCUAGAAAAGCCUUGCGAGCGAGAGAGCGACACGACCCCGCCCGGCCGCCCCUACUCUCCUCCCCGCCUCACCGCGCUGCAGCACGCGCGCGUGGACGUGUCACCCCGCUCCGCUGCACGUGGCCAUAGCCCUCGCUGGCCACGCGCCCCCCGAGCCUUCCAGGCGCGCCGCUCUGCGUACGUGUCCCCUCCUGGUAGAGAACGGCAUCACGGCGCGCCGCGAAUUAUAAGCCGAGCACGAGCACGAGCACGAGCUCCCCUCUCAACGCCAGGGCAAAUGUUACAUCGCGCCUCGCGUCUUUACCCCUCAUGUACUCGCUUCGUUUAGCUAGCAGCGGCAGCACGGGACUCGGCUUCGCGCUCGGCCGGCUCGGCGGGAGGAGUGGCGGCGGCGGCGGCGGUGGUGGUUUAGCGCCCGCGUCGGCGUCGUCGUCGUCGGUGGUAUCCGCUCGCACGAGGAGGACCGUCUCCGUGACGCCCAACGCCGCGGCGCCGACUCCGGGCGAGCAGGGCGUCGCGAUGGAGCAGGGCAAGCAGCAGCACCAGCCACCACCUCCGUCGCAGCCGCAGCCGCAGCAGGAGAAGCGCGGCUCCCGCGACGACGACAUGCACAAGACCACAGGGUACGUACGCACGAGUACACUACGGUUUUGGCGUGAGCGGCUGCGUGCGCCGGAUUUAACCGUGGCGUCUGCGUGUUCGCGUGUGUGCAGGGACGUGAUGACCCACUCUUUCGGGGAGGGAUACUCGACGCGGUCGGACGAGGAAGGGUUCGGUGGCGUGUACGGACAGAACGACCCGGUGUUCAACCCUGGGACCGAGGUGCACCCCAGCCACCCUGGUACGUGCACUGCUGCUAGAUAAAAUUAACGAAUUUGCUAUAUAUUUAUCGAUAAAUUUCCUCAAAAAAUUUGUCAAGAUGCAAUUACAGUACAAUCGUAGUGUAAUUACACUGUAACUUGCAUGUAAUUACACUGUAACUAUAAUGUACAACUUGUAUGUAACUUUCAACAAUCUCUCGGUAAUAUGUUAUUUCAGUAAAAUAGAGGUCAUGGAAACAAAUCCUUUUAUAUAUGUGUGUGCUAUGAUUUUUUUUCUUCCUCACCAGAACAAAUCUUGUAAUAGAUCUAACGAUUCAAAAUUACGUGAAACUUAAAUACAAGUUACAGUGUAAUUACAUACAAGUUACAAUGUAAUUACACUACGAUUGUACUAUAAUUAUAUCUGUCAAAUUUUUAGUAGAAAAUUUGUCGACAAAUGUAUAGGUAGUCCCUAAAAUUAAUUUGACACAUCCUUAAAUAUCCGUCUUGAAAAUAGGUACAUUAAUAAACAUAUCCACUACGAAUCUUGAAUCUGGAAGGAUGUCUAAUGAAGGAUGUCUAAUUUUGUUUCGAGUAAUUUUAUAAUCUUGAGAAGGUACUGUAACGUAUCAAAAAUUAAAAUUUAGUGUAAAAUUUGAUCUCUUUAUAAUUUUACAAUAGAAAAGUGAUACCUCCUUGAGGACUAAAAUUGCCUUUUGUUUUGGUUUAUACCGAGUAGUUGGGAACAGUGGUUACAGGAGGGACGUGAACUUAAUUAUUAAUCUGAAAAUUUGGAUUUUGAUCUCUGUUUUGAUUAAUAACUGGGGUUGCUUUGGUUGUACUGCGAUGUGUGCAGAGUACGACACGUCGCAGGGGUCGGAGGUGAAGGAGAAGGAGAAGGCGCGCCACCAUAAGGACGACAAGCACGCGACCUAAGCCUAGCAGUUGGGGGCUGGAUUAGGUCCUAAUCGUAGUUUAGUCGGGCAUGACGGGGAUCACCCCCAUCAUCACCUGUGCAUCCACGUUGCCCUAUCUUUGAUGGGCACUAGUUGUAUCUUUUGCUUCUGAACUGUUUUGAUGCAUUUGUUUUAUUCCUUAGAUGUGAUGUAAAAUCUCUACAGUACUUAAUUAGCUAUGUACUGGUACUGUGAGUUCUCCAGCGCUUGUGUCUCCUGGUGUGUGUGAUCAUGUAAUGAUGAGUCGAUUCAUAUAUAUACUCCCUCCUCCUCCGUCAUCCCUUCUAUAGGAUUUUCAAAAAACAUCCCUUCUAUAGGAUUUGUAUAAUAAAUCUGUAAUAAAAGAGAUUUUAGGUGGCUUGGAUAUAUUCUGAUUUUAGGUGGAUUGGAUAUAUUCUAGUAUAAUUAAUUUAGGCAGAUAGUUUUUAAAUUUAUUGUAUUUUUAAAUUUAUUGUAUUGGGACGUGUUACGUUCAUAAAAAUCCCUUAUAAGAUCGAAACGGACAUACCAGAUGAGCUACGGCAGAUUCACAAAAAUCCCUUAUAAUUUAGGCUUAAGUGCGCUCCAUGUGAGGCCGCCGCUCUAAUUCGACCGACGACUCUUUAGGGCUCGAAGCUUCUGUAUCGUGAGCCUUUUGGGAAGGGACUCAAGGAGUGAUGGGCUACUCGCUAUAUUCUUCUCGAAAUACUACAUCCAUACUAAAAUGUAAUAAUUUUUAGCUAAACGUAUAACUUUUAGUUAUAAAUCUGAACACAUAAUUAUCUAGAUUCAUAGCUAAAAAUACAUAUUCAUAGCUAAAAUAAUUAAAUGUCCUAAAUGUAACAACUUUUAGCUAUGAAACUUUUAGCUAUGAAUCUGAACUUAGCUAUGAAUCUGAACGUGAACUUAGCUUUUUAGCUAUGAAUCUGAACUUAGCUAUGAAUCUGAACGUGAACUUAGCUAUGAAUCUGAACGUAAAGUUGUUUAUAUUCAUAGCUAAAAAUACUUAAAUUUUAGAUUUUAGGACGGGGGAGUAAGUCGUUAAUGGGCCUCUAUGACACCUAAGAAGCAUUUUCUUCUCGAAAUAAGUGGUGUUUGGAUAAGGGACUAAACUUCAGUACCUUACUCUGGCAAUCCAUGUUUAUGUACCGAGAGAAAAAAAUCACUGUCACGCAUCGAAAGUUUGGACAUUUGGUCUAUUAAAUAUAGACUACUUAUAAAAUUAAUUAUAUAAAUAAGAGCUAAUUCGCACGAUAAAUUUUUUAAACCUAAUUAAUCUAUAGUAAGCACAUGUUUAGUGUAGCAUCAUAUAGGUUAAUUAUGGAUUAAUUAGGCUCAAUAGAUUCGUCUCGCAAAUUAGUCUAGGUUAUUGUCGGUGACAUGGGACCGGGAGUAUCAUGACUAGAGCCUUGAGGCAGACACAAUCGCCCACGUGGCCUGGCACCCUCGGGGGGCGUCGGGCCCGAGGGUGAUGUGUUCGCCCUCCUCUUUGUCUCCCCGAGGGGGUCGGACCGCUCCCGCCUCGGCCCCGAGGGCCGAGGCGCCCCGACCCCUUGUGGGUUUUGCGCCGCGUAUAUGAGGUAGGUGAGCAUAGCGGGGCUCACCUAACCACAUUUAUUGCGGUUUGGACGAGCGCGUCACGCCGCAUGUAACGCAGUGCAGUGCGCUCGUUUAUCCGGUCAGUGACCAGUCACAGACCGAUCAGAUCGUGGGUUAGGUGGCGACAGGCGGUCUGACGCACGCCUCGCCCCAUCCCGUCAGGAUGAGAGCCUCCAAGCACUCGUCCCUAGCCGGAGCCGGCGUGUUAGCUCCUGGAGAUGGCACAUUGGUCCCGGUCAGAUAUAUACCAGGCUUCAUCCUAACCAUUACAAGCAAGACAUUGUAUGAAGAGGGGCGAACAUGCAGAUUGAUAAACUGACGCGUGGUGGACAAGAAUGACCGAUUUGUGACUGGUCUGACACUGGUCAUGUCGUCAGCAGACAGCCAUGUUCCCACGUCGCGCUUGCUUCCGGCGGAAGUGGAGGUAGGUAUGGGCCGUCCCAUCAGAAGGUCAUUCGGACGGCAAUCAUACAAAUCUCCGUCCAUUUAUGAAAAGAUAGGAUAAGUCCCCACAAAAAAGAGAGAGAUGGUGCAUGUGGUAUCCCCUUGAGGUAUAAAAGGAGGACCUUGCCCACUGAGAUGGGGACUGGACUUUUCCAAAUUGGGAACCCAGAACAAGGGAGAGGCUGGCUCAUACCUUGUAGCUCCUUCAUACGCAGAUCACCCAAAACACAGGAGUAGGGUAUUACGCUUCUCAGCGGCCCGAACCUGUAUACAUCGCCCGUGUCUUGUGUGUUUCCGGUCUAGCGAACCUUCCACAUACAGAGAGCUUAGAAUCUCACCCUGAGUCCCCGGCCGAACCGGCAAAGGGGGGCCUGCGCAGUCUCCCGGUGAGGAGCCUCACGCUCCGUCAUCUGGCGCGCCAGGUAGGGGGCUCUGCGAGGGAUUUUCUGAGCUCUCGCACUCUUUCGUGUGCGCCAAGCUUUUCCUGUUCAGCCCAAUGGCCGAGCCAGCAAAGGCACACGACCUCUCCCCGAGUAUGAGCGGUGACGACGGGGAGCCAAACCCACGCCGUCGACCUCGUACUCCACCGCCCCUUCCACGCCAAAGUCCUAGGCGGGAGAAGGCGCUCGAGAGGGCUCAAGGAUCCGCGACUUCGACAUCCACAGGAGGUGGAGAAGGGCGGCGAGAUGGGGAGCGUCGCCUCCUCAUCUACGGCGACGGCAGCACGCCCCAGGGCGCGCUCCAAGCUGCAGGCGCGCUCCUACAUCACCCGCCCGUCGCCCAUGACCCGGAGUCUCCAGCCCAACGUUGGCUGGACGAUUUGGCCAAAUUGGUCAUGACUGCACGGCAGCGCCUAGAUGCUGGUGGGCGGUCCUCCGCCACCAAGGCCUCUGGUGCUGCUACCACCGGCUCCGCGUCGUCAAGACGGAGGGCGCGGCGAGCGGCGGCUGUUGCUCGCCAUUUGGCCGCCACUCCUUCGUCAGCGCCUCCGACCCAGGAAGAUCUGCGUGGGGGGCCGGAUGCCCGCAUCAGUAUCGAGCGCCGGCGUAAUGGCCGACGUGCUGCCCACGCAACGGAGGGCGCCUCCUCGUCCGGAGUGUCACAUCAACACGGACGCGGGGAUCAGCCCUCCGUGCCCCCGGUUGGUGGUGUCGGCUGUAGAGCCUUUGUGGCGAGCCUUCGGAACGUCCGUUGGCCCCCAAGGUUCCGGCCCACCAUCGCCGAAAAAUAUGACGGGAGCGUCAACCCCGCCGAGUUUCUCCAGGUCUACACGACCGGGAUCGAGGCCGCCGGGGGUGACGACAGGGUCAUGGCGAAUUUCUUUCCCAUGGCCCUGAAAGGACAGGCGCGGGGUUGGCUAAUGAACUUGCCACCCGCGUCUGUCCACUCUUGGGAGGAUUUGUGCCAACAGUUCACCAUGAACUUCCAAGGCACAUAUCCGCGCCCAGGUGAGAAAGCAGACUUACAUGCAGUCCAGCGAAGGGAUGAUGAGUCACUUCGCUCAUACAUUCAGCGGUUCUGUCAAGUCCGCAACACCAUACCAUGCAUCCCUGCACAUGCGGUGAUCUACGCGUUCAGGGGGGGUGUGCGGCACAACCGCAUGCUCGAAAAGAUCGCCUCCAAAGAGCCCCAGACUACCGCGGAGCUUUUUCAGCUCGCAGACCGAGUGGCUCGUAAGGAGGAGGCAUGGACCUGGAACCCCUCCGGUUCCGGUGUGGCAGCUUCGGCCGCCCCCGGAUCCGCUGCUCAGACAGGGCGGCGUGACAGGAGGAGGAAGAAGAGGUCAGCCCAUACCGACGACGAGGGUCAUCUCCUCGCCGUCGAGGGUGCUUCGCGGGCCACCCGAAAGGGGAGGCCUGCGAGCGACAAAAAGAAGGAAGCCGACGCUCCCUGACCUCGGCUACUUGGAAGAGCGAAGGUGGCGCGCGGCCCUUCGAGCCGCGCGCAACCAGCAGAGCCUGCGGCGCUACCAUCAGCGCCACGUCCGGGCCCGAUCACUCUGCGUCGACGACCUCGUCCUACGCCGUGUCCAAACGCGUGCUGGACUGAGCAAACUCUCACCAAUGUGGGAGGGUCCGUAUCGAGUGAUCGGCGUCCCCCGGCCGGGCUCCGUUCGGCUGGCCACGGGCGAUGGCACAGAGCUGCCUAACCCAUGGAACAUCGAACACCUUCGUCGCUUCUACCCCUAGUGGGGGUCGGGUGUCAGGUCUUGGGCUCGGGCCAACCCCGCACCCCCCCGGGCGUGCAGGGUUGGCCGGGGGCUUAUCUUUUUUCUCUUCCGUAUUUCAAUAAAAGCAUUUUCGAUUUCCUAAAGGCUGUAUCUGUGCUGUUGUUUCCUUUUGAAGGAUCUUGACUUGAAAUAGGUCACUCGUGUUCAAUCCUGCCCUCGGGGGCUCGGGUCGGCUAAAAUCGCCAAACGGGGCCCAGAACCGAGCCGUGCCCCGGGACGUGGUGAACUCCGGGGGGGAAUCGGCAAAAACCCACAAUCGGGUCACCCAUAACCCUCGGUCACCACGCUCCCGGCCUGGCCAGUCUCGACAUGUGGAUCUCCCCAGGCACUAGCCUUGACCUGCGCCGUUUGAGGCUGGGACCUGGGCACGAGCCCUUGUUCAAGCCAAGACACAAAAGGACCGUGGCACAGACCAUCCUCGUCUCAUACACAGAACAAAUGAAAUUGACACAAAAAUUUCCUCUUUAUUUGAUUGCAGAUUAAAUCAGCCUAUAACAAGAAGAAGGCCCGAAGGCCUCGGAAGAAGAAGGAAAAGAAGAAACUAUUUAAAGAUUGGCGGGGGCCUGGGGGCUCACUCCGAUGCACCCGGGUCGCCAGCCUCGUCGCCACUGUCGGUUUUCCCUUGCUGAUGUGCGCGAUUUGCGACCACCGGGAUUCUGCCCGAAGAGAGAGAGAGCAGGGAGGAGAGGCCCCCGAGCCGAACGGCGGCCCAAGGCCCCCGACGGCCGGAGCUGGCUCUCCGCCUGCUUGUCCGACGGUGCCAGGCGCCCCCGACCCCCAGGAUGGCCCCGAGGCCACUGCGGGAAGGCCGCGCCUGUCGCCCUCUGACCCCGAGGUCGUCGGCACAGAAGCCGAGUGCGCCCCGCGUGGCCUUUCGGAUGGAGAGCGCCCUGGAGAUGUGGCCCCUGACGAAGAAGAUCGGCCCCGCCGAAAGGUGCAGCGGCCCGUCUACUUCGUUAGCGAGGCCCUCCGGGACGCCAAGACCCGAUACCCUCAGGCCCAGAAGAUGCUUUAUGCUAUCCUGAUGGCUUCGAGGAAGUUGCGCCAUUAUUUCCAGGCGCAUCGGGUCACGGUGGUUACGUCUUAUCCCCUCGGCCGAAUCUUGUAUAACCGAGAGGGUACUGGACGGGUGGUGAAAUGGGCAAUCGAACUCUCUGAAUUCGAUUUGCGCUUUGAACCAAGCCACGCGAUCAAGAGCCAGGCCCUCGCCGACUUUGUGGUGGAGUGGACCCCAGCUCCCGAGCUCGUCUCCGUCCCCGAGGCCAGCUCGAGCCCAUCGCAGCUGCCUCACACCGCCCUCUGGGUGAUGUAGUUCGACGGCACCCGUAGGAACCGGCCCUACCUGUCACCAGGCCUUAGAAGUGGCGUCACGCCCGACCGCUUCCCUCGGGGAGGGCGAUCGCCCUGGCAUAACGCCGGGGGCUACUGUCGGUGACAUGGGACCGGGAGUAUCAUGACUAGAGGCUUGAGGCAGACACAAUCGCCCACGUGGCCUGGCACCCUCGGGGGGCGUCGGGCCCGAGGGUGAUGUGUUCGCCCUCCUCUUUGUCUCCCCGAGGGGGUCGGACCGCUCCCGCCUCGGCCCCGAGGGCCGAGGCGCCCCGACCCCUUGUGGGUUUUGCGCCGCGUAUAUGAGGUAGGUGAGCAUAGCGGGGCUCACCUAACCACAUUUAUUGUGGUUUGGACGAGCGCGUCACGCCGCAUGUAACGCAGUGCAGCGCGCUCGUUUAUCCGGUCAGUGACCAGUCACAGACCGAUCAGAUCGUGGGUUAGGUGGCGACAGGCGGUCUGACGCACGCCUCGCCCCAUCCCGUCAGGAUGAGAGCCUCCAAGCACUCGUCCCUAGCCGGAGCCGGCGUGUUAGCUCCUGGAGAUGGCACAUUGGUCCCGGUCAGAUAUAUACCAGGCUUCAUCCUAACCAUUACAAGCAAGACAUUGUAUGAAGAGGGGCGAACAUGCAGAUUGAUAAACUGACGCGUGGUGGACAAGAAUGACCGAUUUGUGACUGGUCUAACACUGGUCAUGUCGUCAGUAGACAGCCAUGUUCCCACGUCGCGCUUGCUUCCGGCGGAAGUGGAGGUAGGUAUGGGCCGUCCCAUCAGAAGGUCAUUCGGACGGCAAUCAUACAAAUCUCCGUCCAUUUAUGAAAAGAUAGGAUAAGUCCCCACAAAAAAGAGAGAGAUGGUGCAUGUGGUAUCCCCUUGAGGUAUAAAAGGAGGACCUUGCCCACUUAGAAGGGGGAUUGGAUUUUUCGGAUGGAGAAGGAUCAGAGAGGGAGAGAGUAAGAGCUCUCUGGUUCUCCAGCUCUUUGUAGCUUCUUCAUACAUAGAUCCACCAAAACACAGGAGUAGGGUAUUACGCUUCUCAGCGGCCCGAACCUGUAUACAUCGCCCGUGUCUUGUGUGUUUCCAUUCUCGUGAACCUUCCACAUACAGAGAGCUUAGAAUCUCACCCUGAGUCCCCGGCCGAACCGGCAAAGGGGGGCCUGCGCGGUCUCCCGGUGGGGAGCCCCACGCUCCGUCAGUUAUGGAAUAGGUUUUUUCAAUAGUCUACAUUUAAUAAUUCUAAGAUGUGAUCGGGGCUAAAACCUUUUAAUCCCAUCUAAACAGCCCCUAAGUCUGGUUGCCAACCGUAAUAUCAAAAAAUUAAUUUAGGGUGUAACUUACAGAAUCAUAUUACAUUCAGUCUUGGAUAAGAAACUAUCUUUGUUCGGUCGGCCAAAAACCACAAUAGUUCCGGUUGCAAUAAAAACCCAGACUAAAGAUGGUUUUUAGUCCCAGUUUAUAAGCAGAACGGGACUAUAUGAUCUUUAGUCCCGGUUCACAUGUUGUCAUGGGCUGUCAGGGCUCUCCGGGAUCUUUAGUCCCUGUUGAAGUUACCAAUAGUGUAUCCGAGAUACACUACUGGAGACCGGGGAGGAGGGGAGGCAGCGGCGGCUGCGCCGGCCGUGGGCAUGAGAGGAGGACGGGCCGGCGGCCGGUAGCGCCGGAUUUUUGUCCUUUCUUUUUUUUAAGAAUUUGUGAUUCAUUGUAUUGAAAUGAAGAAUUUGUGAUUCAUUGGAUGGAUUGAGAUGUAUAAUUUCUUUUUUGAGAAUCUGUGGUCUGAGAUGUAUAAUCUCUGAUGUAUUGAGAUAUUACUUUGAUUUGGGGUUUGAUUCGGGGAUAUGUAUCUCACUCGAUUUGAGAGAAAAUAGUUAGGGAUUAAGUAGUAAGUAUCAAUAGAAACAAUGAAAAAAAAAGAAACUAACCGGAACUGCCUCUGCCUUCUUUAGUCCCGGUUGGUAAAGAUCGAUCUUUAAUCCCGAGUAUUUGAAUCGGGGCUAAAUAUAACGAUCUUUAGUCCCGGAUUCAUAGUCCCAGAUAAAAAACCGGGACUACAGAGAAUUAUAAACUGGGAGUAAAAACGAUCUCUCCACCCGUGAUAGCUGGUUUUGCUAGUGGCAUCCUAAAAUGAAAAGAAGAAAAAUAAAAAACAAGUAGAAGAUCAAGACUCACCUUCUUCUACUCUCCAACUCUUCCCCUCACCCCCACCCACCCCUUCGCCCACUCCUCCCUCUUCACGCCAACAAGUUGCACGUAGAUCGUUACCAACGGCCUCCACCUGGGGCACCUGUUCCAUCGAUCCCGCAUUGCCACCAUUACUGCAAGCUCGAGCUUGGCAAUCACCUUCCCAAGUGCCCGCCGAUCCUGCAUGGCUGCAUCGCCACCAUCACUGCAAGCUCAAGCUUGGCAAUCGCCUUCCCUUCACACGAUAGCUACGGAACAUAGCUGCCGAUCCUGCAUCGCCUUCACCACAGCUAGCUCGAGCUUGGCAAUCGCCUUCCCUUUGCACGAUGGAUGCGGAACAAGGAAGGAUGGGGACGGGGAGCUCCACCCAGAUGACAGUGGCGCCAGAGCAGAGGAGGCACUGUGGGCCGCUUUGGCGCAUCUUUGUCUUUUUGUCUUAUUAUUAUUAUUAUUAUUAGAAUUGGCGCAUCUUGUAUCGACAUCCCAUUUCUCGCAUAGUCGCCUGCCUUCCCUUCUUGCGGCGGGCGCAUAGAGUGGUGUAUCGUGGGUGCUCAUGGUGUCCGUUGUUUGUUCGAAGGACCAUUGACGUCCGGCCCCAGCACCAGGCCUGCGUCUAUCCCUUAGCAGCCUGCGCGGUAGUGUGCCAUGGCUCCAUGCCCUGAGAGGAAAAUGAAUCAUUGGCCAGAGUAAGGGACUAGGAGGAAAGAGAAUCCUGGCCAGAUAGCUACCACUUGCGGCCUUGCAAAUUUAUCACAAAGUGUAAUGGUAGUGUUAAGAUUUAACGCUAAAAUAUAUAGUUUUGCUAUAACUUAUUAAAGCUAUAACGUUAUGAUGUUUUUUUAAUAUGCAGUUCUAUGAUAGAUUUGCUAUAAAAUCUGUAGAUACGCCUUAAAUAUGUAGUAUUGCGAUAGUUUUGGUCAAAUUAUAUGUAAUUUUGUAAAAUUUUACUUUAAAUAUUACUUUUUAAUGUAUAAAUUUGAAUAUUAUUUUUAAUGUAUAAACUUGACAAUAAAUUCUUUGGAUUUUGGACAAUAAAUUCUUUGGAUUUUGGCGAUGUCAAGGGGAAAAAAAUCCCAUGUCACAAGCUUAAUGGCUCUUUUAAAAUGACAAAGAAAUUUAUAAAAUCUAACCAUAUCAUUUAUAAUAGAGUAAAUUUCACAAAACUACAUGUACUUUGGUCAAAUUAUUACAAAACUUUUGUCAAAAAAAUUAUUACAAAACUACAGAUUUAAGAUAAUGUAUCAUAGAACUACAGAUUUAACAAUAAAUUUAUCACAAAUUACAUGUUUAAGGCUAAGUAUCACAAAAAUAUAGAUUUAAUAAUAAAAUUAUCACAAAACUACAUGUUUUGGGAUUUAAAUCGUUAGCAUUAAUGUUAUGUUGGACUUAUAAUUGUUCAAGUUUUGUGAUUAAAUUGUAACUAAACCUGUAGUUUUCAUGAUAUUCCAUUUUAAACAUGUAGCUUUGUGACAAAUUUAGUGUUAAAUCUAUACUUUUAUGAUAAUUUGAUCAAAGUACAUGUAGUUUUGUGAAAUUUAAUCUUUACAAUAUUCAGAACAAACCUUUUAAAUAUAUGUAUUCCGAAAGGAGCAAUGCUAUACGUAAAUAUCUAUCUAAUAUAUUUACGGUGGCAGAGCCACUGACGUUUUGGCGGAACUUCUAAAAAGUAAAAAAAAAAAUUAAACCUAAGCGAUAAUUAUAUUCGACUUUUAAAAUACCAACGAUAAUAAAGAGAAGAUACAAUGGACGGCCGUAGAAGAGUAUAAUGGUAGCGUUUGACGGGACUUAACCCAACACGACAAUGAACUCUAAAAACUAUAAGAUCCAAUUUUUAAAAGUUCCAAGAAAAGUGAAUAGAAACAGUGAAAUAUCGAGCAAAGCAAGUAGGGAAUAAUAAUUGGGUGACUUUUAAAAACUAUAAAAUUAGAAACAUGAUAAUGAUAAGGUUUGAUAUUUUAAAGUCUUAAGAAAACGAGAUAUCUAUUUAAUAAAUUUUAAGUAAAACAUAAUAAAAAAUAUAUAAUUUUAUAGGGUUACUAGCCCGCGCAAGCAAGCUAGUUUUUAUUAAAAAAGCAAAAAGAUGUGAGAUAAUAACUUUAAGAGGUUUAUAAGGCCUAAACCUUCGGUAAUUAUCCACAUCGACGGAUCCUCAUCCUAAUCCGUUCCCUUUGUCCUGUUCCCCCAUCUUUUACACUGUUGCACUCUGCAACCGACGCAUCAACCUCCACCGCCCUUCUUCCCCGCCGUCCCGAGAAAGGAACCGGAAAAAAAAAAUCCCCAAUUCCCCCUACGCCGAGCAGCGGCGUGCCGGCAAUGUCCCUCCGCAAGCGCCAGCGUUCGGCGAGCAGCUCCCGCCUCAGCACCCUCUCCUCCUCGCCGGCUCCCCACACCGCCGCCGCCGCCGCCUCCGCCUCCUCCCCUCCGCUCUCCUUCCCCAACGCCGACCUCGUCCUCCGCCUCCACCUCGACCCCUGCCCCGACGACGACGCGGACCUCGACGCCGGCGAGGAUCACCGCCCCUCCCUCGACCUCCACGUCUCCUCGGCGUCCCUGCUCCGCUCCCGCUACUUCGCCGCUCUCCUCUCCGACCGCUGGAGCCCCGCCCCCACCUCCGCCGCGGGGGGGCACGGCCACCUCUCGCUGGCCGUGGCCGCUCCGCGCUCUGCCUCGCACCCUUUCCACGCCCACGUCGAGGUCGUCCGCCUCCUCCACACCCUCGACUUCGCCGGCGCCAUCCACUCGCCCGCCGACGCCCUCGACAUCCUCCCCGUCGCGCUCCAGCUCCUCUUCGACGCGUGCGUCGAGGCGUGCACGCGGUUCCUCGAGGCGGUACCCUGGUCGCCCGACGAGGAGGCCCGCGUCCUCGAGAUCGCGCCUCUCCUCCCCGCCGAUGAGGCUGCCGACCUCCUCGCUCGGAUCACGCCUCCCCCAGCCGCCUCCGCCUCCGCCGCCGGGGGCGAGGCCGCCAGGUCGCCCUCCGAGGCGAUGCUGCACGGCUUGAUCCACUCCGCCAUCCAUGGGCACCCGGUCCCCGCCGCAACCAAGGCGUUCGUCGCGAUGCUCCUCAAGGACUACCCCUCCCGUGACUGCGUCCAGAAGGUGCUCGACGAGGCGUUCCUGUCACGGCUGGAGACUGUCAAGGAGCUCAUGGGGAAGUAUGCCAGCCCGGAUUUCAGGGUCGCGGUGGACAGCGAUGAGCGGGACGCGAUACAGAGGCUGAACCUGCAGUCCGCGGUAUUGAAUGUGAGACACUUGCUCUGGCUCAUCGAGAGGAUGGUCGAAAUGAGGGUGGCCGGUAAUGCGGUUAAGCUGUGGAGUGAGCAGGCUGCACUGACUGCUGAUCUGCAGAAGUUGCUGAAUGAUGUGGAUAUGUGGAAGAAUAUUACUCCUGGGCUUCCUGUGCUUGUUACCAGAUGCACGCUCAGGUUCGCCAAUUCGGUUGUGAAUGGGGAGACAAUAGUUCCUCGUCAGGUUAGCCUUCUGAGCUGAUAUUUGCCUUGUUAUGAACUUGCAUCCACGAUAGUACUUAAUGAAGGUAUGCUGUGAUGCCAAGUGUUGCAUAUCUGUUCAACGAUCGCUUAGUUCCAAUCUGAUUAUUUCCUUCUGUUGCAAAGCAAAUCAAUAGGUUUGAGUUGUUUAGUACAAGUAUGUUACAUCUGCAGAAGUAAUCCAAUGCUAUAUUUUGACUAAGCCAUUGCUAUGAUUUAUAAUCGAAUGUUCUCAUGAGUAAUCAGUAGUUACUUGUGGUUGUGAUCUGGUAGCAUCAUUUAAAACAAUCUAUCUUCGGACAUAAUCAUCAUUUAUUUCCCAUUGUUUCGUGGUUAGGAUAAACAUGACUUAUGUACUGUUUUUGGGAACAAUUUUACCACGAGGAUCAUAGGUGUAGACAUUCCUUUAUAUUUUUAGUGCAAUAAACUAGUGGCUUUUUCUGGAUAGUUUGGGUGCAUACAUGUGCAUUUUUAAGAGUUCCAGGUUGUUGCUUGAAGUCUUGAGCAUUAGUUUGGAGUUGUUUGCAAUUUGCAUCCAGUAAACAAGUGCUAAAUCUAACUGAACGAAUGUCCAUAUGAGCAAAUAUUAUUUUGAAAGUAGUUAGUAGGCUAAAUUGAGCUUACCCAGAGUUAGUACCUAGAUAGUUAUUUCCAAUUCCCACAGGUUGUCAUACUUCUUCUAUGAUCAUUUUGUUCUGCGGACAGAUUUUUUUAUUGCUCCUCUGUAAUGUAUUCCAUGUUUCUUUUUCUUAGCGCUAUGCUUGUAAUCACUCAUGGUUUUACCAUUUUUAUGUAUGAUCAUUUCAUUCCAUGUUCACAGCUUGUUUGAUAGUUUCUUUGUAUUGACCUCUAUACUAUCUACAAUGGCUGUCUCUGGUUGGUUGCAACUCACUUUUAAGUGUGCCUGGAAGUUUUUAUGUGUGUAUCUGUGUUGGAUCAACUCGGGUGGGUCUAUAGUUUAAUAAGACAGUAAAACUUGAAAUAAUUGUAUCUUUUCAGUGUACAGGAGCAGAAAACUAGACAUGCAUCAAUCUAAAUUCGAUUCAUGUGGAAAUUACUGUGCAUAUCAGUUUGGUGGGUUCAAUAAGAUUUUUCAUUAGUAAUACUUUAAGAGGUUGAGUUGUGAGUUGGAUAAAGGUUACUUUGUUGUACUUGUGUUGUUGUUUAACUUGAUGGGUCUCUAUGAGUAAAAAAAGCAUAUGUCCCUGCCUCCUCAGAUAGCCAAGCUCUCAACUGCGAGGCCUUUGUGUAUAUGUUUUUUUUCUUCUCUCUGGCCAGGCAGAGUUGGUCUAAAAGCAUUUGGCAGAUGGUAGGCCAGCUCUUUUAUGAAUAACUUUGGCAAGAAAAGCUAGCAGGUCAUCCAAAUGAGAUGGGUUUUUCCCGUAGAUCAGUGUAUUAAAGAAAUGCUCAGAUCUGCUAUUGUGCUUGUCUAAGUACCAUGUCAAUCCACUAGGUACACAAUCAACAUCUAGUUGUAUGAUGGCAACAAUGACAAGCACAUUUUACAACCCUGAACUUUCAUGAAUAUAUGCACAAGAAUUAAAAAGUAAAGCUCAACUCAAACUAUACUAUCAAAUUAUGAACUAUCAGAACUGUUCAAUUUUCAACCAUGGUACAGAUAGUUUUGGUUGACAUAACAUUGAUGGUGUGUGGCCUGAGGCUGAGACAGUUUUUUUUGGGACUCAGCUAAUCCUCUUGAUCUCUGGCAUAGCUGAACACACAAUUUUAUCUGAUGAUAUCCUUGUAGCUCUCUGUCUAGUAUUGCCAGAUUUUCCAUGGAGAGCUCAUACUACAUUAUAAUACACGCUUGUAGCUUUGUUCUUGUGUUUAAUUGGGUCUGACAUAUAUGACAUUUCUGCUUCUCAGGUGAGGACGAAGCUUGUCAGAAGUUGGCUUCCUGUCCUAAACGUCUGCAGGAACAUGGUUCAGCCUAUGCAGUGUGGAUACAAGUCACCAAAUUGCCAAGAGCUAGAGGAGACAUUUCUUCAGAUCAUCUCCACCUUGCCUGUCCCAGAUGCUCAGGAGUUGCUGCAACAGUGCCUCGGGUUCUCGACUCGCAACGUCGACGACUGCCCGCACUUGAUCGCAGCCUUCAAGACAUGGUUCAGGCGUGCUGGCCGGGCUCCUCAAGGUGCAGAAAAUUGAGAUGAGCGCUGCAGCUAGUGUCUGCCAACAGUGGGUGCUGUCUUGUGCGAAAUCUCACAUCUAGUUCAAUGUAGUUCCUAACGCUGUUUCUGUACAUUGUUGUACUACCUACCCUAUCUAUUGCCAUGUAAGGUAUAUGAUAUGUACAUAACAACAUUUUUCUGUUCGUGUGAAACAUGUUACCCAAGUGCAGAUGAAUGAUGCACUAAACUAACUAUUCACGCGUGCAAUGUUCUUCCCUUCGGAAUGUGAAUAUAACUUGACGACAAAUGUAUAUUCAGCUGAUGAUUUCUUCUGUUUAUCUGCCGCAAGAACACUGCAGUCCAGUGAGUUUAUCGGUUUCUCUUGUCUACAACUGAGAAUUGCGGUCCCGGUGUAUCACUCAAAUAAGCUCAUAUUUUGUGUUCUGCGAGUUUCAGAAUUCAGACCAUUCUCUUCAAAAGAAUUCAGAUAGUACUACUGAAUUGCUCGUGCUAUUCUCUCGCCAACGUGGCAAAGCAGUAUCCUCUGAUCUGGUUUAUUAAUUCUUUCUCGUUUGCUGGAACAUUUAGUGGAGAACAUGACUAAGUUCAAAAGUCAGAAUUCGGUUUCUUCCUCAUUCCAUUCAGAAUUCUUUUCAUAUAAAAUAGCUGUGGUAAACUCCUAGUCUCUGCAGCAACUAAAGUCUCCCCUUAAAAUAUAGGAUUCAAAUCUGGAAAGAGGUCUACGCACGAAAUGUCACUAUUUCAGCACAAGUCUCAUGUUCUACGUAAGACCCAGAAUGUUUAGUUCUAGAAGGGACAGUGAUUAUGGAAGUUGUUAUGAACCUGAGUUUUAAUCUAAAAGGAGAUUAAAGAUUUAAGACGCUCUCAUCUUUCACUCGCCAAGGACACGUUUUCUACAUUAUUACAGUACAUUACGUUGGGAAGGUUGAUACUUAGCCCAACCCAAAAUACAAGUGGCCAAAAGCAAGCCAAAUUUGAGAGAUUUUAUCUCGUCGUCUUCCUUCACAUCGACAUUACACAAAGGAGGAGGAGAAAAAACAGAAAGAAAGAAAAAAAUGGAAGAAAAAUUGGAACGAAGAAGAGGAAGACACGAGUGACACGCCAUGAAUUCUAGCACCGAAUUGUACACAUGUGCGACGAGCUGCGGCGACGACGAGCCGACGGGACGGUGAGAGCCAUGGCGUGCAACGGCGAGCUAGUAGAAGCCCUGCACCGGCCACCGGCGGUCGGGAUCGGGGAGCCACGACGAGCGCUUCUUCUUCUUGUCCUUCUUGUCCUUGCUGCCGCCGCCGUCCUCGCCGUCGACCUCGGCCUCCUUCUCGCCGUCGGAGCUCUUGGAGUCGCCGUCGGAGGAGCUGCACCCGGCGGCCACGCCGCCGCCGCCUCCUCCGCCGCCGGACUUGUUCCUGGACCGCACGUACUCGAUGAGCCUCCACGCCGCCGGCUUCGGCUGCUGCGACCGCGGCGGGGACGGGGGCUCCUUGGCCGGCUUCUGCGCCUUCCGCUCCGCCGCCUGCAGCUUCGGCGUCCCCGUCGGCGUCGGCGUCUGCGGCUGCGGCAGCUUCUCCGCGGGCGGCGCCGGGGCGUCGCUCUUCAUCAGCGGGUCCGCGUCGUCGGGGAGCCGCGCCGACUGCGACAGCCGCUCGUACUCCGGCAGCGGCACCGUCUCCUCCGACGACGCCCCGCCCUCCUUCCCGCUGCCGACGCAGUCCAUGAGCAGCAGCUGCUGGUGGCUGCCCCCGCCCGCCCUCCGCCUCUGCCGCCGCGCCCUGAACCUCGAUCCCCUGCCGCUUCCGCCGCCGUAGCGCUUCUCCUCCUCCAGCUGCUGCUGCUGCUGCUGCUCCUCCUCGUCAUCUUCCGUGUGAACCAGGACGUCCAUAUUUAUCUCGGCUACUGGCGCCACAAACCAUGCACCGUCUCUCUCUCCCGAUCUCGCGAUCUCGCGUUGGGAGUAUAAAUUUUGCGCAAGUGAUGAUGGGGGUGCAAAUGGAUGGCGAGAGAGGGAGGGGGAAUGGGGGGAAAAGCUGGGGAAUGCCAAGUUUGACAAGGAUUUUUGGCUCGCGAAAUCGCGUUUUUAUUCAAGCGUGUGGGCGUUUGACCCGCGCGCACGGAGGUCGGGGUCGUGGUGGUGGUGGUGGUGGGCGCCGUGGCGAGGUGAUCCAGCCACGCGCAGACGCGCCCGCUUGGCUCGCGUCGCGUGCCGUGGCGUGCGCGUUCGAGGGCGGGGCGCGUAGGUGGAUUUGGACAGUUUUGACGGCGGAGAAACGGCAAGCCAUGGCCUUCUUUACUUGGUGAAAAGAAAAUUUUUUAGUUACAUCAGACGUGACCGGAUAUCAGAAAGGGUUUUUAACACGAAUGAACAAACUAAUUUCAUAACAGCACAUGUGGUUACUGCAGCACUUAUGGUUAAUCAUGGAUUAAUUAGGCUCAAUAGAUUCGUCUCGCGAUUUCCAUGUAAGUUGUGUAAUUAGUUUUUUUAUUUUAUUUAUAUUUAAUGCUUCACGUAUAUAUAAAAAAG